RNAcentral lists this long non-coding RNA (102132 nucleotides) under Citrus sinensis (sweet orange). Its description in RNAcentral is "long non-coding RNA (CSIN_LNC001621)". The stretch from base 69879 to 69950 matches the Rfam family "tRNA". Lineage: Eukaryota; Viridiplantae; Streptophyta; Magnoliopsida; Sapindales; Rutaceae. The record is from RNAcentral.
GACUGCGAGGUUGUAACAUGAUAUGGGCUGGGCUGCUCACUGGACUUGGCCCGUUAAGUGAUUUCCCGUGUCGUGCUUGACUCAUUGAAAAAGUGCGUCGAGUUUGAACAUUUAAUUGUCAUCAGUGGCGGACCAAUAACUAAAAUGAGGGGGCUUAGUUCAAAAAAAUUUAUUUAACUUAGAUUUUUUUAAUAUUCACUCGAAUAUAUUUUAAGUUUUAUAAACUUAAAUUUUAUUACUUUUUUUUUAAAUUCUAAAUAAUAAUUCUAAAUAACAAUAGUAAUAAAUUAUUAUUUUUAAAUGCAUGAAAAUAUUAUUUUUUGAAGUAGUAUUUUAAAUACGUGAAAAUAUUAUUUUUCGAAAUAGUUUCCACAAAAUAUUUAAAAAAAUAAAAUAAUGUGGCUAAUGGGAUUUGAACUAAGGUAUUAAAAUUAUUAAAUAAUACUCUUACCAUUGAACCACAAGUCUUUUAAUAUCUAAAAAAUGUGUCUAAAUUAUUUUAUCUAAUUUUUUCAAAAAGGGCUUGGGGUACAUUUAAAAGAAAACUUAAUGGUUCAGGGGCUGAAGCCCCUCCUGGGCCUUAAUUGAGUCCGCCCAUGAUUGUCAUGCAAUAAAAAUAUGUAAUGCGUGCGCGAUGGAUUGAAAUUUCACGAGGACUAUUUACGAACAACACAUUUUACUUUUAGUAUAUGAUUUUAGAAUUAGAUCACAUUAGUUGUCAAAUUAGUAAUUAUCUACGAACCAUACGAAAUGCGUGAACUAAAUUUUUUUAUUCAAUAUUCGUUGUCAAUUUUCCACAUCCUUAUCUUCAAGCACACAAAAGAGUUAAUAAUUCUGAAAUUAAUUAGUAUCUGUCUUGGCGUUGAUGAUGGAUCAAAAUCAAUGUGAACGUGUGGAUUCAAACAUGUAAAUUGUUUUUAUCUAACUAAUAUUAUUAUUAUAAUAAUAAUUAUUAUUAUUUUGUCUUUGAUGAAAUAUCCAACUAAAUACCAUAACAGGAGGGAAAAUUAGAAACUUGAAAAGUAGCUGCGGCAGUAGCAUUCACAUUGAGGGAUAUUAAUUUGUCAUGGUUCAAAAUUGAGAAAAUGAAUAUAAUAAAUCCAUCAUCAUCAUCAUCCUCGAUUGCUCAUAUCAUAUCAAUAGCUUUCACUCAUAAUUAGGUCGGUUCAAUUUGUCAAAGCCAAAUCCCAUUAAUGGUUUUGGUAGGUCUAAGCAAGAAAAAUAAAAAUUAAAGAUCCGAGGUAAGGGACCUCCAAUUCCAAAGGAAAAAAAAAAAAUGUGCGUGGUGCCCACUAAUUUACACUCCCCCCCCUCCUUUUGCUUUUGAUCCCGUUAAUAAUUACAAUCAAUGGUUACAAAUCUCAACUAUUUAGAUCUCAGUAGAUAUCAUUCAUCAUAAACAACCGCUAAAAAUAUUCUUAAAUCAUAUGUAAAAUAGACAUGAACAAUCAUGAUUCAUGAUAUUAAAAUUUUUUUUUUUAUCAUCUGGACUCCGAAUGUUUUGAAAAUUGACACGUACCCUUUUUAUUUAUUUAUUUAUUUUGAUAUAUUAAUUCAUCGGACCGUAUUUUUUGAAAUCUAUGUAAAAGAUUAGAUGUAUUUUACGGAAGGGAGCAAAGCAAUGGAGGAGCUGCACGUGUGAUGUUGACCCAGAGGGCUGCAAACUUAAAAAUAUUGGAGAUACAAUUAAGCCUUCUUCGAAAUGGACGAGACGAGUCUUUUUCUUCUGGAAUAAUGAAUUAAUGUGAUCAGCCCUGAUAAUUAAAUUAAUUAUCUAUCACUGUGUAAGAAGAAUAAUUAAUAAAUAAAUAAAUAAAUAAAUUGGUGCCGUGUUUAUUGAGACCUCCGGGUGGAAGAAAUUGAGACGUCCAUUUUAAGCUAACCAAUCCAACUAACCUAAAACUUUGAACAGUAGACGUUUUAGAAAUUAGGAAGCCUUUUUUUUUUUAUCAAUUAUCACCACCAGGUUGUUAAUUAAAAAGUCAAAUAUUUCGGAAUGGUCCACACACCCACACGUACGCGAUAUAAUUCAAUUAUUAAAUUUCAUUAAUUUUUAUAAAAAUACUUUGGGGGGUAGUGUGCGCGCGUGUACAUAUGUAUAUAUAUAUUACAAUUAAUUAAAGACUCUUGAUUUUCAAACCCGUGGAAUUAGACUUUUUGUUGCCUUGUCUUUUGGUACACUCCAUCCAAGCACUCCAAAAUUUAACGAAAUGGUUUGUAGUUUUUUUUUUCUUUUUUUUUAAAAAUUCAUUUCAUUUUCACGCCAACAACAAAAUAUUUUAAUUGAAAAAAUCAAUAUGAUCAGGUUAUAUUUAAAAUACAACUGUUGUAUCAUGUAAUGUCCUCAUUUUUCAUUAACAAUAUCAAAUAUUUCCUUUACGCUCUCGUAUUUUUCUUUUUUUUUUUCAAUAAAAUUAGACAUAAUAUAUAUCAUAAGUUUGGAGUAUACGAAUAAUUAAAGAAGAAAUAUUAGAUAGACUAUGCGAUAAAUUACAGCCUUUAAAUAAAAAUCUUCGUGUGAUCUAAGAUGUCAUUACUUAGUUUUUAUAAAUUUGAUGUUAUGUGUCUAUUGACAAGCGUAUUACAGUUGGUAUUUAAUUAACUAUUCAUGUAAGCAUUCUUUCAAAAUGAAAGAUAAAUACAAACAAAGAAAAUGAUUGAUAACACAUGGGGUUUGAGGGGACGCUCGUGUGACAAAAGGAAAUAUUGUCAAGAUUAAACUCUUGGCUUUUCUAAGGAGUGGGGCAAAGGGAAAGAGAGUGGUAUGCACUUUAUUCAAAAUCCCAUUUUGAAAAAGGGGGAAAAAAGAAAAAGGCAAAAAAGAAAAAAAAAACGAAACCCAAAAAUAUUUAUUAAAUAAAGGGGGACGGUCCAUAAAUCUGCCUGGUUUCUUUGCGAGGAUUCCGCUGUUUUCUAGUGAAACUUAAUCUUAUUUUAAUGCUAAAUAAUAAUAAUACUUCAACAACAAUAAUUAUAGUUAUUAUUUAAAACAUGGAAGCAAAAUGCGAAUCUAACGGGAACUAAUGAGAAUAGGAUGCCCUCGUGCGUAUUGCAUACAUGCAGACAAAUUGUGAUAUAAGAAAAUAAUAAAAGAGUGAUUACAAAACCCAACACCCUUUGCACUAACCCUAACCCUAACCCUAACCAUAACCAAAGGCUCCAUCUUUUUAAAACUUUGUUUUGUCUUAAUAUUUAUGUACAUGCAUGUAUGAUACCCAUCACUUUCCCGAGAAAAAUAUUGUCUCUUCUUCCGUUGUAUAUACAAUACCCAAAGGAUUCUUUCUUUCUCUCUUUCAUUGUUGUAUGUGCAUCAAUUAUUCUUUUAAUAUCAAUUUUGAAUCAUUCUAUCAAUAUCAGUGAUGUAAGAAUGAAACGCAUGCUUGUAUAUUCUAUAAAUAAUUAUGCUCAUCAUAUCCUUUUUGUUUAUAUACGUACAUCAUUGACCUAAACUAUUUAAUGCCUUAAUAUUUAAAUUAAGGGAUGUUAUUUUGGCACUAUGUUACCUAACAUGGUCGUUUUUGGUGGAUGUGUUAUCCUUUUAUUGUCAAUUUUAUUCAACAUGCCUUCCACAAGAAAGUAGUUCCCAGAUCGCUAGCUAUCUUAGACUUUUUUCCCAUUGAAAAUUUUUGUUACAUUGACAAUUUUGUUUGGAGAUAUGUCUCCUUUUUCAAGGAGAAAUACAUCUUGUAUAAGAAAAGAAAUUAUUUGUCUACAAAAAAUAAUAAUUAUAUUCACAUAGGUUGGAUUCACUUAUCUGUAUAACACAAUAAUUAAUUUAUGUUCCAGUAGAAAAUUUCCAGUGUGAGAGAAGUUAUAGAUCCAUUGAGAGAUUAAGUGUUAUUAGGAUUUUGAGUGUGAGAAAAAUAUUAAAGUGAUUGUAAUAAUUUUUCACACAAUGAAUUUUUCUCUCUCAUUUCUGGUGAAGUUUUUGACGUAAAUUCUUUUAUUAUGUGAUUGUUUUUAUUCUUCAUCUUUUAUUUAUUUAAUAUUUUUAUUUGUAAAGCCUUAGGUGAAAUUAAAAUUCCCCUAACAAUUUUUUUUUCUUCAUCUUGUAUUGUUGAUUAUUCAGCUGUAAAAUACGCUAAAAAAAAUGUUACUUCCCAAGUAGCAGGAUCCAAAUGCGUCGCAAUCGUGUUGGUUAUCAAAUUAAUAUCAUCUGAAAUAGCAAAAAUAAAAAAUAAAAAUCACAACUUGUUCUUUAAUCUUUAGUGACCCUAUGUCUUGUAUGUAAUUGGUGAAGAUUAUUGUAUUAUAUACAAGAACUGGAUCCCCUUUUAGGGCAAAUUAAUAAGCAGAACAAUGUAUUAAAAAGUGAUAUGAGCACUAAAUUAGAUUACCAGACCAAUUUUGUUUUUUUUUUUGUUUUUUUUUUUUAUAAUAGAUACUCAAGGACAAUGUGUCGCAAGACCAAAUAUUAAAGGUAUCACGUCUUCACAUACGUAUGUUUUAUAAUGUAAUUUACUAAAGGCACAUAAAUGUAAAGAUAAGAUAUAAAAUUAACUUUUUAUUUUUUAUUUUCCCCAUAAAUUUGUUUUCCCCAGCUAGAGAGAGGACAAAACAAAAUACCACGUAAUGAAAAAUAAAGAAAACUAGAAAAGUAAAAGUUUGAGUCGCAAAGUCCAAAGAUUCAACCACUAAAUUGGCGGUCGAUUGGUGCAGGAUUUUAGUAAGUAUAUAUAUAUAUAUAUUUUCUAACUUUUUGCACAGGAUGAGAUUUUGAUAAAAUGCAAGGGACCUCACUGUAAUUUUGUUGGGAAAUAAGGUGGCAGGAGAAUUUUAAAGGAAGUCACGGAGGGAAGAGACGUGCGUGCCGGGUAAUUCAUCCGAAAAAGAGCAGGCUCUGAGAAUCAAAUCCAAAGUUUGACUGGACCCGAAAAAUAAGAAAAAUAAAUAAAUAAAUAAAAAAUGUAAUUGGGGAGGAAGCAUCACUCCCACAAACAAUUUACUCUUUUAUGCUGCCUCCUCCUCUCACUCCAACUCCAAUGCAAUGCACCCACCAACUAGUUAUCACUAUUCUAUUCUUUAAUUCUUUGAAUUCUUUAUUUAUUUAUUUUUCGUUUUUGAGUCUCCAAGUUUCUUUUCUUUUUCUUUUCUUUUUUCAACACUUUCGUUCUUCUUUCUUCUUCUUCUCCCUCUCCCUCUCCCUCUCCCACUUCCUCUUGUUUUCCUUCUUUUGCAGCGCCAACAGCUUCUUCCAUCUUCAUCAACCCAUUUUUCUUUUGUUGCCGCCAAAACAGUGCUUUUUUUUUUCCCCUCUUUGGGUACCAAAAGAAAAUCUUGUUUUUAUCGAAACUAAACCGGACCCGACAUUUCUGAACAUAGUACUUUUGUUCUGUCUGUUCUGUCACUUCCUGUACUUUCACUCACUUCCCCAUUACAUAGCAUUUACAUAACAAGUUAACAACCUCCGCUCAAGACUCAGGUACUCUUUUCAUUUUUACCUUUUUUGUUUAUGUAUUACUGUUAUUAUUAUUAUUAUUGUUGUAUGGUGUUGAAUUUAUGUAAGUUUCAGGAUCUUUGAUAGUGAUUUUUAUUAUUUAAUUUCAGCUGGCCAAGGAAGAAAAAAGAAAAGGGGUCGGUCAUUUUGGAAAAUGCAAACAGAUCUCAAAGUGAAGAAGAAGAAGAAGAUAAAUUUGGAGGAGCUAUGAAUCUUGGUUUGGUGCUGUUCGGCUUUCGUAUGGGGGCUGCACAGAGAUUACUAUUGCUCACUCAACCACUUCAAAAUUAAAACAAUUUUUUGAAGAACGGAGAAUAAAAAAAGUUGCUCUUUUAUGUCAGCUCAUUUGGUCAUUUUUUGGAUGUGAGGAUUUGAGACCCAAAAGAAAUUUAAAGAGCAAAAGAAAAAAAAAAUGAAGACAGAGUGGAGGGUAUCGUUAUUAUCACAAGAUCAACAGCAACAAGGGAAAGGAAUCAUGGGAAUCUUUGGCUUUGUGCUAUGGUUGUUGCUUCUCUGUCACUUGCUAAUAAUGCCAUCAUAUGCUAGAGAACUAUCAUCAUCUUCAAGGCAAAGCGGCGGCAAUGAAGAGUUGACAAUUUUGAUGGCUUUCAAGCAAUCCUCUAUUGGUUCUGAUCCAAAUGGGUACUUGGCCAACUGGACUGCUGAUGCUUUAACUCCAUGUUCAUGGCAAGGGGUUUCUUGUUCUCUUAAUAGCCACGUUACCUCCCUCAACCUCAACAACCUUGGCCUUAGUGGUAGCUUAAACCUCACAACUCUCACAGCUUUGCCAUAUCUCGAGCAUCUGAAUUUGCAGGGCAAUUCUUUCUCUGCUGGUGAUCUAUCAACAUCCAAAACUAGCUCCUGCAGCCUGGUGACAAUGGACCUUUCGUCAAACAACAUUACAGGCUCUCUUCCUGGCAGAUCUUUUUUGCUCUCCUGUGAUCGUCUGUCUUAUGUUAACCUCUCUCACAAUUCAAUAUCUGGGGGUAGUCUCCAUAUUGGCCCUUCUCUUCUCCAGCUUGACCUCUCCGGCAAUCAGAUAUCGGAUUCUGCCCUGUUGACGUAUUCUCUUUCCAAUUGCCAGAACUUGAAUCUGCUAAACUUUUCUGAUAAUAAGCUCCCCGGCAAGCUGAAUGCUACUUCAGUUAAUUGCAAGAGUAUUUCCACCAUUGACCUUUCUUACAAUCUCUUAUCAGGGGAGAUACCGGCUAGCUUUGUGGCAGACUCGUCCGGAUCUCUCAAAUAUCUUGAUCUAUCCCACAACAACUUCACUGGCAAAUUCUCCAAUCUUGAUUUUGGACGCUGCGGCAACCUCUCCGUGAUCACUCUCUCUCAAAAUGGUCUCUCUGGAACUGAAUUUCCUGCUAGCCUGAAGAAUUGUCAGCUUCUGGAGACGCUUAAUAUGUCCCAUAAUGCACUGCAGGGUGGUAUCCCAGGCUUCCUGUUGGGGAGUUUCAGGAAUUUGAAGCAGCUGUCUUUGGCACAUAAUCAGUUUGCUGGUGAGAUCCCUCCUGAGUUGGGACAGGCUUGUGGGACUCUUCGGGAGCUUGAUCUUUCAUCCAACAGGCUUACUGGUGAACUACCCUCAACUUUUGCAUCAUGUUCUUCUUUGCAUAGCCUCAAUCUUGGCAGCAAUAUGCUCUCAGGAAAUUUUCUUAACACUGUUGUAAGCAAGAUUUCAAGUCUGAUAUAUCUUUAUGUCCCAUUCAACAACAUUAGUGGUCCUGUGCCGCUGUCCCUCACCAAUUGUACUCAACUUCGGGUACUCGACCUCAGUUCUAAUGGCUUCACAGGAACUAUCCCAUCAGGGUUCUGUUCGCCUCCAAAUUUUCCAGCUCUAGAAAAGAUAGUGUUGCCGAACAAUUACCUCUCCGGUACUGUGCCCUUAGAGCUUGGAAGCUGCAAGAAUUUGAAAACGAUUGAUCUUAGUUUCAACAGCUUGGCCGGUCCAGUUCCGUCAGAAAUUUGGUCCUUGCCAAAUCUAUCUGAUCUUGUAAUGUGGGCAAAUAACCUUACAGGUGAAAUCCCAGAAGGCAUUUGUGUCAACGGAGGAAACCUGGAGACCCUAAUUCUCAACAACAAUCACCUCACUGGAGCCAUUCCAAAGUCCAUUGCCAGCUGCACAAAUAUGCUAUGGGUGUCACUUUCCAGCAACCAACUCACCGGAGAAAUCCCUGCCGGCAUUGGAAAUCUUGUUAAACUUGCUAUACUCCAACUGGGUAACAAUUCGCUCACAGGACAGGUACCUCAGGGGCUUGGCAAGUGCAGGAGUCUUGUUUGGCUUGACUUGAAUAGCAAUAACCUAAGUGGUCCUCUCCCAUCGGAGCUUGCUAACCAAGCUGGCGUAGUCAUGCCGGGAAUUGUUUCGGGAAAGCAGUUUGCAUUUGUGAGAAAUGAGGGUGGUACAGCAUGUAGGGGUGCUGGAGGACUAGUUGAAUUCGAGGGGAUCCGACCAGAGAGGCUGGAAGGCUUUCCAAUGGUUCAUUCUUGCCCAUCAACUAGAAUUUACACUGGCAUGACAAUGUAUACAUUCACCACCAAUGGAAGCUUGAUCUACCUUGAUCUCUCCUAUAAUUCCUUGUCAGGAACUCUUCCUGAGAAUUUUGGUUCGUUGAACUAUUUGCAAGUCUUGAAUUUGGGACACAACAAGCUAACAGGUCAUAUCCCUGACAGCUUUGGAGGUCUGAAAGCAAUUGGUGUUCUGGAUCUCUCUCAUAAUAAUUUUCAAGGAUCUAUCCCAGGUUCAUUAGGGGGUCUCUCUUUUCUCAGUGACCUUGAUGUGUCCAACAACAACUUAUCUGGUAUCAUUCCAUCCGGAGGUCAACUGACUACUUUCCCAGCCUCCAGAUAUGAGAACAAUUCUGGCCUCUGUGGGUUGCCCUUGCUCCCUUGUAGCUCUGGCAACCAUGCAGCGACUGUCCACCCCCAUGAAAAGAAGCAGAAUGUGGAAACAGGGGUGGUUAUUGGCAUUGCAUUCUUCCUCUUGAUUAUCCUUGGGCUUACAUUAGCUUUGUAUCGAGUGAAGAAAGACCAGAAGAAGGACGAACAGAGAGAGAAAUACAUUGAAAGCCUCCCAACUUCAGGUAGCAGUAGCUGGAAACUAUCCAGUGUCCCUGAGCCACUGAGCAUCAAUGUUGCCACAUUUGAGAAACCUCUGCGGAAACUGACCUUUGCACAUCUGCUUGAAGCUACUAAUGGUUUCAGUGCUGAUAGUAUGAUUGGCUCUGGAGGGUUUGGUGAGGUUUACAAGGCACAACUGAGAGAUGGCUCUGUCGUUGCAAUCAAGAAAUUAAUUCAUGUUACAGGUCAGGGAGACAGAGAAUUUAUGGCAGAGAUGGAAACUAUUGGGAAGAUUAAGCACCGAAACCUGGUUCCUUUGCUGGGAUACUGCAAAAUAGGUGAAGAGAGGCUUCUUGUGUAUGAGUACAUGAAAUGGGGGAGUCUGGAGUCUGUCCUUCAUGACAGGGCCAAAGGAGGCGGCACAGAGCUUGACUGGGCCGCUAGAAAGAAGAUAGCUAUAGGGUCAGCACGUGGCCUUGCAUUCCUUCACCACAGCUGCAUACCUCACAUUAUUCACCGGGAUAUGAAGUCUAGCAAUGUUCUUCUGGAUGAAAAUUUUGAGGCCAGGGUUUCAGAUUUUGGCAUGGCAAGAUUGGUGAAUGCUCUGGAUACUCAUCUCAGUGUAAGCACCCUUGCAGGAACUCCAGGUUAUGUUCCCCCCGAGUACUACCAGAGUUUCCGCUGCACAACAAAAGGUGAUGUCUAUAGCUAUGGUGUCAUACUACUAGAGCUUCUUUCAGGAAAAAGGCCAAUAGACCCUUCUGAGUUUGGUGAUGAUAACAACCUAGUUGGAUGGGCAAAGCAACUUCACAGGGAGAAAAGAAUCAAUGAGAUACUGGACCCUGAGUUGACAAUGCAGACAUCAGAUGAGACUGAACUGUACCAGUAUCUAAGAAUUUCAUUUGAGUGCCUAGAUGACAGGCCAUUCAAGCGGCCAACCAUGAUACAGGUAAUGGCAAUGUUCAAAGAGCUUCAAGUUGAUACAGAAGGUGAUAGCCUUGAUAGUUUCUCGCUGAAAGACACAGUUAUUGAAGAAUUGCGAGAGAGAGAAUCUAGUUCAGGCUAAGGCAACAAAGAUGCAGUAUCAGCGAGUUGAACCUCUGAUAUUAGAGAUGAGGUUUGUCCUACCCGUUUCACCUAGUGUAAAUAAUAGAACACUGAAUGAGACAGAGAGAACACGGAGGAACAAAGUUUGGGGUCUUUCAGUUGCUGUAAGUUGGAUAAGUUAUAUUUUCUUUUUCUUUUCAUCAUUGUUUCUGUUAGUAGAGACUUCAAGACGUUGUUCCUUUGCCAUUAGCUUCUUCUUCCUGUCACAGUUUUGCUAAUUUAUGUUCCACUAAUUGUUUGUCGCAAUUGCCAAUUGUUGUUCAUAGAAUGUUGGAAUGUGAUCAGUGAGAGGAACAUUUUGUAAAGUUGUAGGUAGCAUUAUUUGACAAAGUAAACUCGUAAUUGUCAUCUAAUUUAUGGUGCAAUUAAGUGAUUGUGUUAAUAAUUUUGAAUUUGAGAAAGCAUAUAUGCAAAAAAUUCAGGAACAAGACUGUAUGUGCACGUGUGUGUGCAUAGUGGCUGUUUCAACUCUUGUUUUGGCUCUUAUAAAAAAAAAAACUCUUGUUUUGGCUUAAAAAAGAAUCAAAUUGAUGACGUUCAUAACAUAUUCAGACUAAAUGAAUAUUAAAAAUUGCUAAGCGUGUGUGUGUUUGUGUUGUAUGAAGUAGAGGCAGGGAUUUCAUGAAUCUGUUGUUUUUCAAUUUGAUGAGUUUUGAGUUGACAAUUACUUCCAAGCAAGCGAUUCAUAUAUUCAUGUAACUUGUUAUUAUUACCAUGAUGAGCUGAUUGCCUUUCAUUUCUCAUUUAGCUACUCUAUUAUCUGUAUUUACGAUUUUUCAUUGACCGUUAGUUGCUGAAUCUACCUUAAACCCUAUGAAAUAAAUUUCAAAAAACCCUUGAUGAAUGUCAAAAGAUUUUUCACUGUUACCUAAAGGUGCCUCAUCCUGCUAAAAUAGUUCAAUGUAAUAACUAAACCACUAUUGCGGUAUUGCCUUUGAUUCAACACGAUCUUACAUGCUUUUAAAUGUCAAAGAUUUGCCCUGUUUCUCAUUAUGUCCCAUGAAUUAUGGCUUUUACCCAAAUAGGCGUAUUAGUCAAAUCUUUUUUUUUCCAAAUUUAUGCCAUCAUUUGCAUGUUCUUGCAUGAUGCUCUACAGGCGUUUGAUAUGAAAGUUUUGUCUUCUUAUUCUUUUCCCACGACACAUUGGUCGCUUUUGGACCAUCUCGGAUCACUCACUCUUCAAGAAUAAGUACCUUGGUAUCAUUGUUUUGAAAUCAAACACUCAUGACGCUUUUGACUUAAGCCCCUGUGGCCUGGGAUUGAUGAUGAAUCAAUCAAUCAGUCAGUGGUGCUUUUACGAAAUGAAGAAAGGCAAGUAAAUGGGGUUUCUGUGUCAUCCAAUAUCCGCUGAUGAUUGUUGCCGCAAUCUCCAGAAUCCAGAAUCCAGAAUCCCCAAGUAAUUGGGCCGACAUGGGCUCAAAAGAGUAAGCCCGGCUCAUAACUAAUCCAACAAAUAGUGAUGAUGGCCAAUAAACGUGGGACCCCUUAUGGCCGAAUUUGCAACAGUACCUGAAAUUGGAAGUCAUGGAAUUCAGUCCUGAAAGAGGCCCCAUAACUUGACAGAUAAUAUGGUUUUACUCAGCUUCCGCUGACUGUGUGACUCAAAUUUGUUGCUUGGAAAUGGAAAAAGUCCAAAAAGAAUAAAAAAAGAUUGGCAUUGGGCAGCGUGGCUCCCAAUUUUCUCUAUCACAUGUCCCCACACACACACAUAUCUAACCUGCGUCCCGAAUCCUGACACACACAAACCGGAGACCAUGUUUGAAAAAUGAAAACUCAUAUGCUGCCGGCUGCAUGAGCCAUGAAUCUGAAGCCCUUUCUAUAGCCAAUACAAACAAAAAAAAUCCUUUACUCUCUGGAGAUCAUAAUCUUGCUUCUAUUACGUUAAGUUUUUUACUAUAAUUGCACUUUCUUAUUCUAGUUCAUGAAGCUGUGCAUGCAUUGGAAUUUUUUUAACCCAAAAACAAUGUAUUAGUAGAGCUCCUUUAUGGAAAGUGAUCAACUCCACUGGACUUUUUGUGUCCGGGUAAUAGAAUAUAAUAAAUAAAACAUUAGCAACAGUACUGUGUCCGUGAGACAUGGGCUAAGAGACAAAGACUCGGUCAAAUAAUCUUUUUGACCGGGUGGGGGGGAAAAACUGCCCAUAAGAAGAAAAUAAACAAAUAAAGUAUUACAUAAAAGAUAAAAAUUAUCUUUGUCACGUACCCACAUGAAGAAGAAGUAGAUUAGACCGAAAUGCUGUUUGUUUCCUCAUAUUCACAUACAUACUGACAUACAUACAUACAUACAUUACACGCAUGAUGUAGGCUGUGUGUGUGUGUAUAUAUAUAUAUGCAGACAGAUACAUGAGGCAUGCAUGGAUUAUCCCCCAGUUGGCACAUUCUGAACAUCUUCAAACAACAAUGUUUUCAUGCUUUUCUGGUGCCAGUUUUUGGCUCCAUUAUCAUCAGUUGCUUUCUUCUAUUUCUUUUGAAAGAUUCAACUCAUGGGUUUAAUUUAUAUACACUGUAACUUCUGCACACGACAUGUAGCCCAAACAAAAUCUCAGCUCAGGCACUGCCAUCCACCCAUGGUCUUGUUUUCAAUUAAUUUAAAACUAGUACUUUGUGCCACAUCCUAUACAAUACUGUUGGUUUAAUUAAAAGGUUUUCACAUAAUCUAAUAAACCAUGCAUGAUUGAAGCUAGUGCUCUAGAAGAUCAAACUAGUAAUGCAAAAAAUGAAAAUGGGGCAUAAGCUUUAUGGGAAAGAAUAUGAACUCAACUUUACGUUGUUAGUGGGCAACCCGCAAGUAACAAUAAACCAAACCGGAAAACAAAAAAAUAAAAUAAAUAAAAUAAAAAGUAAGGUCACGCGGCAAGAGAUAACUAGAAUUUAUUUAUUGAUUAUUUUAUAGGGGUGGGCGUGAAAUGAUUAGGCUAGAAUUGGAUCCUCUUUAGGUCUUUUGGAAAAAAAAAUAAAAAAAAGAAUAAAAUUAGAGAUGAUUAUCAGCUGGUCCUUUUCAUUUCAACAAUACUAUAUUAAAAAAAAAAAAAAAAAGUAAUAGAGCUAUCCAAUAUGGUUCCAAAAAUAUGGCUCAAAUUAAAAUGGGAAAGUCUUUUUUUUUUUUUUUGGUUCUUUCGGAAUUCUGAUACAUCAGUUUACUUGUGUAGACUGCCCUUCUUUUUAAUCCUGAUAUUUUAAUUAAUUAAUUAAGUAAUUAAUUUUUUUUAGCAGAUUCUAGGAAUUUACAUUUGGUGGCCACUUGGGUGUCAUUUGUCACUUCCAUUAAAGUCCAUCUUUGGGAGCUCCGAUCAUCCACUAUGUUAAAAUUCGUGUUUAUAAUUUAUUCAUUUGCUUCAACAGUCCACUUCUUCAUGCAUAAUUUUAAGCCUUAUGGUUGGGUUAAUCUUGGGAAAAAAAACAAACUAAUGAUUAAUUUAAAUGGGUUCGAUUGGAUUAAAUUGUAAAUAAAAAAUUAAUCAACUGGUGUUAGUGAAACCAACUCGAAAGUUUGAUAAUAUGUUGUUAUGAUUUGAUUCUUUACCAUUCAAAAAAAUCAUGUCAAACUUCACACCCCAACAAACAAAGUAACAUCUUUACUCCAUCCAUUGAAUUGAUUGAGUUAAUACAAUUUACCAACUUGGUUUGAUUGAUCACACAUACAGAAACUCAAAAUUAUUAAAUUAAAAAAAAAAGUGUAGACUCCAUAUAUGUUCCAAAUGACCAAUUAAAUCCAACCGUUGCAAAAAUAUCCAUUCAUACUCCUGUUCAUUAGUGAAUUUGGUUUAUGUCAAUGGAGAUGGGAGUAUUAAUUUAUUAUUUUGUUUAUUCAUCACCAAAUGAUAAAAUGGGUGGUGUUUUCUAAAACCAUACAAUAGAAAAUGGAAUGAAAAAUAAAAAAAUAAGGGUCCGUUCGGGAUUGAUUUUUAAGAGUUUAAAAGUAAUUUUAAAAAAUUAAAAGCUAAUUUUAGUGUUCAACAAUUUUUUUUAGAAAUCACUUUUGGUAAAAUCAACUUAUCCUAUAUUAAAUUUUAAAAAAUAGAAAAAAGUAGCUUCUUAAAAACCUAUUUUUGAAAAUUAAUUUAAUACUUAAUAUUAUUCUAUAUAUAUAUAUAUAUAUAUGAAAAAAUGAAAAAAAUUAUUUCAUUAAUUAUAAAAUAAAAACUGCUGUACCGUACNNNNNNNNNNNNNNNNNNNNNNNNNNNNNNNNNNNNNNNNNNNNNNNNNNNNNNNNNNNNNNNNNNNNNNNNNNNNNNNNNNNNNNNNNNNNNNNNNNNNNNNNNNNNNNNNNNNNNNNNNNNNNNNNNNNNNNNNNNNNNNNNNNNNNNNNNNNNNNNNNNNNNNNNNNNNNNNNNNNNNNNNNNNNNNNNNNNNNNNNNNNNNNNNNNNNNNNNNNNNNNNNNNNNNNNNNNNNNNNNNNNNNNNNNNNNNNNNNNNNNNNNNGUUAUUUCAUUAAUUAUAAAAUAAAAAUAUUUAUUUUGGUUACUAAUUAUUACAUGUACGCAAUCAAAUAUUAUACCUAAUUUAAUUAUUUAUAUUUUUACAGUAAUUUAAUAAUAAAAUUUAUAAAAAUAUAUACGACUGUUUUUAAAACUCACAAAUCACGUUACUUUCAAAAAUAAAUUUUAUAAAAAAAAUCAACUAAUUAUUUUUAUAAUUAAUUAUUUGUAUAAUAUAAUUAGCAAUAAUAAUUUUAAAAAUUAUAGCAUUUAGCUAACUGAUUCUGAGUUCAUAAGAUAUCGAAGUGGAAGGAGCUGAAGCCUCGAAGGGAUCGAGUUUGGGCAGCAGGCGGUUAUAACAUCUUCACUUUACAAGGGUACAGGUGUUAGGCACCCAAAUCACUUGACACCCCAACGUUACACAUAUUUACCAAUUAUUAUUAUUUUUAUUAUUAUCACUAAUUACUCCAAAUUAAUUAACCUACAACUCACUUUCCUAUAAUUCUUCCAUACAACCAAUUGCAUCACUGCUCUCGGGGAAUUUAUAACCCGCCCUCGUUCACAUGGCGCUCUGCCAUUGGCUUUGGCCAGUCCAGAAACAAACAAAAGGGUGAAUGAUUAGUUAAAAUGAAUAGUACUAGAACAAGCAAUCAAUGAAACACAAAUAAGAGAGGGAGAGGGAGAGGAGGUGAAUAUGUAUGCUUUGUUGAUUUGUUGUUGUUCUUCUUGCAGAGCUUUUUGUUUCAUUCUUCUAAAGAUUCCAUUUUCUAGACAUAAUAUUGUAGGUUUCACAGAUUAAAGGAAAAAAAAAAAAUCAUCUUUUUCUAUUUCGUUUGGUUUCAAUUUUUUAGCUAUAAACCAAAAACAAGAGAGGAAAACAAAAAGAUUCCAUUUUGACAUUUUGUAAGGAGGGGGGAAGAGAGAGAGGGAGAAAAUCCGAGGUGGGUUUGUGAAAUUUGUGUUCUUUGUUGUUGCUGUUGUUGAUGGUAGUGGUGGAGGUGGUGGUGGUGGGUCUUGUUCAUUUAGCUUUGACUCUUUAAUCAAUCAGGUAAUGAUUUUUAAUCAUUCUUUCACUUUCUCUCUCCCCAUCUCUUUCUUUUCUUUGUUUUGCUUUUCCUCCUUUAAUGUUUUGUAACUCUCAAUUUUGGAAAAUAUUUAUCUUUGAUAAAUUAUGCAAAUUUUGAGGUACCACUCUCACUCUAAUAAUUCUCUUUUAAAAGAUUUUAUGAUCUCUGUGUUUUCUUUUUUUGGUUUUGUAUUCUGGGUUGUUUUUGUAUUUUUAAAAUGUCAAUUGGCUUAUCAUUAGAUCUUGAUUGAUGGGCACCAUAACUUGAACAACUGGUUUUCUAUAUAUGUAAAGGUUCAAUGGAUUUGUAUGAUUAGUUUCCUUCAACUAAACUUUAUCAAUAUUUGGAAUGUUGUCAAUUUUUCUUCAUCUAUUUAGCCAUGUCGAUUUUCUGUUGCUACCUCUCCACCCCUCUUACAGGAUAAAAUUUUGGGUUUUGUUGAGACAUUUUUUUUUUUUUGCCUUUUUCAUUUUGGAAAAAGGUAAAGAGGAUAAAAUUUUGGGUUUUGUUGAGACAUUUUUUUUUUUUUGCCUUUUUCAUUUUGGAAAAAGGUAAAGAGAUAAUAUUAUUGCAUUAUUGAAUUAUGACAUGUUUUUAGAUAUCUUACAUGGGUGUUCCUUCAUCUAUUCCGGGCUUAUCUAUAUGCAACUUUGCGUUGAUUCUCUUUGUGUAUAUAUCAAAUCAUUUGAUAACCUCUAGUCAAAAUUGCAGCUUUAUACUCCUUCUGGGUUUCUGAGUAGCAAAACUGGGAUUUUUUUUCUUUAUUUUAUUUGUUGUUUCUGGGUUAUUUUUAGUCUUAUUACGGAAACCCACAUGAGUGCACACCUGUAUUUGAACAAGUUUUUUGUUUGAAUAUAAUCUUCCAUCUUAUCUGCAGCUAAAUUUUAUCUCCGUCAUUGGUCAUUUUCUGAUUCCAUUGUGUACUGUGUGAACGAAUCUUUCAGGCAUUAAACCCUUUGCGGAAGACUUUGAUUCUACGUUGACCUGACUUUUAGACUAGACUGAAUGGUCAUGGCUGGAAUUGAUGAUAACAUGGCAGUAAUUGGAGACUGGGUGCCGCCUAGUCCAAGUCCAAGAACCUUUUUCGCAGCAAUAUCAGGUGAUGAUAUUAGCUCAAGAGAACCACCCAGUGAGAAUGGGGCUGAUGGGCUCUCCUUAGGAUCUCAAGAGCAGAUGACAUCAGGAAAUACUGAGAAAAAGAACAUGAUGACAGGAGGUGCAUCAACUGACUUAGGUCCAUUUUCUGAGCAGAAAUCAAGGUUGGCGGCAAGAGCUGGGUUUAAUGCUCCAAGGUUGAAUACAGAAAGCAUUAGAACAUCUGACCUUUCUCUGAACCCUGAUAUUCGAUCUCCUUACUUGACAAUACCACCUGGUCUCAGCCCAACGACACUGCUGGAGUCUCCAGUUUUCCUUUCAAAUUCCCUGGUGAGUUUAUUUCUUGAGAAAUGUCACCUGUUGUUUCUUGAAUUCUUGUCUUUAAAUGAAAUUUGAUAAUAUGAAAUCUAUUGAUGGGGUUUCAAAUGAUUGCAUUCCGAUAGGAACCAUUACGAUUCCAGUUUGUGGCUUUUUUGCAUUUUGCGUUAAUUUUUUUGCUUAUGCUGAGAAGAAAGUAGUUUUAGAUAAUAACUACAUUAAAAAAUGAGUUUAAUUUUAUGAAUUUGCUGUGGCACAUGCUAAAAAACUGAACCCUUGCCUCCGCAGGCACAGCCAUCUCCAACAACUGGAAAGUUCUCAUUCAUCCCAAAUGGUAAUGGUAAAAGUUCGACAUGUAUCUCAGAGGCCCCUGAUAAAAGCAAGGAUAACAUCUUGGAGGACAUCAAUACAUCAUUUGCGUUUAAGCCUGUUGCAGAAUCAGGUUCUUUUUCCCUUGGUACAAGAAAUAAGGCAAGUAUAAUAUGGCCGGAUUCCUAAUGCUAUUUGUUAAACAUUUUCAUUUUCUGUCUGUUGAAUAUUGUGUGACUAGUACUUACAGAUUUACUUUUCCUCAUCCUCAGCAGUCCUUUCCUAGUAUUGAGGUUUCUGUUCAGUCUGAGAAUUCCCAUCAGUCCCAAAAUGUAAAUGCAGCCAAAGUCCAUUCUCAAUACAGAAACAGCCUCAGCCUCCAAGUCCAAACAGACUUCUCCAGAGCAACAACUGAAAAGGAUAAUGGGUGUAAUACCAUCUUGGCUGAUCAAAGGGUCUUUGAUACUUUUGGUGGCAGUACUGAACAUUCUCCACCUCUUGAUGAGCAACAGGAUGAAGAAGGAGAUCAAAGAGGCAGUGGAGAUUCCAUGGUUGCUGGUGCUGGAGGUGCAUCAUCUGAAGAUGGAUAUAAUUGGAGAAAAUAUGGACAAAAACAAGUGAAGGGUAGUGAGUAUCCCCGUAGUUAUUACAAGUGCACACAUCCAAACUGUCAGGUUAAGAAGAAAGUGGAGAGAUCUCUUGAAGGCCACAUAACCGAGAUCAUAUACAAAGGAGCUCAUAAUCACCCCAAGCCUCCACCCAAUCGCCGAUCAGCCAUUGGGUCUAACCCUCUUGACAUGCAAUUAGACAUUCAUGAACAGGCUGGACUGCAGAGUGGUGCUGAUGGUGAUCCCUCAUGGGCAAAUACACAGAAAGGGACUGCUGGUGGAACUCCCGAGUGGAGGCAUGACACUGUCGAGGUGACAUCAGCAGCACCUGUGGGACCUGAAUACUGCAACCAAUCUUCUGCUUUGCCUGCUCAGAAUGGCACUCCCUAUGAAUCAGGUGAUGCAGUGGAUGCCUCAUCUACCUUCUCUAAUGAUGAAGAUGAAGAUGAUCAGGCGACACACUGUAGCGUAGGUUUUGAUGGUGAAGAAGACGAAUCUGAGUCAAAGAGAAGGUAUCUUUUUCCUUUCUCCAUAUUUCUGCUAUGAAGUCUAGAAUUGUAUAUUUACUUCACUGUGGGAAUAUGCUUAUGUUAUUGAUAUCCCAGGAAAAUUGAAGCUUAUGCAACAGAAAUGAGUGGAGCCACUAGAGCUAUUCGUGAGCCUAGAGUAGUGGUUCAGACAACGAGUGAGGUAGAUAUCCUUGAUGAUGGAUACCGCUGGCGCAAAUAUGGGCAAAAAGUUGUGAAAGGAAAUCCAAAUCCAAGGUGAUCCUUGAAAUCAUCUACUUCCCCCCCCCCCCCCCCCCCCCCNNNNNNNNNNNNNNNNNNNNNNNNNNNNNNNNNNNNNNNNNNNNNNNNNNNNNUCUCUCUUUCUCUCUGAGAUACACGUGCACAAAAAAUGCACAAGCCUGCAUGCCCAAAGCAAAAUUGCAGUCCUAACAGUCGCAUUGAAAUUGAAAUUUUGUUGCUAUCUUGUAGGAGUUAUUACAAGUGCACAAGUGCAGGCUGCACGGUGAGAAAGCACGUGGAGAGGGCGUCCCAUGAUCUGAAGUCAGUGAUCACCACAUAUGAGGGAAAGCACAACCAUGAUGUUCCCGCUGCUCGAAAUAGCAGUCAUGUUAACUCUGGCUCCUCAAGUGCCGUUGCUGCCCAUGCUGCUGCUGCUGGUCAAAUCCACAGGCCCGAGCCAUCACAGCUUCACAACAGCAUGGCAAGAUUUGACAGACCUGCUUCUUUUGGUUCUUUCAGAGUACCUGGAAGGCAGCAGUUCGGACCUUCCCCUGGCUUCUCAUUUGGAAUGCAUCAACCAGGCCUGGCCAAUCUAUCUAUGGCAGGACUUGGCCCCGGCCAACCCGAGCUGCCUGUUUUGCCUGUUCAUCCAUAUUUGGCACAGCAACGCCAGGUUAAUGAAAUGGGUUUCAUGAUGCCAAAAGGAGAACCAAAGGUGGAGCCAAUGUCGGAACCUGGUCUGAACUUGUCGAAUCGUUCAGCAGUUUACCAGCAGCUAAUGAGUAGGCUACCUCUUGGACCUCAGAUGUAAAUGUUGCUGCUUUAUUUUAUUUGAAUUUAUUCCAUAAUUAUAAUUAUAAUUAUAAUAAUUAUUAUUAUUGUUUUGUUGUUCUGAGGAAAGUAGUGCUAUUUUAUAUAAAUCUAUACAAAAAUUCUGUUCUUUAGAUGAUCCAUUCUGUGAUUCUUUGUUCAUUGCGAAGCUGUACCAAAUUUUCAUCCAUUGGUAAAUGAUGAAAGCAUGCAUCAACUUGUAGAAGGCGACUUUCUGUUAAAGAUGCUAUUUUUCAUUUUAGCUUCAGUCUACACUCAGUGUGUGCAAGAAAAAUCUAUUAAUAGUUCACGCUUCAAACUCAUCGUUUAAGGAAAAUUGUGAUUAUAAAAUAAAAAUUAUUAAUGAAGAUAUUAUAGAUUUUUCAUUAUAUAAGUGUAGAAUUAAAUCAAUUCAGUUUCUAAACCAUAAUAAUAAGUGUUUAAUAGACAUUUUCAUAAUAUAAUUUUUGCCGUCCAAGCACUCCAAACAGGGCAUUUAGGCUAAAUGCUGAAUGUGUGCGGGCAUGAACCCGUUUAGGCUCCCGUACUGCAACGAUCCUUGCCGUUUAACAUUUGCCAAAAUUUUUAUCAAACACACUUGGCGUGUAGCAUUAUUAGAGGGGGAAAAAAAAGAUCCUUAGCCGUGAAAAAUAAAGAAUUAAGUGAAAUUUUCAGAAAAGCUCCAAUGCAACCCACUCUGUGCUGUGAAACACAUGCAUCAAUCGGUAAUAUUGAGUACAUUUAUCAGGGAAAAAUAUGGAUCUUUUUAACUACUGAUUUUCAAUUCCUUUCGCUACUUAAUACGAAAAAAAAGGGAAUAUUACAUUUACAAAGUGUAAUUUUGCUAAAUUACAAGAGUUAAGAUAUCAGCAGCAAAACCCACAAUGGGUAACUCUAAAAGGCAUGUAUAUUUUGCUUGUCAAUGAAGAUGGGAUGAGUUCCAGAAUCAACACUCGGCAAUCAAAUGCAAUCAAUCACCCACUCAAUGGCCGUUUGAAAUCUCCUCGAGAUUUUUGUCUUUACUAUGCUGAUAAACUGAUUUCCGGUGAUUUACUUCUUCUCUGUUGGACAUAAAAUCAGAAAAGUGCCAAUUGAUUAAUUAUUUGGAAACUUUUGUUCCCCAACCAAGAUCAUAAAACAAGGGAAGCGGAAAAUGAUACCAGAUUUGCUUAUUUAAAAGGAGACUGAAUGAAAACAAUGAAAUCAAAUGAUAUAAUAACAGACUGAAAGAGAGUAAGAACCUGAGACAAUUCCAUAUAGAAUCAUAAUGAAGAAUAGCAACAAUUCUUUGCUUCCUUCUUCUUUGGAGUUCUCUGGAACGCUUAAUUACAGGCAACUGCUUGAUCCCCUUGGCCUCCAUUAAUUCCUUGGCAAUCGCCAGAUCUGUGUCCGGGUAGCAGGUUAAAAGUCCACGCUCUCGGCCUCUAUAGCUUAUCCCUCGAGUACAAAUAGAGGAAACAAGACAUGUAUUCACCUAUAAAGAUUUCACUUGCAUGUCAUCAGUAAGGAUAUAGAUAGACAAAGUAAAGACAAGCUGCGAGAGUUCAGAAAAGUAAGGCAACAAUUACAUACAUCGGAAGCUAUUGAAUCGCCCUUGGAAUUAUCACUAGACAGUUUGGACAAGCAACGUUUAAUGUCACCAUAUGUUAAUAUGCCCUCCAGGAAAUCUUCACCGUUAACCACAAGGACACAAUUCUGUUGGCCAUCUUUCAUGGAUUCUAUUGCUUCUUUUAAGGUUACAGUAAGUGCAACCUUUACAAAUUCCUUUGACAUAGCCCUAGAAACCUGACAAGGAGGGAUGGAGAAUUGAAGUAGCUUAAGUCACAAUUAAUGGAAAAUAAGCAGGAUUGUAAUUUGUGAGGAGCUUUAGUCAGGUACAAAAUGAUGAAGCAUAUCAGGAAAAUUGUACCUUCAAUUCUUCCAAAAGCAUUUCUUCAGCUGCUUCAGAGUCAGCAGCGUUUUCUACGACAGAGAGUUCUAACUCAUCUGCGCCAUCAGUCCUCCUCCAUAAAACCUCAUUUUUAUCUUCCAUAGGUGAAAGCGACGAAUAACCCCUAGCCAAAGUCCGUUUAUCAGAUGCAUCCGUCUCCUUGGCCUGGUUUGCCACAGAGGGAACCCAUAUUGCCAAUCCAACAGCUCCCUACUUGCGAAAUAGGGGAAACAAAAUCAAGCACCAAGGUAAAAUUAGCCUCUGAACAGCAUCAGUGCAUUGUUAUGAAAGACUACAACUUAACAGUAUCAGUGCAUUGUUGCAAUUGUGAUUGCCUUCAGAAGACAACAUCCGCAUGCCAUUGCAAAAUGGAAAGGAAAGGAAUUUUCAUAGGCAAUAAGCAGUGAACACACCCAUGCCAAACAUGAAAGAUGCAAGAAGAUUUUGGAUCAAUUACCAUGAGAGGAAGCAAUAUCCUGUAAUCUCUAGUCAGCUCAAAGAGAAGUAGAACUGAUGUCAAGGGUACAGAACAAACAGAAGCUAAUGUAGCAGCCAUUCCGACCUGCAUUAUGAGUUUGUAAGGACAGUAAUUAGCUAAUGAAGAUCAACAUCCCCAACAACCCUCAGACCAAGCCAAGAAAAAUGUAAUUGAUAACUUCUUUAUAAAAUGGAAAUGUUACCAGAGCAUAGGCCUGCGGCUCUGCAACAGCGACAUUGCCUGGAAUGGCUGAAUUUAUAAUUUCUGCAGCCGAACCACCAAAUACAGCACCAACAGCUGCACCAAUCAUCAAACUUGGUGCAUAAAGACCACCCACAAGCCCAGACCCUUUGCACAAAGCUGUGGCCACAACCUUAGCAGCUGCAAGUUGAGUUAACAACCAGAUUCCAGGAGCAGAUGCAGUUUUCCCAGUAUGUAGGAUUUCUUCAACAUUUGUGAAACCCCAGUAUAGUAUUCCCGGAUAUCUAAGAGCAAUUAUCCCAGCUCCCAAACCACCUAAAGCAGGGCAUACAACAGGAGGAAGGCCAAAUUUUUCCUUGAUGAAAUCAAAUGACUUUGUAAACCAAGCAACCAAACGAGUGAAGACUACACUUACAACUCCACAUAGCAUGCCCAAUAUGAGGUAUAAAGGUAAUUCUGCGAGACAAUAUCAAAAAAAAUAAUCAGUAAGCAGAUGAUUCACGAACCGUCUAUUGAAAUUUCAUCUAUGGAUUGGACGAAAUUAUCCCGGACCCAAAAAAAAGAGAAAGAUCUGACUAAUAGAACAAGCAGAAUCAGAAAUCAAAUAUAUAAAAUUACAAAAGAAAAAAUAAAAUAAAAUAAAAUAAACUAAGAUCUCCAACAAGCACGGUUAAUGUCCAAUAAAUACUUCACAGAAGAAUACCAUGCAGAUUCAGGAUAAAACCAAUAUAUAAAAAUCAAGAACAAUACCAGCAGCUGACUUCAAAUCAUAUGAGGGCACAGUGAAUGCUGAUUGUGUCCCCAGCAAAACAGUUGAUACUGUAGAUGAUAUAACAGAGGCCAAUAUUAUCAUUGCGGUUGUAAAUGGGGGUGAGUUUUCAGCCCGAAGAGGCCUUAACACAGUUUCAAUGGCAAAGAAACAACCGGCUACAGCCGCAUUAAAACCUGAAAGCAAAUUGAAACAGAAAUAUCAGCCACUUGAACGAUCAAAACUGGAAAGGGCACACGUUCUAGAAGCUCAAAUAAUCAGCCACUUGAACGAUCAAAACUGGAAAGGGUACACGUUCUAGAAGCUCAAAUAAUAACUCCCAAUUACAUUAAUAAAUAAGGAUGAGAAAACUCAACCUCAUUGUUAUUCAUAUCUAGAUCAAAGCUAGCUAUUAAAUACAAAAGUGCAUACAGAUCCAUAAUAAAUUUAUGAUACCUGAAGCAAUUCCAGAAGCAGCACCAGCUGCAACAAGCGCAAUUUUCCUUUCUCUGUUAUUUUCCAUCAUUAAAGAAAAACCAUUGGCACAUGAUUUUCCAAUAUCAACACUAGGACCUUCAGGACCCAAAGAACAACCAGUACCUAAAGUAACAGCAGCCUGAAUGGCCUUUAUUGUAGGAAACACUCCGGCAACCAAAUCAAAACCUUGUCUAUCCAAAGAACUCGACUGCUUUAUUUGAUUUAAUAUCUCAAGUAAUCCAUGCAUCAUUCCAACAAUUACUCCUCCCGUCACUGGAAUGAGUAAAAUCCGAUGCCAAGUGUCCGCCAGUCUCUGUAAUCGAAGCCAAGCAGCACCCUCAUUCGGAGUACCCGCCCAGGCCCAUUCAUGUAUAAUAUGAACCUAAAUAACCAGACAAGCAACCAGUUUGUAUUAGCCUAAAAAAAAAAAAUCGGACUUUAAAACAGGAAAAAGAAAAAAAAGAUCAAUUUCCUUGCAAAGCAAUCAAUUUGGAUAAAUAUUUGCAACUAGCAAAGCUACAAAGCAAAAAAGAUUCAAACUUCAAAACAAAAAGAUCAAAAUUCAGCAAAAGCUAACCCCUUUAUUGAAGAAGGCAACGCACAAACCGGAUGCGAGGCCGAGAAGGCAACCGAUGAGAAGCAACGCCCACUCAGGAGGGGCACUUUCCGUCAGAGAAUCACGGGCGUCCACAUAAUUAUGGUGAUCGAAAGACGACGAACGCGAAUGCGAAAGAGGAGGAUCUUUGAAAGUUAUGCGGCGAUCGGAAAAUCGACGAUCCAAUUGCUUAAACAGAUCUUUGAUUCCGCCUGCCGCAGAAGGAGUACUGGUUCUAUUCGACGGCGAAUCUGGAGCUGAUUCUAAGUCUUCUUGAUUCGACGAUCUCAGCGGACGCCUCUCAUCGCUUGACAUUUUCUGCUUUCGAAAAUUUGAUUAUUUUUUAUUUUUUUUGGUUUACGAUUUAUCAGUUCUUCAUUUUGUUUGUUCUACUGGUUUAUGCAUUCGUAGCCUUCUUCUUCUUCAUCGUCUUCGUUUCGUUCGGUUCCGUUUUGUUUUCAUUUUGAAGCUUUGUUUUUCAUUUCCUAUAAUAUUAAUAUAGUGUGACGUAAAAAUGAAGGUAAAAUAUUAUUUUUAAGAGAAUAAUAAAAGUAAUUAGCAAUAUAUGGAUUACGAAAACCAAAUAUGAAGUUUUUCUUUUAAAUAAUAAUUUAUGAAGUUAAAUUAGAGUAAUUUCUAUAAACGAAGCAAAAAAAAAAAAAAAAUCAUUUUAUUUAUUUUUGUGGAAAGGAAGCAAAGACCUUUUUCUUUUUGACAAUAAAAGUAGGAAGCAAAGACCUUUUACUUGUGUGGACUGCAGUUGUUUCACAGUAAACAAUUAACACUCGUUUUUGUAACUACAGAGUAGAGGGGUGGUCUUUAUUAAUUAGUCUAUACAAAUUAUCUCUCUAUCUUGGUUCUAAUUCAUUUCUUGAUAUUCACCAAUUUUUAUGCACAUUAAAAUUUUGUUAAUAUUUGUUUUUGAAUGAUCAAUUUUACUCCUUUUAAUUUAUGAUAGCCCAUAUUAUUAUUUGCAGUUAAAAGAAAAAUAUAUGAAAAAUUUGAUGAGAAUUAAAGAAUUGAGAAUGAAAAGAGAAGAAAAAUAUUAAUUACAUAAUUUUAUCAAAAAAUUAUUAAUUAAAAAGAUGGUAUAAAGAAAAAAAAUUAGUGAGUUCAAAUAGUCCCACCUAAAGAAAUGAGUGAUAUAUAUUAUAAUAUGUAACAAAAAAAAAUGUUAUUAUUUGAAUGUGAUGUAAUAUUUUAAGAUUAAUUUUAUAUAUAUAUAGAUGUAUACAUAUCUUUAAAUUUAAUUUUUAAAUAAAGUAUUGUCCAAAUCUCAUCUAAUAAUCCCACUAACUAAGAUGGGAUGGUGAAGAAUCCAACCCAAUCGAAACCCCACUGACUGAGCAUGUAUGUAUCUCAAUGAAUGAAUUGUUUUUCAAUAAAAACAAACAAUAAGAGUAGAACACGUUGUGUUGUAUCAUUUGAUAAUUGGGCAUUGCCCACCGGACUUUGUUGGCAUUUGCCCACGAACGCAUAUAACACAACAAGAGGUUAUCAUCCCAUUUCUUUCGAGGGCAAAAAAUUUGAGUAGAUCACAAUAUUACAAUGUGCCCAUCUUACAUAUCAUAUUAUUAUUAUUAUUAUUAUUGUUAUUAUUUUAAAAGAAGAAUGAUACUUUAAGUCUUCAAUAAUUUUCAUUUGUAUCAUUUAAGUCCUUAAUUCUGUAAUAAUAAAUUAUUACUUACAUAAAGAGUGUGUUCGGCAGCCAGCUUAAUAAUUUAUACAGUGCAGCAAUCUUAUGUUUAGAUUAUAGCAAUAGCUGCACAAUGCACUAUAAUGUAACAACUGCCAAAUUAUGCUAACCUUAACCUUGGGUUUACAUAAUAAAACAUUAUUCUCUCUCUCUGUUAUAUAUUAUAUUAUUCAAUAAAAAUAAAACUUAUAUUUAAUGUUACAUUAUUUAAUUAAUAUAUAUAUAUUAUAUUAUUCAAUAAUUGUAUAUUAUAUUUGUAUUUUUAUGUUAAUUAUAAAAAAUAAAAAAUAAUUUAAUAUCUUAAUAUAAUAUAAUAUUAUUGUAUUGUACUAAGAUAAAUUAUUAAAUAGUUAAUUUAACAUAACCAAUAAAAAUUAAAUAAUAUUAUAAAAUAAUGAUAUACAAAUAUUAUUAUAUUUAGUUCAAUUUAUUGCACCAAGUAUGAAAUUGUAUUAUAAUUUAAUCGCAAUACAAUACACCAUAAAUUAUAUAAGAUGAUACAAUUAAUGUAAUACAAUAUAAUGUGUUAAACGCGCCCAAAAUAUAAAACAAAAUUAUAAGUUUAAAAAAAAAAACAUUUAUCCCGAAACAGUAAAGUUCAAAACUUAAAAUUAUAACAUCACGACAUAAGGGAUUAUAAUAAAUAAUUAAAAACAUUAAAAAUCUAAAUGGCAAUAAUAAAACGAAUUAGGGAGCCGAGUGUUAUUUUAUUUUCUAAAUACUUAAAGGAGAUGACAGAUGGAGAGCGCGUGCACACGUGCUAGAGAGCUGGCGUGGCUGUGUCAAAAAAGUUUGGUUAAGGCAUGGCACUCGUUUCUUGGCGGAUGGAAUGAAAAGGAGGAAAAAAAAAAUCUCAACAAGUGAAUUAACAGAGAAACCCAUGUUCAAAUUCUGCUGUGUUUCUGGUCAGAAUCAGUUUGAAGACGAAAUUUUGAACGCAAAUUUAAAACGAACACCGCCAGCCACUUUGCACCCAGAAAGUUAAAGGGAAAAAGAAAAUUUUCCUUUUUUGCUAUCUGAAAGCAACAAAAAGACAUUCAUAAUUGGAAAGUUGCUGCUGAUGACCAAAAAAUGUUGCCUUUACUCUUUUGCUAAUGUAAGAAGGGGAUUAGGGUUUGACUUGGAGGACUGGAUGUGGUAAUCUCAGCUACUGGAUCUGAAAUUAUAGAGAGACUUGAGCUGGGAUCUGUUUAUUCUUCAAUCAAAACAAACCCAGCCAUACAAUUCAAGCAAAAAAAAGGAACAAAUAGAGGUUUGAUUUUUACUGUCAAGAUUGGCCCUGAUCUUUUCAUCUGAAUUCUUGGAUUUGGUUUAUAUUUGAUCUUUAAAACACUGGACAUUUAAGCUUUUAUGCAAAUUAUCAUUUGUUGACCUUGACUUGAGCUGAACAUUUUCUUCUGGGGUUCUGUUUUACUUAUUUUUAUUGAAGUUGAAAUUUGGCUGGGAAUUUGCUUGUGUAGCUGUAAUUCCGAACCAAGUUGAUUUUGUGGUAGUUGAGAACAUUUCUAUUUGUGAGAAAGACAGGCUUGGCUGUUGGCUGUGUGUUGUUCUGACUUUCUGAGAGAUUUACAAAUCAUAGAAUCUUCACUGUUCUGUGGACAAAAGUAUAACAAAUGCCCUGUGGCAAAAUCCAGUUCUAACAUAAUUGCUAAAGAUUGAUCUAAUUCCUUUUGACCUUGAAAUUUAAAUUUGUGGAGCAUAAACGUUGGUCUUUGUUAGUCUUUACUUUGAAGAACUGCAUGUAGCUCUUGAAAAUUGUUGGUUUACAAUUGAAUUGAUUACCAUGAAUAUAUAGGUACUCUGAGGCAACAACCAAUAUGCAUGCUAGGCAUCGGAGUCCUGGAAAUGGCUACAGGUCAAUAGGGAUGGGCAUGGGCCCAGAAGCUUCAGCUAGAGGCCGUGGAUUUUACAAUUCAGAAUACCGGGGCUUCAACCGUGGGUUUGGGCGUGGCCAGGGCCAGCCUAAAUCAUUUCAGCCGCCGCCUCCCACACCAAGAAAGGGUGACAUUUUCAUGGAAGCAGGUCGACUUGCCGCUGAGUAUCUGGUUUCGCAGGGACUGCUGCCUUCCAGUGUACUGUCUGGCAAAUCGCAGAAUGGUAAUUUUAGGUCACUAGAUGGAGAUGGUAUGCAACUUCCAUCGGAAGGUCGGACAUCAGCCCUUACCCGUCUUGGGAAUUCUGGUUCCGAUGUGGAGUCUGGUAGGAGAAGAUACCCAGAUGAUUAUAACUCAAUGGGGUUGGGGAAUUAUUUGAAAGGUAGGAGAAAAGGGUCCUUCAGAAGUUACGGAUCAGAUUGGGGAAGAGAAUAUGGCAGGACUGGUUCAUGGUCAGAGAGAAAUAAAAUUUCCCCCGAUGUGGAGGGUGAUGAUGACUCUUAUUCUGGGCAUCAAGAGGAGCAACGUCUUGGUAAAGAUGUUGAUAAUGGGUUGCAGAAGGCUGGGACGGGUGGAUUUGCACCAAAAAGUGAGGAAGCUGGUAGCAUAGAGGCUGAAUCGGAUAAGCAUAAUGUCCUUGAUGUAAUGGGCUCACGAGUGAGUUCUUCAAGCAACGGAAAAGAUUUACUUAAAGAGACUGAUGGUGAAUUCUCCAGGAAAACUGUGGAAUCAACAAACAUGAAUGUGGAGACUGGAGAGCUGAAGGAUGUUUCUUGCAAAGAUGAAACAGAGAAACUGGAUGACACGGAGGGCUCAUCCAUCAAGCACUGUGCUGAGGAAGGUGAUACAUUGCGCAAGAGUAAUAAUGAUUUACUAGCAUUGUGUAAAUUUGCCAAGGUGCCCACAAAAACUCGCUCUUCACUGUCAUAUAAAGGCUUGAAGGCUGAUUCGGUUUCAAAUAAUGAUGAUGAAAACACUUCUGAUAUCAAACCUUCCAGAAGAUCCGAGGUCUUAGUUGAAGAUGUUUCUGCUGCUGAUUUGCCAUCGAAUAAAACUCAAGAGUCAAUGUGUAACGACUUUGAAAUGUCCAAACCUCUGACUAUCCAGGCCGUUGAGUCUGUGGGAGCAUUAAGCUCUACUUCUGGUAUCAAUCAAGGUAAAUGUGCAAGAUCACAAUCUUUCCCAGAUAGAGGUUUCGUGCAUGACACCAAGCUGGAAUCAGUUCAGGAGCUGUCAGAUCUGCAGAGGUCCAGUUCUAUGGUCAUUGAGAGAGGUGAAAAACGACCCAUGGAAGAUAAUGAUACAAGGGAAGGAGCCAAAAAAUUAAGAGAAUGGUUUCCAUCAAUGGUUACUAAGGCUGAUGAGUACUUUGGGAUGUCCAAUUUGGGUGAGAAGAAAGCAGUUUCACUAGAAGAAACGGCUUCACCUGAGGAAAAGGUGAUUCUGGCUUUUGAUCAAGAGAGCUCAGUUAAUAACUAUCAAUUUCAAAAGGGAAUUGGUGAACCUUGUGUUGAGUACACAGAAGAGAAACAGCUUUUUCCUGGUUCAUUUAAGAUUUGUGACCUUAAUCUAAUGGAAGGUUCAGACUUGAAUGAGAAUCAUCAGAGUGAUCCAACUCGCAUGUACCCUUCUGUUCCAAAAAGAGAAGCUACGCCAGUUGAUAUUGGUUUGUCCAUGAGUAAUUCCAGUAUGGUUAGUGAAUAUAGUAGACGUCAAAGUGAUUGUAAGGCGAUUGAAGUAAUUGAUUUAGAGGAUGAUUCUGUCCAAGAAAACAAGACUAAUGAUAAUUCAGAGAGAAAGUAUGUUUCUCUUAUCUCCUGUGUUUUCUCUGUUACUUCAUUGGUGCAUUUCUCAAAUAUACACGAUUAUGGUGUUAUAAUCUUUUGGAAAUCCAUAUUGAUUUUUUGAACAUAAAUUGUUCCUUUAUGCAGGACCGAAACUAUGUUUACCAGUUUGGAAGGUUUUCCUAACAAUACACAGAAUUCCACUCAAAUUCUUGAUGUUCCGGAUAACUAUGAUGGGCUUACAAUCACACAGUUACUCAAUACUUUUCCAGAUUGUCCUCCAGUACCUGGGGAUAUUAAUCCCCUUCAGAAUGAGAUGGUCCUACACAAUGGAGAGGUAUUGCCACCGUCUUCUAAGACUUUUGGUUAUUUAUUCAACAAGGGUCUUUCUCAUUUUUAAUGUGAACACCAGGCAACAUGAUGGCUGCUGGGCGUAAUUUGAUGCCUAUUUGUAGUGUCUUUAAAUGUUUAAUUUUUUAAUCUUGCAGCACGAGCAUGUAGUUUCCUAUUUUUCGGUUUGAUCAUGGAAUGAAUACUACAUCACUAGAUUCCAUGUCUUGAGUUCAUUACGGCUGAUUAAUUACCAAUUGUUUUUAACUGGUUGUUUCAGGGGGCUCUUGCUGAUGAUGAUUCAAUAUACAUGUCCCUGGAAGAAAUACCACUGAGUAUGCCAGAUAUUUAAUUUCAUGCUUUUUUUCUUUUGAAUUUACAGCGUAGCUAGAAGUGUAUUGGGUUAACUAAUAUGGUGGAUGGGAUUUUAGAAUUUUGAUAACUUAUUCAAGCUGAUCUAAAGGGAAUGCCCAGGAAGCCAUUAGAACCAGUUGUAACUUCUGUAUCAUGCAGUUAAUGUAGGUGGUUUUUUAUUCCAAUUUUAGCUGGUAAAGAGCAUGGGCCGGGUGAUUAUUGGCUUGCGAGAAGUGUUAUUGGUUAGUUAAUGUGGUGGAUGGGAUUUUAGAAUUUUGGUAACUUAUUGAAGGUGAUCUAAAGGGAAGGGCAUGAAGCCCUUCAAACCAGAUUGGAACUUCUGUACUGUGCAGAUUAAUGUAGCUGGUUUUUUAUGCCAAGCUUAGCUGGUAAAGUGCGAGGGCUGGGUGAUUUACCUCUGAGAUUUCAUUUCAUUGCUUUAGACCCUUCCCUCAAAUUGUUUCAUUGUUUUUUUAUGCCAAGUUUGCUACUAAGUGGAUGGAGUACCCAUUUUUCUUUUUUUUUAACGCUCAAAUUUUUGGACGGUGGGCAAUUGAUUUUUUUUUUUUUUUGCCCCUACCUUCUGCUAGAUUCAAACUUUGGUGGCCAACAAAAGAAAGCUACUUGAAAACUGCUUGGCCUAGCCCCUAGGGGCAAGUGGAUCGAGUACUGGUCCAUUAUGUUUUUUGACCUGUUAAAGUUUUGGCGUUGAAUUUAUGUUUCUGCACUAAUAUGGUAGGAUCUUCUUCGCUAAAUAGAAAAGAAAAGAAAAUUAGUAUUAGUGUUGGGUUUUAUUUAUUCUUAGAUAGGGCAAUGUUCAAAUUUUUGUUGAAUCAUGCUUUUGUUGUGGUGAUUGUGAUGAUAGUGUACUUGUUGACCAUAUGUAGUUUUUGACUUCCUCAUAUUUUGGUGCUCUAAUUCAUCCCUUGUAAGAAUUGUUUUUGAUGAUUUUUAUGUAGGCUUUUUGCGGGGAUGGGAGCAGCCACCACCACAAGAAUAUGAGAAGCCUUUCUGAUAUGGCGAUCGCUGAAAACUUAACUGAAGAUACUGCUUGGUUUGCAUAAUAUUUGGCCACUGGGUUCUUUUGUUGCAAUUACUAUUUACUCCAACUGUAUGCCUGCUUCUGGUAGUAGUUUGAUUUUGAUGAUAGAAGAUAAGCAUAUUCCUUCGGUAGGAAUUCAGGCAAACCGUGAUUUCUUUUUUACUAUAUUUGGCUGUUACACCUCAUUGUAAACUAAAUGGCGUUUGUAGUGUUGUUGGUUGAAAAAAUAUCUACUUACUUUUCCACGCAUAAUACCUGGUUGGUUUUCAGAAAUUAUGUCGUCUAAUACAUUAAGGUCUAACAAAUUUAUGACCAUUUUUUCGUCAAAUGGGAACUUGCAUAUUUAAAUUGAUAAUAUGAGAAGGAUAGAUUAAUGUAGGCUGCUCCAAUGUUCCCCGCUUGGAGCACUCUGCUGCAAAUUCUGAUGACAAGAAUCAUUUUUAUUUGACUCAUGGCUUAGCAGCUGUUUUCUGCGUACUCUUGUCUAAAUGCAUCAAUUGCUGAUUGGUUCAAUGAUUUAGCAAAUUUGUUUGAAUCAAGAUUCUUGUUUGAUAUCUGGCUGUAUCUGUACUAUGGUAAUGGACUAGCAGUCCAAGUUAUUGGAUUGGAGGGAGAAACUUCUUAUCAAGUUUCAAAAGCUUAAAGCUCAGCAUAAUUUCAUUGCCAACAAACCGGUAAGAAAUUAUCUUCCCUCCCUGUAACACAGGAUGUCUUUGGCUAUAUACUAGACUUGCUCAGCUGAGCAUGCAGCUGCAUUUGGCAUAUAAUUCCAACUUCUUCGUGCUGCUAGUCACUCUAAACAAGCACUGGAGGUCUUUUCCAUGCCCUAGAAUGUAUUGUUUUUAUUCAUAAGCUAGAACUAAAAGAGCAGUGGCCGGUAGCACGUGCAGAUGCAAUCUCUGUUUAAAAAAACGGAGCACUUGCAGUCCAACUUGUUCGCUCAAGAAGAAACGAAAGAGUAUGACAUGACAUGCGAAAGAAGUCUAUUAACUAAAGAAAUGAAAGAUAAAGACGUGUGACCAGAAAUUAAGGGCUACCUAUAAUAUAGCUUACAAAGUCUACAACCUUUUAUUGUAUACAAUCCGUCCGUUGGUGGAUCAUGUUCAUGUAUAAUGCGUAUAUUCAUCAGUGUAGAAGGUCUUUAAAUUCUUAAUGGUCCUGGUCUAUAUGGACCCACCUGCCUUGAUAUUUAAGACGUUUGAUUCUACAAUAUCUGAUGGCCUUUUGUCCCCGAUUUGCAUCUUCUUCUUGUACAUUUAUUAUUUACUGCCCAUUUGGCUAAAAAGCAAGGGGCUGAGGAAACCCUUUGGUUGUUUUGGCUCAACACUGAUGAAAACUCGGUUCAAAAUUCAAAAGCUUGUCGACUGUUGUGAUAUAGCAUGCACUUGCAGCACACAUGCUAGCUGUAACUUGAAUAAACAAGUGGUAUCAGAACCAAUGAGGCUAAUUGAACAUGAUUCCACGUACAGCGGAUGUUUGUUGCAUAUUGAAUUGACGAUGGGGAGUUUUUGAGUUACCAAUUUGAUCUGCCGAACUGACAUUGACUGUUUCUGAAUCCAUAGUGAUUAAAGUGGAAGAGUGGGAGUUGGAACGCCUUUCUUGUUUCGUUACGUUUUUAAACUUGGUUAUUGCCUUAAUUAAGAGAAAGAAAAAGAAAAAGAGUCAUAUGGGGCUGCUGUACCGUACAUCCGCCUUGGCCGUACAGCAGAAGCGUAUCAAAUCCUCACUAGUUUGAAUAGUUAUUUUGUUAAUUUUCCUGAAUGACUUUUACAACUGUAUAUAAUUUACACACUCGUGAUAUGCCGGGGGAAGUGAUCGCUAUAAUUUACUUUCAUCAUGCCCAAUUCAUUCGUCGAUUCGGGUGGAUUAUGCUUUGUUAUUUUCAAUUUGACCAUUUAUUUGAUACAAGUUACAUAAUUAAAUUAUUAUAUUACACAAUUAUAUGUAAUAAAUCCACAACAGUAAUAAUAACACAAAAAAAGACUGUCAUUUUGCGUGAUAGUUAGACAUACGCUAUUUUUUGCAUGUCGUGCCCUAUCGUACACACGCGACAAGCGCGCGCGUGUUACGUGCAGCAUGCACUCCCCCUCGCACGCUACCUGUGAUAGCCGCGUGUUUCGUUCUUUCAUCGAUCACUAAAUUUACUCUUUAUCGCACUAGGUAUACGAAAAACAAUGCACACAACUCAGCAAAACCCUCGUAGGGGAAGAUUAUGGGGGCACCGUUACAAGUCCUUGUCAGCAUCCAAUGAAUGGGAUUUUAAUUUAAUUAAAUCUUCUUACAGAAGAAAAAAAAAAAGGAACUGCUUCAUUACGUUAAGUAAGCACAAUCUGAAAACAACAUCACAUGGAUAUUAUGUAUGUAUGUAAGUAAUGGUAGUCUUAAAAAGAAAAAUCUAUGAAGAAAGCAAAGCAAUUAAGCAAAGUGAGGACAGCAACGCACACUUGCAUUUCUCUUCUUAGUCAGCAGCACAGCGCAGGCACUGCGGAGGCUUCAAAACAAUCAACAAAACAACAUGACAAGUGGGUCAUUCAUUUUGUCCGCUUAAAGAGUUAUAUGGACCUUCACACUCACUUGGGUUUUCAACUCUCUAACAAGUUGUCUUUUGGGACUGUGCAUUGAACCUCCAAAUAGUGGCCAGUGCUACUAGGCCUAGCUGUCUAGCUGAUUAUAUAAAUAAAUCGUGCAUUGAACCUCAGGCUCUCUCUCUCUCUCUCUCUCUCUCUGGGUUUUUUUUUUUUUUUUUACUUUUUGACAUGAAGCUAUUGAUUGUUCAGUAAAUACUUAGAAUUAUGCUUUGGCACCAAAAUUACAUAGGCCCCCUUAAAAUUUGAUGUUUAUGUAAAUAUGUCCACUUAACCAGUUGGUUAUCUUUUUCAAACAUCCAACAGCAGUUGCUUAAUCUUAAUGGUCAGAACUUAAAAACUUCUAUUUCUACUACACCAACGACUUAAAAGACAUAGCAGCAGCGUCAUACCAAAGGAAUACUUAAUACAUAUUUACAUAGGGAAUUGUCACUUUACUCCUUACAUUAUAAUCAACUCUCGCCAUUUAAUUCCCCAUUAUUUUUAUAAUAGCUAAUUACUAACGUGUGUGUGUGUGUGUGUGUGUGUUUUUUAUUUUUUUCUUUUUUUAAAUUUCUUCCACCAAUCUAUCUGUCUCUCCUUAUUUUAUUGAUAAAAAAAAGAGAUGGAUGGGUGAUUGAUCAUGUAAUCUGAUAACGAAAUCAUGAAAGACGGUCAAAGCAAGUAAAUCAUGCAUGCACUGUACUACCGAGUCACAGUGACAAAUAAAUCACAGCGACAUGUUGUCGCGGGCACAGUGAAACAAAUAGAAACUAGUAUCUUUCUUUUUAUAGCCUUGCCUUUUGUUUUGCUGCACUUGCCCAUUAAAUAAAAAAUAAAAAAUAAAAAUAAAUUUAUUAUUAUUAUAUAUUUUUUACCGAUGCCGAAAGAAAAAAUGAAAAAAAGAAAAAAAGAAAAAAGAAAUCGAGUCUGAAGUCUGAUCUCUGAAGCAGGCUGCAGCAGCUCUCAGCUCCGGCAGGGAUCCUGGAGUAAGAUCUUGCAGCGUAAACGUGGCAUCAUUUGGGUGAGCGGGGCAGACACUGUUAAUCUCCGUACACGUGUCCCGUCCUUUUUUUCUUUUUUUUUUAAUUUCAAAAAAUCUUGCAAGGGAGAGGACCCCGCGGAGCCAGACAUCCAACCGUCACAUCUCUUUCAUCCACCACACUUCCUCUCUUCUGUUGUGUUGUGCUGCCGCAAGAGCAAGUGCGAGUGCUGCUGCUGAGUCUUUGACUCCCACUUUUUUUUCUUUUCCGCUUUUUAAUAAAUAUUUUCUCGUGUUCCAUGUCUGAACACUCAUUGGCUCCUCUCUCUCUCUCUCUCUCUCUCUCUCUUAUUUCCAUAAAUUUUGAUGGGAAAAAAAAAAAAAAAAAAAAGAUGUUAUGCGAUCACACGUUUAUUUUUACCCACCGCCCAUCAAUAUUUGCAUGAAUUUUCUUCUUCUUCUUUUUUUUUUUUAAAAAAAUUUGGAGAAAAAUUAGCAUGAACCUCGGUCUUCUUCUAAAAUAAUCGUUAAUUUGCCAAAACGCGAACAGGGUUUUGGUUGUUAUAUAUGAAGAGGGUGAAAUAUAUGUGUACCCAAAUAAAUGCACAUGAACCACUUCUUAUUCAUCGAUCAUAUCAUAUACUCAUGAAAUAAAUAUAUGUACUAUGUUUAUCAAGAUUUAGAUGUAUCAUAUCAGCGGCCCCUAUAAUAAUACCUCUCUAGCUCCGCCGCAACAAAGUAAUGAAAUAUUAUAUCUUUUUGGUGUUCCCAUGCAUGAACCGUAUCAAUGUACAAGGCUUUAAUAUCUAUUUGUAGUGCCCCUCCCCCCCCCAAAAAAAUUAAUAAUAAUAAUAAUCACUUUGAAGGUUUGAAAAACGUGCAAUGGAGUAUCAUCCUUUUGCAAAUGUUAAGCUGCAUUUGGUAUUUUGGUAAUAUCAAAAUAAAUUUUAGCUUCCCCACAAAAAUAAAAAAAUAAAAAAAUUGCCCCCCUACUUGUGAGAGUUUUUGUUGUCAUGCUUAGAGUUUAUUUUUGAGUGAUACUAUUAGCACCUACCUCUUUUAAAAUAAAAUAAAAUAAUAUCUCUCUCUCUCUCUCUCUUUGAUUUUUUUGAUAAAUUAUCCUUCUAAUUAAAACUUAAAAGAGGUGUCGCCUUAGCUCUAUUUUUAUAUAUAUAUUUAUUUAUUUUUAAUAAAGAGUUGUAUGGUCAAAGUUAGAAAAUAAGUAAAUAUAGGCCUGGCAAAGCAAAAUAAAAAUAAAAAUGUUAGUAUUAGAUAUAAAUUAUGACUUUUUUACAAACUACACCUUAAAAUUAGAUACAUUUAUAAUUUGACCUUUAUUAGUUGAUGUUCAUUACGAAAUGAUCCCGGUAUCAGUGCAUCUUUUAUAAUUUUAACAUCUAAAUCAUCGUCUAUUAUAUUUUGAUAUCAACUAAUGUUAUUUACAACAAAAUGGUGCCUUAAUCCAAAAUAUAAUAAUUAAGGAUUAGAUUAUCAAUUAAAUACUCUAGCAACUAAAAACCAACUUAAAAAAAAAAAAAUGAAGCCUUACUGGAUUGAUAUGCAAUGGUAUAAGAAGUUUUAUAGCUUCGGUCGAUUUUUAAAUAUUUAGAAGUAUUAAUAAUACUUCUAUUUAAUUGUCAAAAAAUCACACGCGUCGAACACAAAGCAAAAGUAAUCUUUUUACUUGUAUGAAUAAAGGGUGGGGGGGAAAAAAUAAAACUGCUUUGAAAUUACAAAUAAUAAUUUAAUUAAUUAUUGGCAGUAGGAGGAGCGGGGCUGCGGGAGAGGUCACUUUGAAGAUGCAAGGUUAAGAGAAAAAAAACAAAGAAGCGUUAAACAGAAAAAAAAAAAAAAAAGGGUCGAAAGGUACAUCAAGGAGUUGUUAAAACUAUUUUAUAUAAUUGUAAAAUAUUUUCUUCCUUUUUCUCGAUUUUCUUUGAAGUUGAUCAUUUCUUCGAGCAACUUUAAUGGCUAGUGGGGUCAAUCCAUGUUCAAUCUUAGCUGCUAAAGAAACCCCAUUUUAUUAUAUAGCCCAUAAAAUAAAGAAUUAAAACGUUUCUAUUUUUAAUUUUGGUCCAACGGCUUACGAAUUGGCGACAAGAGUCGUUGAGCCAAAUUUUAUUAUUUUACACUACAAAUUGUGGGGUUGAAUUGCAAAGGUGAUGGGGGAGGGGGGAAAAACCAUGGAGAUUUCUGUCACUCUUUCCGUUAAAGUCAUUGAAUUAUAUAUAUAAAUGGUUGAAGUGGAAGAUAUGUGAUACUAACACGCAUGAGAUAUGCAUGCUUAUAAUCAAUUGUAUAUAUAUUGCGUGAAGCGAAAUCCAUACUUCUAAGAUUAUGUUUUAUCCUUUAAUUUCAUUUUUGGAAACAAGUCAAAAGUAUUUUUAAUAAGUAAAUGAUUUAAAACAAUAUUUAUGCCUUUAAUUAAAAUUCUACAAGGCAUAUAUAGAUAAUUGUGAAGACUACUAGCUAGAUGGGGCUCCUCCACACCAAAAUUUGGGAUCAAAAAUAUAACUCUCAAUUGAAUAGCUGGGCUCCUACGACAACACGUACGUCGGCCUUGAGAACCACAGCUUAAUAUUGUUUGAAAAUGAGCAUUGGAGUGGAGAUUAUGCGUAUUGGUAAGUUUGAGAAGUUGAAAGAGAUUGGGAGAAAUGGAUAGGAUCGUAGUGAGGCUCAGGCUCACAAAUAUCAUCGCUUGUUACAUGGGAAAUGCAUGGGAAUUUUUCUCUUUUUCUUUUUUUUCUUUUUUUCUUCCCAAUAUGUGUACAAUAAAUUUAUUCGUUUUUAUACCCCAUGAAAAAAUAUAACUUUUUGGGAAGACAAAUUAAUACACAAUAGAUUGACAACAAAAUUAAAUGCGUUCUUGUUUUUUCGUGCCUUUUAAUUUCCAAGUGCAUGCAUGCAUGCAUCCAUCCAUGUAUAUGAAGCAGAUUUAUUUGUGAUAUAUCUAUCAACCGCCGCUAAUUUUACUACAUUAUUCAUCGAAUAUUAACUUGAAUAAUUGUCACUCGUAAUCAUUUCUUGAAGCUCAACCUUAAAUAGUUCAUAGUAAAUGCAUGCAAACACACUAUUUAUGGUACUAAUUAACAGUUUUUGUUUUCACUAUCUAAAAACAAUUAUCAUACCCAUACAAAAUUCAUGUGUACAAGUUAUUACCCGAAUGAAAGGAUGAUAACUAUGUGAUAUGUAAUAGACUUUUAAUAUCCAUUUGAGUGGGAGAAAAUUUUCUUAUAUUAUUAAUUUUAUAACAAUAAUAUUAUUCGUUAAAAAAGAAAAAAGACACGCGGACAAAGUAACUUUAAUUAAUCUCGAUCCUUUUUAAUAUAAUUGUUAUCUUAUAAUAUAUUGAUGUUGCAAUAAGGUAUGAUAAUUAAAUUCAUACAAUAACAAUAACAUAAGUUAGUCCUUUUAUAAAAAGAAAAAAAAAGUUUGGUUUAGGGACUCUGAGUGUUGAAUAUAAUUCAUAAAUUCGUGACAAUUUGAAUCGUAUAAUUCUUAUGUAUACAUGUAAAGAAAAGGAAAAUUAGCAGUCAUCCAUCCUCAAACUGCCAUGUUAUUAAAUAUAGGACAACACUUUCUAAUUGUAUCAUGUUUUAAUUUUAAGAUCGAUGUUAUUCAUCCACCAAACCAUUAGCUUCCGCUAAAAAUUAAUAGAAUUGUAACAAAUUGAUCAUUAUGCCCUUGAAAAUCAAUUUAACGUAAAAAAAAAGGAAGUUAUCAACAAUAUAUCUUAAGUUUAUCACGUUAUCAAAAAUAAUAAAAUAAAAUUUAGUUUUUUUUUUAAAUAUGAAAUCAUAAGGAUUGGAUUUUUUGGGUGUUUAUGAAUUACGGUUUAGGGUAAUUUGUGGAUUUUAGUUUGAUUAUUUAAAUUUGUGAAGAUAAAUUGAGAAAACAAAUUAGAUUUUUUUUAAUUAAGGAAAAAAAGAGUUCAAAUUUGUUUGAAAUACUGUAAAAGUUAUAUUUUAAGUUUAUCACGUUAUCAAAAAUACUGUAAAAGUUCGAAUUUGUUUGAUUUUACACGCUAAGUUUGUAAUUUGUAUCAAUUGUUCACCAAAACAUUAACACUAACUAUUAGAAUAUUUAACAAUAUUGAUGUAAAAUGGCCAUUUUUACCCUUGAAUUCAAGCGCAUUUCUGACUUUGCACUAUAAAUAAUAAAAUAAUUUUUUAAAAAAAAUAUGAAAUCAUAAGGUUUGGAUUUUUUGGGUGCUAUGAAUUACAAUUUAGGGUAUUUUGUGGAUUUUAGUUUGAUUAUGUAAAUUUGUGAAGAUAAUUGAGAAAACGAAUUAGAAUUUUUUUUAAUUAAGGAAAAAAAUAGAGUUUAAGUGUAUUAAAUUAAAUAUUAGUUAUGAAAAUAUAUUUUUUAUAUAUUUUAAACUAUUAUUUUUUAAAUAUUUAGCAUUUUAAAUAUCUAGAUCACCCUCGUGACAUCAUUAAUUAGAUUAGAAAUGACAGUUAACGUUUUGGUGAACGAGUGAUACAUAUUAUAAACUUAGGAUAGAAAAUUAAAAAAUUCAAAUUUUGUAGCAUUUUUUACAACAAAAUAAACUGGAAGUGGAAGAUUGAUAAUUUUUUUUUUUACUUUUUAUAAACAUAAUAAAUGUCUAAAUUAUUCUUAUGGCAUCGUCAUUUAAAAGUAUAACUUAAAAGUAUUAUAAUAUUUUUUUAAUAACAAGAAAAUUUAUGAGUGGACGGCAAAUAAUAAUUUUCCUAAAAAAUAACCACUUAGUAAAAGAUUCAAGACAAAAAAAAAAAUCUAGGAGGGGGAUGAAUGAAUGAAUCUAGAACAGUAUAUAGAAAGAAGCAAAGAGCUAAGAUAAAUGCUUACAAUUAAAUUAAAGCUGCAAAGCGCCACCAGAUAUCAAUAAUUAAAAAAGAAAAAAUUCCCCAUAACAAUGAGAGGGAUGGAAUUGGAAUUUUCGAAAGAGAAGCGGGUAAAAUACAAUUUCCCACGGCGGUGAUGACUGAUAAAUUGUCAACAGCAUGACUGCAAGAUAUUUGUCGUGUAGCGAGGCGUAAAUGAAUUGUGUUUUUUUUGAGAAUUUUCAAGAAACAAAAUGUCCAAAACAGACAUUUCAAAAGGGUAUUCGAUAAAAAAUAACAAAAAAUCAGGAAUAAAGAAAGCCGAGAAAAUGAAAGGUUUUUUGUAGGGUAGGUGCAAGAUAGGACAGCUUUGUAUUUUCUUUAAAUUUUCAAAAAAAAAAAAAUUAAAAAAAACGCAAACACAAACGAGAUUAGCUCUAAUCAAAUGCAUUAAGCCAUCAACAUUAACUCACCUUUCAUUAAUGAGAGAGAGGUUAUUCUUUUUUUCUUUUUCUCUUACUUGUUUAACUUUUAACAAAUUACAAACAUUUUCUUUAAUUUUUUUUGACAAUUUUGCUUUUUGGGUGGAGAUGUGAGAGAAGGAGAACCUGAUGCCCUUUUGAUGUGUUAGUGGGUGGUGCUGUUUUUCUCUCUAAAAACAACACACACACACAUACACAUACACACAUAGCACACACACACUCUCUCUCUCUUUCUUUCUUUUUCUCUUUCUCUUUCCAUUUCCAUUUCCAUUUCUUCUUCUUCUUCUUCUUCUUCUUCAUUUUCUCCUAAAAAAAAGCAUCCCUUCAAAACAACAUCAAAAGGUUUGUGUGCUGUGUUAUUUUUCUUAUUAUUGUUGUUGCUGAAGUUUCAUUCUUUUUCCUUCUGGGUUUGUUUUGUUUUGUUUGUUAUUUUUUUCUAAGGGAUCGGUUUCUUCCUUCCAUGAAGCUUCUUUUGAGUUGUGAUUUCAUGAUCUUUGCUUCAAGCAAGUCUUCUGUUUUUACCGAAACAACGGGGCAAAAAUAUCAAAAUCUAAGUCUUUGGUCAUGCGUUUAUACUUUGUACUGCUUACUCCUCCUCUAGAUUUCGUCUUUUGUGAUCAGUUUUUAACUAUUCACUUCCUUGAUUUGAGCCUGAAAAUUCAAGUCUUUUUAACUUGUAAGCCAUAAAAUUUCUCUUUUUGUAGUCUUUAACUCAGCGUAUACUCACGUUCCUGUCUUAUUUUAUUUUAUUUUUCUCCCGAUGGCUUGCUGCAACACUUAAUCUCACCUUUGCAUCUUUAUCUAGCUAUUGCCGUAUGAUUUAAAAAUUUUCCAAGAUUUGAUUUUUGAGUUUAUGAUAGUGGGUUAUGGUAUCUCAAAGUUUUGAUUUUGAAAACUUUUUCUGGGUUUGUCCACAUAAAAUAAUAAUGCUCUUUUUUGCUUGUGGGGGUGUUUUGUUCUUUGCUUGAUCAAAUCAAAACAUUGAAGAUAGCUUCAAAUUUACUCAUUAAUCUCCCCAUCACAUAAAAUAACAUCCAUAUAUGGAAAGCUCUAGUCUUUAGAAUAAUCUCCUUCUGGGUCUCAUGAUCUUAUUAUCAUUUUUGUGUAUUUCUCUCAGGUUAAAUGGAUGAAGAUUCAAGUGGGGUUGUUGUUUAAUUGAUCUUGUUUCUGAAACUACUGCUGAUGGUGGUGGGGUUUGGAGUUUUUUUUUGGGUCGCUAAGGAUGCAUAAAUAAUAGAAAGAGAGAAAAUUUUCAAAAGAGUGAUAAUAAAGAAGAGGUCAAGUGUUCCUUUUCCUUUCUAUAUGCUGAAGGCUAAGAAGAGCAGUAGCAGUAGAAGAAGAAGAAGACGAAGAGGAGGAGGAGCAGCUUGUGACUGUUGCAACAACAGCACAAGAAGUGUGAAGCUUUUCUUCAGAUGUUAUCCGUUGAAAAAACUCCAUCAGAUCCGUCAUGUUCUUGUCAAUUUCCUCAACUAAAUGCUACUUGUAACAGUGAUGACAAAGCUUCUCCUAAAGUAGUAGUAGAUCUGCUAAACACACAAACCCAUGAUCAUGAUCAUCAUCAUCUUCCCAAAUUCUCUAUAAGGUAAAAACAAUUUUAUUAAUCAUUUUAAUAAUCUCUUGAUUGUAUUCAAUGAAUAGUGAACAGUGUCAAUAAUAAUAAUAAUAAUAAUAGUACUUGCAUACAUCUUAAAAAGAUUAUGCUAAUAUCUGAUGCUUAAUUUCUUCUUGGGUCAGAUCCAGAGUUUUUACAAGUAGCUUUUGGUUCAGUUUCGACAUGGGGCCUAACUCAAAUCUUGUCUCUAUUUUGGUCUUUUGGGGAGGGGGAGUGGAAGGAGAUCUUUUUCUUUGAUCAUAAACUUAUGCACGGCUCUUAUCCAACCCAGCCAGCUCUAAGCUUCUAAGUUUGCGUCUAAAUUUGUGUAAAGAAUAAAUCUUUUUUGUUAAACAUUUUAUUUGCUCUUGAUGUUAUUGCCUUGUGAUUUCAUGUCAUCUUGCUACAUGUGAUCCUAUUUGGGUCUUAGCCACCUGGGUUAGCUUACCAUAUCAUUCCAACAUAUUUGAAACUUCUGUUUAAGUUAACUAGAUCCUCGAAUCUGGCUAUUUCUUGGAUGUUUCUCUUUCAAAUUCCGUGGUCCAUAUGUUGCUGUCAUCGGCUGACAUAUGAUAUAAGGGUCUUAUAGGUUCUAUAAUCCAGAUAAUCUUAUAAAGUUUAUUGUUGAUGAUUUGAGCUGACGGUGUCUUUCAUAUUUGAUCAGAGUUACUAACCAUACACAAUUGUUUGAACUGUAGAGAUUAUGUGUUCACCUCCCGGAGCAAAGAUAUCAAGAAGAAUUGGCCUUUCUCUCUGAAGAAUUUGCAACUUUGUUUGAAACAUGGUGUGAAGGAAGUAUUGCCACCAUUUCAGACUCAUAGUGCAGUGAAGACUCAAUCUAUUAGGAGAUGUGCGGUUGAAACUGAGAAGAAAAGUGUAGCCAAUUUUGAUGCGGAGCCUUCUGAGCCCAACAAUAAAGAAGUCCUAGACUCAUCUGGUAAUGCUCAAUUGAAUGACAAACUAGAAAAUGCUUGCCUAGACACGAGUUCAUGUCGAUCAGCAGGAGAAAACGAAUUUCCAUCUACCACAACAAGUGUUUCUCAUUCUGAAAUAGAGUCUGUUCCUACUAAAAGACCAUCUAGUUCAUCGCUAGAAACUGAUCCUUUAUUGGAAGCCUCCGCCUCGGCCUCAGCCACAGCUGAAGUUAGAGCUGCAGGUCAUCCUACCACUCGUCCCCCAGGCAAAAAGUGCAGAUUGAUAGUAAAAUUCGGUGGCAAUUCCGAUCGUAGUUCAACUGAAGAUAUUGCUUCGAAUUCUACUGCUGUAUCAGAAACAAUGGCUUCAAAAGUUUGCCCUGUUUGCAAGACAUUCACGUCCUCAUCAAACACCACUUUGAAUGCACAUAUUGAUCAGUGCCUUUCUGCUGAAUCAACUCCUAAGUGGACUGCAGAUUCUAGACCUACAAGGCAUAGAAUCAAGCCAAGGAAGACUAGACUGAUGGUGGAUAUAUAUGCUACUGCCAAACAUUGCACAUUAGAAGAGCUUGAUAGAAGAAAUGGCACAAGCUGGGCUACAGUUUCGAGCUUGCCUGCUCAGGAUACUGAGAAGCAUGAGAUGCCAGCUGAAUGGAAAAGGCCAAGGGUGUCACAGGUACAUCCUGAGGAUGCUGGUGAUGUAGGUGAAGUUUAUAUCGAUGCCAAUGGCACUAAAGUUCGUAUUUUAUCCAAGCCUAAUGAUGCUGCUGAGGCAUCGAAAGAAUUAGAGCAUUUUCAACCGAAGAAUCCCUUGAAAGGAUGUAAAGGAAGCAAAUUAUUUUCCAAAAAGAAGAAGCGCCAUGCCAAAAAACAACUCAAGUAUCUCAAACUUGCUCCUCAAAGCAGAAAAUUUUUCUCUCACAAAGCCCGUGCUUCUCAGGUACUCUACUUUGAUAGUUUCUACUAGGAUAUCUAAGCAUUUCUUUUUCCUCUUUCCAUCUUUUUUUUUUUAAAAAAAAAUCUAAUAUAUGACAAAUAAAAGUGAAAAUAUGUUACAUGAUAUCAGUCAUGUAACUGGAUCCAUGUGCGUGAUACUUAUAUGCCAGAUUGACAAAAUGUUUAAAAUAUCAUAACCAAAAGCCACUAUGUGAUCAUUUCUACUUCUUGUCAUACAUUCUGCACUUAAUCACAAAUUUAAGUUGGAGAUUUGUGACGAAUCUGGUACUUUGAAAUUUAGCCACAUAUGCUUGUCAAAUUUUUUGAACAGAUAUGCGGGGGUCAAGAAGGAGAUUAUGGAGUGGAAGAAGGUAACAAGAAGGAGAAACAUCAGAGACAGAAGCAAACCAAAUCUGGUGAUUCUGGAGCUUUGAGACAAUGGGUUUGCUCAAAACGAACAGGUCUUACAAAGAAGGUUAACAAUCAAGAUAACCGUAAAGCUUUCAGAUGUAAAUGGCAUUUACCUCGGGAGUUGCUGAUAGAUAGUGAGCGGUCAAGUUUAGGUGAAUCUCUGACAGUGGGGAAUCAUAUUGAAAAAUAUGGUAAUUUGUCUGAGAAUCUGCCGUCUUCUCCUGGAACUAGUGUGAGGGGGGAGAAGCCAUUUUACGAAGUGCAAGUUAGUGACAAGUCUGGGAGAAAGAAAGUAGGAUGCCCAUCAUUUGGAGCCAAGGUCAGUGAUAAUACGGAGAGGUCUCGUCUGCCAAUGAAGCAAAAUAGCCAUUUGAACCGAGACAAUCCUAUUAUUCAUGACUGUCGUACAUCUGAUGCAUCUUCUUUGACCAAUAAGAGAGCAAGUGUUCCUGGAGGUCUGGUUGAUAUCCCACCCAGUGGUAGCACAACACCGUGUAUGAAUUCACAAGUAUUCGCAUCAACAUCGAUAAGAGUGAUAUCAAGGAAAACUAGGUCAACUGUGUUUAAAUCCAAUCCUAAUAGGGAGAAGAAAUUUUUGGCUGGAAAGAUGACUCGAUUGGAGCUUAUUAGAAAUGUAGAUGAAGAGGUAGCAGCUUGGGGUUCAGAGGUUGGUCAACAAUAUGCAUUAAACUGCAUGGGUGGAAGAAAAGAGAUUAAUGACGAAACACCUUUUGGAAAAAGUAUUUUACGUGGAAUGAUACAAGAUAGAGGAGCAAUGAGUACUGAAGGAGAGGAAAUCAUGGCUUUGGAGAGUUCGGAACAAGCACCCCAGUUUUAUGGCCAUGACAAUGGAGAAAACACAGAUGCUUCAGCUAGAGCUGGUGAUGAUGUUAUAGACAAGGUCGAUGUCCUUGAAUCUGUUGAGGAUGCAGUUGCUACUGUGGAUACUAAGUUCGAACAGCUGAGUGAUCGUUCCGGGACCCGUUCGAAUUCUUUUGAGGACUAUAAUGGGAUACUAUGUGGAGGUGAAGCACUGACAGGCCCGACUGAGCCAAGCUUUGUUGAUGGACAAGAGAUGUAUAGUUCCGAUGAAGCAGGCAAUGGGAUAAUUGGGCAAAAUGAUCAAAUGGGACCAGGUUUGGAUUCUGAUAUUGGGGAAGGAAAUUCCUUUCCUGAGGUUGAUCCCAUUCCAAUUCCGGGACCACCAGGUUCAUUUUUACCCAGUCCUAGGGACAUGGGAUCUGAUGAUUUUCAAGGGAACUCAUCACUAACCACAAGCCGUGUUCAAUCUUCUCAAGAUCAGCUUGAUUUGGUAGAUGGAGAUACGUCAGAUUCACCAAUUUCUGUGGCAUCAACUGUCUCUAAUUCCACUGCAGUUAGGUCUGACUUCAGUCCAUUAUCAUCUGCGGUCCAUGCAGUUCAAGACAAGUUGAAGCCAGGCUUAUCGAGUGGUGGUGCUGAACCAUUGGUUGAAAAUGCAGCUGUGGUUGCUCAGACAGGUACAGGAGCAGAAAGAUCGUAUUUUGAUGGGGAGAAGUUUAAAGUCAAUAAGAUCUCUAUUGAAAAGAGAACUUCCAGUUUCAAGAAUGAUGGUCAGCCAUGCUGUUGCCAACGGAAGGAGAGAAUAUCUCAGGAUGUUGCUCAGAAAUAUCAAGAAUCACAAUUAUUAAAACGACGAACAAUGACUUCAGUGACGUUGCCUGCCAUUGUGAAGCAGAAUGUGAAACCCAACAAUUUGGAUGUGAGACCUGAAAUAUUCUCCCUCGGCAGUUGUCCAAAUUUUGUAUCUGAAAAGAUUGUUCCCCCUACCAUGAAGUCCUCUGCCAGUCCCAUUAGUGUAAAGGGAUCUCCUGAAACUGGUGUGAAGUUUUCAGGUCACGGUGAUUGUGAUUCUCCUAGUCCAUCAACUCCUAAUCCUGUGCUCAGGCUUAUGGGGAAGAACUUAAUGGUGGUCAAUAAAGAGGAAGAUGCAUCUGUGCCUCUUGGGCAGUCCCAACCUUGUGCCCAGAACAGCCAUUUAAUUUCUCAGUUGCCAACAUCGUCUCGAUUCUCUCCUGGAAGUAUGCAAAAUCAGGACUGCCAUUACUUCCCACAAAUGGGUUCUCAAGGUCCUGUGAUCUUCAGUCAUAAUCCAUAUGAUGCAGCGGGCCAAUCUUUUGAUGCCAGAUUGCCUAGCAGUUUUAGAAACCAGACUAAUCCAAGGACACCACAGACAUCUGCACAAGUUCCAUCAGGCCUGUUUCCCAACCAGCAUGUAAAUGGUGGUUUUACUGCUCCAAUGGAGCCUCACAUGUAUGGAGAUGCUUAUAGUUUAUCAAGUAGACAUGAUCGACUGAAGUUCAGACAGAGUGAAACAUCCUCAUAUGUUAUGGGGAAUGUAGUAACAAGUCUUGACCGUCCACAUAAGAGUGCAGAUUGCGGUGCUUCCCAAAAAGAAAUCAUUGUCAUUGAUGAUAUUCCUGAAAGUGAAGCCAAUGUGUCUGCUGAUGUAACAAAAUAUUCCGAGGGCUUGAGGGCAAGUCAGCUGAUGUCAUCUGGAAUUUCAAUUGCAAAAGCUCCCAAUUUCAAUCCAAGGCAUGUGAAUCAUUUCUCUUGUUAUCAGGCACGAGAUCAUCCCCCAGUCUUAGGCGAAUCACCUGCGGUGCACAACAGCAACUUCCCUGCAAUCCCCAAGCUACCCAAUGCAAGUCCUGUUAGAUGGGUUUGUACUCAAGAAGGCUCUACUGUGCUGCAACGGGGUCCUUUUGCAGCUGCUCCACCCACGGCGGCAAGUCAUGUAAGAUCCGGGCCAUAUUAUUCUCCAAGCUUGUCAUAGUCAGGAGCGUGACUUGAGAUUGGCAAUUUUCACAUGGUCCAUGCAGUAUCAACGGAUGGCCAGAAAAACGAAUUGGGACUGCAGAAAUUAUGGGGGAUCUCAUUAAAGACAGUCUGCAUGGGUUCAUCGGCUAAGAUCUUGAAUAGAGUUUGUAUUUAUAUUUCAAGUUACUAAAUGUUGGCUCAACUUUAUGCUGUUUUUGGAGGAUUUUCUGCUUAGGCAAAAAACUCAAAAGCCUUCCAGGAACUAGCAAGUGUAUAAGGAAUCUUUGAAUAAUAGUUUAUGAUGAGAACGACUCAAUGCCAAUGGAGUUAAAUGUACCUAUAAAGAAAUUUUCUUCUUGUUCUUUCCAUUUCUAUAUUUUGUUAUUAGAGAGCUGCUCUUUUUACCGUGUGCCUUAGCAUCCAUUGAUCUAGUAAUACGCCUUAUGAAAAGUCUAAAAUCAAAUGACCUGUGAAUUGUAGUUAAUUCAUAUUUUCAAUAGCUGGUCUCAUUUUUUCUCCCCCAUCUGUACUCGCAGAAUUAAAAUACCAGAAAAGAUGACAAUGGUAUACAAACUCCAUCCGUGAUGGUAUGGAUAUUGCAAGAUUACUACGAACAAUCAGUACUCAAGGACUAAUUGGGGGAUCAGCUCAAAAACUUUCAAAAUUUCAAUAUUUCAUGGAGAUCAUAUCAUCGAUAUUUUCGGGUAAUUUUAUUGUAAAUCAUAGGCUUAUUAUAUCAUUAGCACAUGUGAUGUGCGGUUGUUGGUUAGACGAGUAGAGUAGAGAGAUAGAUGGGCGGAUUGUACUUGCAGCGCGCAGUAGCCAGUUAAUUUGUAAGAAUCUUUGCAUGCAUGGUGUGUCAUUAAUAAUUGUUCAGAUGCAAAGGCCCUGCUACCUGCCUCUCGCAGCAGGGAAUGCAUGCGAUUCGUACACCAAAGCCCAGAAGAUGAUGAUCGAUCUCAUGGCUGAUUUGAAUUAGACCACAUAAAAUUACGUUAUUAAGUGAGCUGUCAACCGAUGCGCUCUCUAAUAGCCGUCAAAUAUUUGUUGCAUGAUGAACAAGAAUUCAUUUUCUAAUCUUCGCCAUAAAUUAAAUUAAUGUGGGACACAAACAGGAAAAUAUAGCAAAAGACGUGUAGGACCCCAACCCCAGCAACAACAAGGAGGUGAGAAAAAAAAAAAAAAAACACUGAAAGUUGCUGUAGUUUUUGUGGUCAUUAGGCUAAAAAGCAAGGCUACUGGAAGCUCUGCCAAAACGACCAUGAAAGAAAUAUAGCCGUUGCUGCAGAGAGAAAAAGGUGAGCUAAGCUAGGGUAUGUACUGCUAAUCAUAAUUCAUAAAAAAGAGUACGAACAAGAGAAGGUGAUGAAUGAUGAUGAUUUUCGGACAGACAGAGAGAGAGAGGGAGAGAGAGAGAAAGUAAGGUCAAGGUCAAAGGAAUAAUGCCCAAAUUAAAACCAUAGUGGCACAAAACAACAAAACAAGAGAAUGGCCGUUUGCUUUGCUUAGAGCCUUAGACAUUCGCAUUAUUUACUAAAAUCUAGGGCUUAGUUAGCUUGGCUUAGCUUAGUUUAGUUUAGUGGCACUCACUAUUUAGCUUGCAUUCUGCUUUUUCGUGUUUUUUGAAAACAGUUUUGAUUCACUUUUUCUAUGGUAUUGGUUUGGGUUCUGGUCUCAUUUGCCAACUUGAGAUGGGAGGGGUUUUUGUGAAACAACGUGGGAUGUGCGUUUUGCAUGGUGAAAGCUGGACACCUUGACAAGUCUUUACAAAGACGAAUCGCUCUGUUUUUGUUUUUUUGUUGGGGGGGAAUUUGUGGGCCAUUCCUUGUCUUUCUCGUCAUCUUUUGCCCCCAAACCCACUUCCACUUUACUCUUGCUUUCUUUUCUUUCUAUUUGCUUUUGAAAAAAAUAUUAGAAAAUUUUACAAAGUUGUGUUGCCCAAGGAAAGAAACCAACCUCCCCUCAAGCAAGAAUCUAUCUUCAAGCCCUUAAUUAUUCCAACCUUGACCAAUCUUUGUUUUUUUAAUCCUUUCUUCCUUCAGUAAAUAUAAUAUAGUGUUAUUGAUUUGUUAACUUUUCCGGGGUGAGUAUGAGUUGGGUUGAGAAGAAUUCAAUCUAAAUUAAUUAAUCAAAUAAAUAUGUCCAAUCUAACUUUUAAAUUAUCAAGUUGGGUUGGGUUACAUUGAUAGAGUUGAUAAAAAUUAAAAAAAACUAUUUGGUAUUUAGAAUUAUUUCAAAUAAGAAUAGGACAGAUUAAUUCUCUAUUUUGACAUUAAAUGUUAUUCAUUAUACUCAACAAUCGAUUUGUAAACAAAGAAACAACAUAAAGAUUUGUACAAAAGAAGAAGAAGAAGAAAAAGUUAUGACGUAAUGUUUGAAAAUUUAUCAAAUUACUUUUAGUGAAAAUUCGGGUUUAAUUUCUAAAUUUUGAAUCAAGGGAAUUCAAUCAAUGUCAAGUUUAAAUAAAAGAAAUUGAAAAAAAAAAUCUAAAAAGGAAGGUUGACAGUUGGCAUUAAUUUUAUCAUGAUUUUUAUUAUUUUUGGAUUGGUUGGGUUAUACGUGAACCCAACCCAAUUCAAUCAUUAAUUGGGUUAAACAAAUUGAUCCAAUCAACUCAUUAUAACAUAAUUAACUCAUCUAAAUUUAAUUAGAUUAGGUUGAAUAAGAUUUGUGCCGAGUGGUUAGAACUUUGCCCUCACAAUUGUGAGGACAUGAGUUCGAGACCUAUAAUACAUUGUGAGGGUUUAAUUUUAUUAUUCAAUUUGAGUGAAUAUAGUCUUCUCCUUUUAAAAACGUGAGUGGAGUAUAUGUCCCUCAAAUAUUAGAGAAGAGAAAAAUCUAGACAUUGCUAUAUAAGAUUUGUAAAUCUAAUUUCAUUUGAAAUUUGAGUGGAGUAGGCGUCUUUCAAAUAUUAGAGAGGAGAAAAAAUGAAAAUCAGGCAAUACUAUGUAAAAUUUGUAAAUCUAGUAUCAGCAAUUGUCUGAUUGUAAAUAUAGGUAUAGUAAUCUCAUGAAAUAUGAGUUAUAAUUUGAGUAAUAGUCUCAUGUAAUUUUUUUUUUUUCAAAGAGAUUUGUCGACCCCUACCAAAAACGCUCUUUUAAUUUAACUUUAUAUUGAAUUAUCAAGUCCUUGCCAUUAAGCUAUACGGUUUCGCCAGUAAUACAUAUAUAAGGAUAUUAUUUAAAAUGCAUCAGGUGAUCAGAAGAAAGUAUCAAGUGCAUUAUGUACUCAUUUUUUGUUCUUAUUGCUUAUCUCCAUUACAAAAAAAUCACUUAAUCAAUGCUUGAGAUUUUGAUUACGGAAUUGUACACUUAAUUUGUUAAGAGAGGAAAACAGACACAUUCUUCUAAGGACAUAUUUUGUCCACAACAUAGGUGUUUUUAGCUUGUAAAAACAAGAGAAAUGAGAAGUUGACUGCUUAAGAAAUCACCCCAUAUAUAUAUUUUCACUGUUCCUGUAAAUUUCCCAAAAGUUUUACCUGUCGUAUUGUGAAAGUGGCUGUGUAUAAAAUAUAAUAGCAUAAUCUCAAAUUUAACUCAUGGUCCCUGUGGCUAUAUAGUAAUGUUACAGCACCAGAAUAAAUAAAAUGUAGAGAGAAAGAAAGCAGCACAUAGACAUACAAAGGGCGUCCAAACGCAGGCACGUCGUGCGUUUAAGUGAAAGAAUAUGUUAAUGUAGAUAUAUAUUUAUAGAUAUAUCUACAUGCAGGAUGCAGCUUAUUACUUAUACGAGUAUUAGGAAGCUGGUUGGUUGUAAGCAUUAACUCGGCUCUGCAAAAUCCUUAAUGUUAUUUCGAUGGACCACAAAAGUUUUCAUUGCCUUGCCUCACAUUUCGAUGGACCACAAAAGUUUUCAUUGCCUUGCCUCACUCUCUUGUCAUUGUUGUAACAAUAGUUUUAUCUAGAUUUACUGUACAUUUAUUUCAUCCAUAUUUAGAAACGCAGUGGUUAUAAUUUUUUCCUGAUGUUGAUAUCUGUAAAAAUUUAAUUAGUUUCUUAAAACAAUUACUUGUAAUGAUGAAUCAUCAGCAAAUCAACCUUCAUGUUGCACUGUUUUAUGUUGAUGGAAUGAAAUUAUGAAACUAUGUUUCUUUGUCCGAGAAAAGAAAAAAAAACUGUAGAAAUUUAAUCUUUAAUGGGUUCUUACUAUUUGUAAGUUUAUAAGAAUUUCAUUUUCAAGUUUUGUAGUAAGAGUAUGAGCAAUCAAUGAAAUGAAAGGAAAUUUCUAUUCAAAUGAUGACAUCAAUAAGCCGUAAAGAGUCCACACACUUAGACCAAACCUUGAACCAACGGUACCCACCAACGAUUACCAACCCAGCAUUUGAAACAGUUGAGAGUUAGUUGGUCAGUUCAAAUCGAUGCACCUGUAAGACCCUGUUCACGGGCCUUCUUUGGGUUGUUGCUCAUGUGGGGGUUGAUGAAAAUGUGAAUAUUGAUUAGUCUAAUUUUGACUUUUGUUGGUGUGAUGAAAAAUGAGAGAUCAUACCGUUAGUUGUAUACGAAGUACUUGUAAGUUGUAACUUGUGUUACUAGAUUCAUUUCAGAAUCUAUGCAUAUUACAGAGGCAAAUGGUGUGAAAGCCAAUGAAAUUGAAAGCCGCAAGUUAUAAGAAAGAAACUUGAUGACUAUAUAUUUCUAGCUAAAAGUGUUACAGCAUUAACAAAACUGAGCUUCCCAAGAAGGGAGUCGAAUGGUAAAAAACAAUGAUCACAGGAUCAUAUCUUACUUCUCAUCCUCACUAAUUUUGCCAAAGUUUCCUGAGCUGCCAAGGUAUGAGCAUGGUUAUGUCCCAGCAUCACUGUUCGAAUACUGAUACAGGUUCUGCAUAGCUCUUCACCACUGUCAAAAUGCCCCCCUCUCAGCAGCAACUUAGCUCUUGUCUCAAGUAGGGUUGCCUUCAACAAUGUCACGUCUUGCCACACAUACUCAUCAACCCUUUGGUUCCCAUUUAACUUUUUCUUCCAACAAAGUGAGCCAUGGCACCAAUCUUGAAUCUGAGACACAAAUGAUUUCUCUACUUCCUCGAGUACAUUUGUGCAUACUUUUAGAAGCUCCAAUGCUGAGCUGCACCUUGAGAAUGUUGUGAACGCCCUGAUUGCUAGAGGAAGAGCUAUCUUUCUAAUAUACAGAACCAUGUCUAUUGCCUUCACUUGGACUACUGGGGGCUCGGAUUUGAAUCCAAAAACAAGGAAUGCAGAUGCCCAAAGAUGAUCGGAGUUUAGCAAUGGAUUGCUAAUCUUCCUUAUGCCUUGAACUGCUGCCCUAGGAGCUAAUAAACCUUCUUUUAUCUUUGCAAACACUUGAGCUAUAGGAUGUAACUGAAUCCAACAUCCAGGUUGUUUGUUGGCUCUUCGUGCAAGUCCUAACUUGACUAGAAGAAGAGCUGAUUCUUCUUCAGUUUGGGGUGCCAGGCCACAGCCAACACAACACCCAAAUGUGAGAGUCAAGAAUUUUGUCCAUCUCCUGAAUCUAUUUCCAGCAUAAGGCAUGUUCUUAGCAGCAGCAGCUAGCAAAUUUACUGAAAUCGGAGCAGGACCAAACCAGGCACCAACGAGAAGCAUUCUUGAGGCAAGAAAAUUCUCUCUCCCAUUUAUUUGUUGUAAUAUGGCAAAGCAAAAGCAUAGAAUCUUCAUAAGGAAAGGAUUGUUUUUGCAAUACUGUUCCUCAUUAAUACUCAUGUGAGGAGAAGUAGAGCAUUCUUCAAGUGGAACUUGAUUCACAGCUUCAAAGAGUGCUGAUGGAGCAAUUCCAAGUUCAGAAAGUAGUGAUCCAAUUACCCCCAAACCAAAGCUCAACCUUCCCAGUUUCUCAUCAAAAUUUUGAAGGAACUCUAGCUCCUCAGCUGGAUAGUCUUUCUUCCUUUUGCCUCUCAUUAGAACCAUUGCGUCAGGCAAGGACAACGGUGGAAGCUGCAUUAUUUCAAAAUUCAUGAUCUUGGAUAGCCUUGUAGUGAUAAUCACAUGAGUACCUGCAGUGUUCCUUGGUAUCAAGUCAUGCAGAUCCUUCCCUUCCCACCAUUCUUUCUCUGUCUCAAGGUUGUCAAUGAUCAGUAGAUAAGGCAUGUCUCGGAACAGCUCCUUCUUAACUCUCUUGAAUGCCUCAAAUUCUUGCUCUUCGAAGCUUCGAAUUCUACCCCUUUCCUUCUCUGCAUCCGCACUCACAUCUAACCCCAAAUUGAGUGAGAGGUUCAAUAUGUUCUGCCUGAAGUAUCUAGCUUCCCCACCAACCCACAAAACCAUCUUGUAUCUUUGAGAAUAUCUGUAAGCAAAUUCAAGUGCUAGCUCAGUUUUCCCGCUGCCAGGAACCCCAUUUAUGCAUAUCACGUUGCUGCCCAAGCUCUUGUAGUUCCCACUUCUAGACUUCUUGUACUUUAACUUUUUCAACGAGUUUCUUCCCAACACUGGCUCAACCCAAGCCUCUAGCUUUGGUUCUUUGCACUUCCCUAACUCCAAGUUGAUAAAUCUCCCACCUCUGGUGCUGACUGAAUCACUUUCUUCAUCAGCAAGGCCUUCAGAUUGGCCACUUGCCUCUCCUUUGGUGAUUGGCAUAGCAUAAUCUUGCUCAAGAUAAUCUCCACUUCCAAAAAAGGCAGUUUCAAUCUCCAUAAUCUCCUUGUCUCUUCCCACCAAGCACCUGUUUCUAGGAAAUGGUAGCUCCUCAAAUCCUUCUAGAUCAUUCUCAGCCACACUCUUCCUUCCAAGCUUCGCUCUCAAUAUCCCAGCAGUUUUAGCCACACAGCUUCUCCAGUUACAUUCAUUGGCUUCCAACUUGAACUCAUGAGACUUCAUAAGUCCAUCAAGUGCUUCUUUGCACUCUGUAUCAAUUGAAUUGCAGUUGAGCAAACCCAAUAUCUCAUUAGGCCCAUUGUCAAAGAAAAGUGGAAUCAAAUUCUUCUUUUGAGCGAAGAACCUAAUCUCCUCCAAACUCAAAUGAUUAAGAAAGCUAGAAUUAGUCACAACCACAACACCAUAAGUCACUGAGCAGAUAACCCUGUCAGCAAUCUCAUGGCUCUGACUAUCUGAGUACUUAGCUCUGUCAGCAACAAAGCAAGCAAUUCCCUGCAGCUCAAGUUCUGACUUAAGCCACUUGCAGAACCUGACCAAGUUGGGAUUUUGCCCAUGAAAACCAAUGAACACAUCACAGCUUCUUAGUUUAGCAUUAGAAACAGGAGAAACUGGACCUUUGGCAAAGGAAAUUCUCGGCACUGGAAAUGAAAAUGAUACCCUUGGAGGAGCAGGAUCUGCUACUUGAACACAAGUCAUAAACUUGAGCUUUGAGUCAGUUGGGUCAUCAGAAUACUCAUAUUGGUCUGACGGGGGUGUGUAGGAGCUACUAGGAAUGUCAUCGGAUUGUGAGCCUCUGAAUGAAACUGGAGGUGAAGGAUGUGUAGCUGGAGUUGGGGUUUCUUGGGGUUUUGGAGUAAUGGCUCUAGGUGAAAUGUACGGUGAUUGUAAAGCUGAAACAAAUGCUGAAGAUGGCGGUGACACAAGAGGAGAGCCGUAUGGAGAUGAUUCAAUUGAGCUGAUUUUAAUGUUUGGUGAAGGCAAAUCCGAACUGAUAGGAGUUGAAGUUACAUUCGUACCAGCUUUGGUGCAAGAAGUUGAAGUCUUGAUGGUAAGGCCAGUUGGGGUUUCUUGAGGAAGCUGAGUGUUACCAGAUAGUGAAGCUGCUUCUACAGCCAUGGCUAGUGACUGAAAUUUCACCACACGGUAAAAAUGCCUUUGAAGUAUGCAGUACAGAAGUAGAUCUCAAUGCUUUUAACAAAGUUGAACUUUACAAUGUUGCUCUUCUCUAGAACACAUUAACGCUUGCUUUCAUUCACAGCCUGGACUGGAAGAAGUUGACGAAGGCCCUUUAAUAUGUGCUUCAAAGCUCUUCACAAAAACCAUUCUUGGCUGAGCUAUUCUAUUCUUUGCUUUGCUGACACAUAUAAUUAAGUGAGUGGUUCUGUCCAGAGACUAAUGGCAGAAGAUGAAUGCAACAGUUAUAAUUCAUUCACACAGAAAGAUCUGCAUGUGAUGUAUUAUCACUUGCCGUUGUGGGCCUAUUUAGUCAGAAGUAUACCUGUUUUCUUCCGCUUCUCAGAGUAGAUUUGACCGAAUAGCAUCAGCAUAAGAUCAUACUUCAUAAUACAUCACUUGGUAAAAAGAGCAAGCAUUCAAGCAUAGCCCUGUACAAAAAAUGAUAUAUACUGUUAGAUUCGGAGACAAAAUAUUAUUGCAAAAAGCUGUUUCCUAGUAAUAAAAGUUUCAUGUACAUGUAAGUGAUCAACAGUAGUACCUACUGCUUCAGAAGCUAUUUAAAUUUAUUUACCUGAAGCAAACAAGAAAUAUUGGCCCUAGUCUUCUGCAACUCUCGAAAAUUCAUCUGUUUCUCUCUCUCUUUCUUUGAAAAACAAGCUGUACAGUAUGGGAGGAAUCUAACGUAUGGGUUGGAUCUGCAAGGUUUUUGAACAUAAAAUAGUACAUAAAUAAGUGCUUAAAAAAGAAGCUGAAGAGGGUAAUAAAAUAUAAUGCGUUGGGCUUAGGCAAUUGCUUUCUUUUUGUUUUAUCUAAUGUACAUAUUAAUCUUUCAAAUUCUAAAACAUACAUGGGGUUCUCACUUUGUCACGGAAGCCAAGGACUGGUCAGAAAGAACUCAGAGGAAAAGGGCAUUGGGAGAGCAACCCCCAUUACGCAGACCUUGUUGUUUGUGGUUGAUUUGUAGUAAGUGGUGGAAGGUGUAAGCUUUUAAAUUGCAUUAGAAUAAAGCAUUUUGCAUUGAUAUUAUACAUGUGUAUAAUAUAUAUAUAGACACACAAUACAAAGGCUGGCAGACAAGUUUUUCUCUGUAUGUGUACGCAUCUGACACUAUUUGAAACUAUAUUGCUCUGGGAAUUGCACCAUAGACCAGUCCAACUGAUGCAAUUGCCAAGUUAAAAUGACACCUACUGCAUCUGCUUCUGGUUAUUCAUCAUUUGAAUUGUUUUACUGAUCUGUGACCAAAAAAAAAAAAACACUGUUCAAUUUCAAAUUAUGAAUUUUCUUAUCCAUUAUUUAGUUUGAUUUACACCAUCCUCAAGCAAUGUCUUUGACAUUGUCAAAUAGUGAGGUACACGCAGGCAAUGUUUAUAUGAGUAUAUAUAUGAUAUGUUAUAUAAUUAUGUGGCAUAGCCACCACCUCUUUAGUUUCAAAACGAUAGAAUUUGUUUGUGCUUAAUGCUCAUCGUCUCCCGAAAACUCAAAAAGUGUUGUUGGUGUUCAAUUACGCAAGGUUUUGCCACUAACAUGCAAGUGCUUUUCACUAAAUAUCUAGUGCUACUUGCUAAAAGUACUCUCCCUUGAGUGCUUAUUUAACUGUGGCUGCAAAACAAAAGUGCUUGUGUAAUACUUUAUAAAUGAAUUGGCCCAAGCUGGAAGGCUGCGCUUACUCAGACUAAUGUGUCAAGUGUCAACUUGGACACCCCGACCCUUAAUCCUAAAGCUUGAUCUCUUUAAAAUUUGUUUAGUGCUAUGGUCUUCCUUUUCACUGUGGACCCUCUAGCUUUCAAUCAUGGAGUUGUAAUAAAUUCAAUUCGACUGGCAAAAGAUAGCUAUUCAGUUCAAUAACAUCCUUAUGCGUCAGCUCUCAUAUUCUUUGUAUAGCUGUGCGUUAAAUUGUACAGAAAAAAAGGGUUAUUUUCCAAGCUAGCUUUGCAUACAAAAGUUGACAUUAUUGGCACCUUUCUGGUUUAUUUUAUUACGCAGUUGUGUCGUGGGAUUUCCAGUUUAAUGGAACUUCACUAGCAACUGAAAAAAAAAAAAGGCUCCAUUGAAGAGUUUCAUUGUACUCCUACGUCCACUUGCAUUCAAUUAAUUUUUAAAGCAUUGAAGUGAGGGGAUGUGUUAAUUGGUACAUUAAUAACAAAAGAUUAUUUUUUAAUCGCCUUAGUUGUACUCUAAUAACAAAAGAUUAUGUAUUGAGAUACAUAUGUAUAUAUAAUAUAGCUAGAAAGGGUGGAUUUAAUUAUCUUUUAAUCUUUAUUAUCACUUGCCCAUGUGGUCUUGAUUUUCCAAUCAUGCUGACAGGUGGCAAUUAUAUACAAUGAAAUGCGGCAUUCACCGGCAAAUCAAUAAGCAGAUGGCAGUUGUCUAAUUGUACUGGCUAAUCAUUAAAUCUAAGGCUAAAUACAACACUAAUUAAGAAUUUACAAGAGGCAGCAGCCAUAAGCGAUUAACUGAUUGAGCAUUAAGAUGGAUAAACUUGCCUUUGUUUCUAACUUUUCUCGUCUUUAAGUUGCCUCACUACUGGGGAAAUUGACAGCAACAGACACCUAUUAUAUAAUAAUCAUUCAAGUGAGAAGAUUAGCAAUAUUGAUUCUUGUCUCUACAGCUUUCAACUUAGAAAUAGUGAAGCCACAAUCAUAGUGGAGCAAUUGAUCAGUAUUGAUCAUUAAUUAUUGGAAGAAUUAAUAAGUUGUUCUUGUUAUUCCACAUUAAACAGCACCAUUAUGUAGAGCACUCAUCUCAUAUUUGAGACACUUCAUUGUUCAUAGAUGGAGCAUUCAAGGAUAGUGCCUGUAUUGUUCGAUACACUUAUCUUUGUUUAAAGAUUCACUGGUUUUGAUUAUUUUAUGAUUCAUUUGGUAUCCCCAUUAUGUUGAUGUGGACCACCAACGAGGCUUGGUAUCUAUGUGGACAUUUAAACUGGAGACAAAAUCAACCUCUCUGUCAAGAUUAAUAUGCAUGGCAUCUUCAUAAAUCGUCUAUUCGUCUUGGACUUUGACUGAGGACAUAAAAAUUUUUUCAAGAACAAAUUUUGCUCAAUAAGGAUUCAAUUUGUUGGCAUGCAAUUAAAAACUUGUUGGAUAUGAGCUAUAUUACCAAAGUAGUAAAACUGCCCAUUUGUUUUACCGGCUAUCAAUAACUAAACGAACGAGAUUUAUGAGCAAACUCAUAGAUUUAAACGCCUUAAUGUUCGUUGUAUGCUUUCCUUUUUGCUUUCACCACAUAUAGAAGAUUCUUAAAACUUUCAUUAGCCAAUUAUGGUAUAUGAAAUUCAAAAUUACAUGUACUUGCCAAGACUCGUUCAAUAAUUGUGAUAUAUUAUAAUUUUAUGUUUUAUCAUUCUUGGUUCUUAUCUCCUUUCUCCUCAAAUUUAACUUAAACUUUUCUAUUACGUAUGUGAACCAAGAUUUCAUCUCAAAAUCCUUUUUAUACUACCUCAAGAUAAGAGAUGUUACAAAUGAAAAAAAAAAACUAAUACCAUAAUUUGAUCUUUUUUCAGUUGAGAUAAGUUUUAGGUUUUAUUUAAUCAUUAAUAAGCUACAUGCACAAAAAAUAAAUUUGACAAGGCGAUUUUAACAAGAGAACAAUGAAGAGUGCCAAAGAAUAUAACAAAAAGCAUUGUCAUGUUUUGUCUCAUAUUAAGGUUGAAAUUAUUCCUCUUUUUGUUUUGAAUCUUGCUUGACUCAUUAAAACUAAACCUCAUUUGGGAUUAAGGUUGAAACUCAACAAGUUAUUCAUUUAAUAAUUUUUUAUAAAUAUAAUGUUUGGUAAAUUUUUUAAAAGAUACUUAUUUCACAAUUUUCUUUAUUUUUAUAGUAACUUUAAAAAGUAGGUAAGGGAUUUUUUUUUCUUUGUUUAUAAACAGUUUAUUAAAUAAGCAACUGUACCUUUCAAAAGUUUCUAUUAUAAUCUUAAAAUUUUAAUAAAAAAUAAUUAUGGCUUAUUUUUCCACAAACCACCCUAAUAUAUGAACCAUUAGAUAUCAUAUCACCACCACAAUCAAAUUACGCUAAUAACAAUUAUGUCAUUGUAUCCAUGGCAUUGCAGAAUUAUAUGAGGAGGCAUGCACAAUGUGGUCUUCAUUUUGAGAACAUUGAGAUGAUCCUAAUUUAAUCUUUGAUGAAGGAAUAGAAAGAGACAAUGACAUUUAAGAAGAGUAUUACAAUACUAAUGGCUCUAGAUCAUAAGAAUGAAAAAUUUGAGGAUUAUUAUUGUAAUAAGUUCAAUGUGAAUGUAAACUUUUUAUUUUAUUUGGAUUAUGUAUUAGUAUGAAUUUUUAUCAUAUUUUAUGUAACAUAUUAUGAAGUUCAUUAUAUAUUAUUUAGUUGAGUUUUUUUUUUCACUUUAUGCAAUUUCAUGUGUUUGAAAAGAAAAAAAACACAUGUCUACACAAUUUAUUAAAUAUACUUUAAAAAUUUAAAAUGCAAUUUAAACUUAUGCUUAUUUUAGUCAUUAAAUAAUAAAAUAAUUCAUUCAUAAUAAAAUUUACCAAACGCAUGUACCGUGUUUUUCAAGUUAUACAAGCACAGUAAUCUAAUUAACCAAAUACAAAAUUACAUUUUUAAUUAAUUAUUUAUUAAUCUAUACAGUAGAAACAACUUUUUUUAUCGGCCAUCAUAAUUCUAAACGAUGCCAAAAGUCCAAAACGAGGCCCAUUUAAAAGUUUUAAACCCAAAAAAAAUAAAGUUGCUGUCCGUGGAAUAAUUGAUAACUUGGGGUAUUUUCGUCAUUUAGUAUAAACCGACCUCGUCGCAUAAGAUGUGUGUCCGGUGUCCCAGAUCAGAUGGCCAGCAAUGCCCACUUGCGUUGUGUCUGUGGGCCAGCAUCUCCAUGUGGGCAUCUAUGAAUCACCCACGAUGAGUUCUUAUAACUUUUUUUUGCUUAAAAAGUUCAUUUUUUUUUUUAUCAUUUUAAUUAAAUUUUAAUAAAUUCCAUUGGCUAUAAAAAUCCAAUUUGAACAAUACUUUAGGGUUUCCAAAUUCUUCGAUUUUCGAUAUAUCCUUAUUUUGCACUUAAAGAUUCAUUUAUGGAUCAUUAAUAGUCACAUAAAAGGUACGUCUACAUCCCAUAUCUCAUAUUUACGUACUUUUAUUUAUUUUCUGGGGAUCCAUUUUUUCAUUUCAAUUGAAUUAUAAACUUUUAUGACAAACUUGAUUGAAAUUUGAGUUCUUUAAUGCUAGUUUAUCUUUAAAUUUCAUGAAUAGAAUUCGAAUUAUGUAAACAUGAAUUGAAUUUGAUGUAAGCUAAGAUGAUUCAAGAAAAUAUGGAUUUGAUCUUUUUUCAGAUUAUGUCAAUUUGGACAAUCAUACUGCUGGAAUGAAAGUUGUUGUUCUUGAUCUUGAUCUCGCGGCAUCUUUUGAUAAAUUUGAGAGAUAUUGAUAAUGGAUUUUGACAGUGAACGUUCAGCUCAUGAAUCUGUGGAAGAUAAUGUAGUAGUGAGCCAAGGAGCUGUAUCCCAUGUUAAUGAUGACAAUAGCGUUAAGAUUAAUGGGUCAUAUGUCAACGAGUUGGUUAGUAGUGACAAUCAUGAUGCUAAUGUAGCACCAGUUGAUUGCAAAGAAACGGGUGACCAAGGUUUGGCAAUGAAAUCUCCAACCGGAGGUUCACCUCCUAUGAAGAAAGGGUAUGGAUUAAAGAAAUGGAGGCGGAUUAAGAGGGAUUUUGUUAAGGAUGCUGGUCCUAGUGUGGAUAGCAGCAAAAUUUUGAAGCGGGGUUUGUCUGGUGCUGUUAAUCCAACUACACCAUUGGCUGAUAAUUGGCAGAAUAACAAGGCUUCUGUUGGAUUCCCAAAUGCAUUAAAAACCAUGGGUGUUGUUGAUGGCUUUGCAACUCGUGGCUCUAGUUCGGAUUCUAGGUUUGCGGUUGGUUCCGCUUUUGCUGCGGGUACGGAUUCUGAGAACAGUGAGGAUCGAAGUAGCAAGUCUUCUACAGCAGCCAGUGCUCCAAAGUUGAGAUAUGAAUUGCCUGCUGCAUCAGUGUAUGUGCGAGAGAGGAACAGGAUGAAGAAUUUGAGUGGGAAGAGUGGGGGUAAUGCAACUCAACGUGUUCAACAAGGAAAAAGUCGGGCCGAAGGCAGUAAGAAGCCUAGAGGGGAAAAGGUCAAAAUUGAGAAAGAGAACUCUCAUUCCAGCAUGGAAUCUGACUCGAGAAGCUCCAACUUUGUCUUUAUGCAGGGUACUUCUGCCAUGACUAGUAACGGGAGGCAAAGUGGACGGUCAAUGAAUUACGAUGGGGAAAAUAGUGACGAUGCUCAUGCUUCUGACCAACAGUUUAGUGAGGAAGUUCAAACUGGUUACGCCGAAGAGAAUGUGGGAGUAGUUGAGGAUCUUUCACAAGAUGAUUUAGCAGCGGACUUAUCUUGGGAUGCUAAGGAUGAGAAGAAUGAAAACCACCAGCCGUCAACAGUACGGGAUCCUUUGGUGGAGUCUCUCCUCACCCUCCAGUCUGUGCAAGAUGCGCUGGAAAAAGGUAUGGUGCCCUCCUUAAUUUUCUAAACAGUUUUAAUGAGCUGCGUGUGAGUGUGUAUUUGUUAUGUACCGUCUUAGACUCUCAGUAGUGCUUUGCUCUGGUCAAUUGUACAAUAUCUUUGUUUUUGUAAAUAUGUAGUUUGGAAACUUGAAUAAUACCCAUGAUCAUUCAUUGGAAGCAUUUGAAACAUAUUUUUACCCUAUUAUUUAAAGGAAAAUCAUUGAAAUCAUUUCAUUUUGUGGGUGGAAAUUUAAGAUUCAAACUAUGUUUUAAAUCUGCGUCAUUUAUGCAUCCUCCUGCUAGAUUGUACACUAUCCUAAUUUCUUUGCUUGAUUUGUUGGAAUAUCCAAAUAAGGAUAUUAUUAACCCAAAUGUGGAUUUUUGUCUUGCUUGAUUUGCCCAAGUGACUGCCUAAGGGAGUACAUUGGGUUGACUGAUACUGAUUUGGGCUUUGGGCAUGCGUAUGUAACUGCCACAGAAAGGAUUCAGUGUUAUUAAUUGGUUUUUUUUUUUAAAUUGGAUGAUCAAUAUUGUCUUCUCCUUUGGAUGAAGAUUUUACCAUUAAAAUCAACUUGAAAGGUAACUUAGUAAAUACAUUCAAAGCACAAACUUAACUGUAUAUAACCAUUUGGCAGAAUUUCAAAUUGUAAAUUGUCAUUGUUUUCACUUGGCAGCCGUUUGUUAAUUUCUGUUGAUUUCGCAGUUCGGUGAUUCAUGUUUAAUGUGCUUAACAUAAUUGAUGUAUUGAUGUCGUUAGUAUGUCUUGUAGAUUGUUUUACUCUAUACUCCUUAUGUCUUCUAUCUGCUUAGAAAAAUUAAUUCAAAUACCACUGUAAUUGCUUCGUGGACAUGAUAGUUUGUCAAGUCUGAUCGAACUAUGUGCUCAUUUGCAGAAGUUGAGAAAUUAGGGGAGAUUGGGAAGGAUGCCAUAUUGCUACAUGAUAACUCAUUUGAGGGUAGCAGUAUACCUGCUGAUUCCAUUUUUACUGAUCCACAAAUCCAUGGACUAAGUUCUUCUAACAAAUUUAGAUCUGAAAAGAAUGGAGAAGGUGCUUCAGGUUCCUUGGAAAUGCUGGUGCUAAGCUUGAAACAGAAUGUGCAACAUUUGGAAGCCAAACUGGAGGAGAUGAGAACUCUGCUAGAGGUGAAGGAACUGAGGGUCGCUGAACUGGAAGCCACAUUAAACAGUAGCAAGCCUGGAAAGGAAGAGUCAGGGAGCACUAUUGACUUGCAGCCAGAAUUAUGUAGAGAGAUGGAGACUGAGUUUGAAUGUCUCUUUCGGCAAAAGAUUGAAGCUGAGGUGGAGUAUCUGACACUAACGAGGACAAUAGACAAGGUGAGAGCAGCUGGUGGUGGUCGAGUUACACUCAUUGAAGAGCAAGAAGCUCUAGCCUUGGAGCAAGCACAGAUGCUGAGCAAGCUAGAAGAAACCGAAUGCAAAGCAGCGGUGCUAGAGAAACAAGCGGAGGAGUUGGGAAAAUAUUGUAGACAUGUUUUGGGGGAGGAAGUAGUUUUGAAGAUGCAGAACAGGGUAUGUAAGGUUACUACAUGUUUUGUCAUACAGUUUCUAUUACUGGUCUUGGUAUUUUGGCUGGUUGUCUUGCGGUUGUCAUCCCAUUCAGGGGUGAUUGUACCCACAUAAAUUUUUAAUACAUGGGUUCCUUUUGUAACUGCAACGUUUUAGGCAAAAGGUUUGAAUAUUGUAUUAGAUUUCAUUGUUAUUAAAUAGAGCAUUUUCCUUUCUCACUGUAAUUUGUGUGCCGAGGCCCGAGUGGGAGGAGUUGCAGUUUUUAACGGUGUUUUCUUAGCUGGUCUCCAUCUUCAUGCUUGUGCAUGAAAUAUACAUAUGAUUUUUAUUUUUUUUUCCAAUUCAAGUGCCAAGAUUGAUGCACAAGCACUUGAUGUUUGUUCGUCGGUAAAGUAAGUUUUAAUAUCAUCGUCAUCUUUCACUCCCCAUUCAAUGUGAAACUGCAAUCCAUAUUCAGUAUUGACAUUUAGGACUGGCUUACAGUAAAAGUCUUCUUCAGUCUAUUUCCAAGACACUGUUUUGACGGGCAAACAUGGGGUUUCCAAGUUGAAUCACUUCGCACAAAAAGUCACCCACUAAGGCACUAACUGCUGAGUGCUGACAGGCUACAACUUCUUGUUCAACUUUUGAUAACUGCCACCUGCUUUUGUCAGCUUCCUCGUUAAUUUCUUAUUUCGUUCUUAGGAUCAUGUUAAAAAUACUGAUUUGGAAUUUUUUUUGUUUUUAGUAAGUAAUUUUUUUUUAAUUAAAUGUCUUAAAUGCAUUAUGUGCUGUGUAAACCAAGUGAUCCCAAUGAGGCAUGCCUUUGGAUAUGAAAAUAAAAUUGUGAAUUAAAUAGAAAACAAUGGUAUUAUUACAGUGCGUAUUCCUCUUUUAAAACAAGAAAUCCAAAGCAAUAACAGACUCAUUAAGACUUCAUUUUGUGGGAAAAGAAUAAUUACGAAGGCUAAGGUCCUUUUCUAAGCACAUAUGAUUUGAACCUAAAAACGGUAGUUACAGCCAUUAAAAGGCCACAAAAACUAGAACCAUGUGCGGCAAACAAUAAUGCAAAGCUUUAUAUAGCAUGGAAUGGAUGCAUAUAACAUUGCAUCUGUUGUCAACAUCAAUGAUGCAUGCAUAAGCACUUCCUGAAAUUUUAUGCCACAGGAAAAGUGCUUUCACACGGUAUGAAAACAUAGAGAUUCAUUCUCAUUUAGGAAACAAAUUAAGGCAUUGUCCUGGCUGAGAGUGAAACACUGAAACCUAGUGAUUUGUCCAAUCUUUAACUUGCCAGAAAAAAAAAAAAAAGAAUUGCCAAUAAAAUUACCCAUUUCAAAGUUUUGAUUGGAAGACCCUUUGAUAAAAUGUUUAGCCACCCUCAAAUCAUAGGAAGAGCAUGAACAGGAAAAUAAUGUGUAGUCCUAGAAAGAAUAUAAUAAUGGAUGUAAUGCAACUCAUGGCAUGAUCAGUAGUCAAUUAUUACCCACCAUGCUAGUAGUAAUUUACCAGGUUAGCCCCACCUAUACAAUUAUAUAUCUAGAACACUUGCAAUUCUUCCCAUGUUAUAUAGAGAAGCUUCUUGAGUUAAACAAUAUGACAUUAAAAUAAAUAAAUAUAAAGCAGCAAAAUAAAGAAACUCGAACAAGCAUGCUCAGUGUACUAUUUAGAAAUCAAGAGUAAGGCGUGAGAAAGGUGUUAAUGUGGCUUUAAAGUCAAAUGAUUCGUAUACACAAGGUGUUGCUUUCAUUUGGUCACGAGAAUCUGUCAACAAAACAGGUGAAGCUAUUCCUUUUAAUUUGAUAUGUGCAAGAAAUUCAUUAUGGAAACACUAAUCACUUGAUAAUUGAAUUUUGACACCCUUUAAAUUUGACCAUUCAAUGCUUUCUUGUUUUGAUUUUCAACCGAAAAGACUUGGUCUCAAAGAAUUACUUACUAACUGCUGUCAAAUUGACAAGAAACUACUUAACCAUGCUUCCUUCUUCUAAUUGGAUCCUGAUCAUAUAAUAAUGUGAGACCGGAAAGAUGAAUAUUCUACAUCUUUAUCAAAGAUAUUUAGACCUUUUCAAAGUACCCCACGAAUUAUAGACUUUCAUAUAUUUUCGCAUAAUGUACACUUUAAAUGUGAGUGAGAUUCGAAUGUUUUAACUUACAAGAGAAAAUUGUUAAAGAUUCAGUCAUCAAACUCAGAAGACGAGUAGUAAUAAGAACUGAAAGGACAAAGCAAUGAAUAUCAAAUGACCCCCCAAAUAAAAAAAUGUAAAUGCAGUUCACUUUACACCAUUUGGGGAGGAAAAAAAAAAAACAUAGCACCUUUUUUCUAAUCUUUUCCUUCUCAUACAAGCCUAAUAGACCAUCAUGCUCUGCAUGAAAGAAAUUUUUAACACAAAGCGACAAAGGUCCUAAGAGACCCCACUUGAGAAAUUAGGAAAGAACCAAGAGGGUUCCUUUUGUGGCUUUGUUUUCGCUAGAGCUAGCUAACUCCAAUCAACUAACUAAGACUUAAAAAAAAUUAAAAUAAAGACCAAAUUCUAAGACUAAUUAACUGAACUAAUAAAGAAGAGACUGUGUAUCCCAAUUGAAUUAAGAAAUAGUAGCUGCUGCAGCCGAAGGCCCAGCAGCUUCACAACCAUGAAAUUGAUAAUACUCAGGUGGAGUGUCAUUGAGAUCAAAAUCAUGAACUCUUCUGCUGGGACUAGGAGCUCUUUGAGUAACUUCACCAGCUGAUGUUGUCACCUGGCUUGAGCUUGAUAACGCUUCGGCUGGGCCUGUCCAAUGGCACCUCUUGUGCCCUCCAAGUGCUUGUCCUGUUGGGAAUAUCUUGUUGCAUAUGUUGCAUUUAUGCUCACUGCUUCCACCUCCUCCUGCUGCUGCUGCAGCUAAUUCUCUUGAUGACUCCCCAGUUUCUUCAUCGGAUGCUGCUGCUGCUAGUUUGUCCUCACCUUUGCUAUCCUCGGCGGCGGCGGAUGCAGAUGAAGAUUCUUUAACAUUCUUGUUUUUGUUGUGGCUAGCUACAUGGCCUCCAAGAGCUUGAUGCUUGUCAAAAGACUUGUUGCAAAUAAGGCAAGAAUAUGUUUGAGCAGUCGACAUCACCACUGGCUCCUCUUUGAGAGCACCACCACCAGCAGUGGUACCCUCUAGUACUGCAUCAUCCAAUUCAUUCAAUCUUCUCCUCUUAUUCUUCUUCUGUUGCUUCUUCUUCAUCAUCAUCAUCAUCAUCAUCUGAUCAUCCAUAUCACUGCUACGAGCAUCCUCAUCACCUUCAUAAUCCUUCUUCACAGUCCACAUGUCCUCUGAAUUACAAUUAUCGAACCCUAACCCAUUGCCAUCUUUCAUCUCAACAUUACCCUUCUUCUUUUCCCUCUCAUCAUCUUCAUCAUUAUCAUCAUCAAUCUUGUUAUUAUCCUUAAUCUUUAACACACCAUAUCCAGAGUCAACAGAUGAAACGACUCGAUGAUGGUCAAACGUCCCCCGCUGCUCCUUAUUAUCGUUACAAUCAUCAGCACUAAGUUGAGCCAGCAACAGCAGAUCACUCACAGCUUGUUGCAUAGCUUCUUCUUCAUCUUCAUCUUCAUCUUCAUCCGAAGAAGACGACAUUAUCAAUCUCUGACCUCUCUUUCUCUUCGCCGACCACCCCCUCAGUGACUCCACCAAGUCUUCACCACCGGAUCCCAUACUGCCAUCAACAUCAUAACCAUCGUCAUCAUAAUGAUCAUGAUCACGAUUAUCACGUGAUAGACGAUAAUGAAUUGUUGGUGAAGAAGAGGGAGAAGGAUGCUGACGACGAUGAUUCAACAAGUAGUGCUUUGGAGGUUGAACGCCACGCCACUCUCUCUCAGGAUGCUUUCUCAUGUGGCCGUACAAAGACUUGACAGAUCUAAAACUCUGGUGACAUACAUAACAUAUAUGGUUAUUAAUAUUACCCUCUUCACCUGCUUCUUCCGGUUUCACAGCAACCGCCUUCUUAAUCAAUCUUGGGUUUUGAUUAUUAUGAGUAGUGCCGUUCUUGAUCUUCUGCAGGCAAGCUCUCUUGUGGCCACCCAAAGCUUUACCAGAAGUAAACUGCUUCCCACAUUCACUGCACGUUCUUGGCAGCCCUAGUACCCCGCUGCGAUCUUGUUGAUCUUGUUCUUGUUCUUGUUGCAGCAGCAGAUCUUCUUCCAUAAACUGAUGAUCAUCAGCUUCAGCAGCAGCAGCGGCGGGAGGAUUUGUUAUUGGGAUCUUCAGCUUCAAAGAUAAAGAAGACCCUUUUGUUAUUUCCGUAUCAUCGUCAGCUUCAGAAACCAGUUGAUUUGGCUUUUCUUGAGCAGCUUCAACUGCUACUGCAGCAGGAAGUGGUUGCUCUUGAUCUUCUUGAUCUUCUUCAGCCAUUAUGUUAACUCUUUCUUUCUUUUUCUUUUUUUUUCUUUUUGGGUUUUGAUGGUGACAGUGAUUGAAAAGUGACGUUAAAACAUAAAGAAAGAAAGAACUAAUAAGAGAGUCACUGACGACUGUAGAGCAGUAGUAGAGCAGAAGCUGAAAGUAUAAUGAGAUAUGUUGUUAAUAAUAAGAAGAAGAAGAAGAACAAGUUUAAAUUAGGUUUAGCUGAGCUCCUUUCUGUAUUUCCUUGGCUUAGAAGGAACUCAAGAAUUCCAAAAACCGACCUUAAUAUAAGAAUAAUUAUAAUUAAUAAAAACAAAAAUAAAAUCUUAGAAGUUGAUUUUAUCUAUAUUUUCUAUUAAACUAAAGAUUACCCAGAUGGAAAUAAUUACCGAGAUUUUCUAUUAACCCAAAUUUUCUUUUAAAAAAAAAAAAACAACAGCAGCUUCCUCUUUCUUCUUCUAAGCAAGAUUCAAGAACAAGAAGAAUCCCAUCUGUAAAAUAAAAUAUCUAUAUAUAUACAUAUAAAGCGCAGAAGAGAAGAAGAAGAUGAUGAUGAUGAUGAUGAUGAUGAUGAUUGCUGAGGAGGAACCUCGAAAGAUUAAGCUGUUGAGUUGAGAGUUGAAAUGAGGAGUCACACUAGAAUUGGUUAAGUUUUUUUAGAGUAGUGGGAAAUUGACUGACUGUCACGUUCUUAGCCUCUUUGCCUCUCAUUCUGCAUCAUUAUUGAUUUAUUCAAACACAUAUAUAUAUAUAUAUAUAUAUUUCUAUUAUUUAUUAUUUUAUAUUUUUUACCAUUUGCCAUACCCUAUCUUGGAUUUUACUUAUUUAUUUUGUAAUUUUCUUAAUUUCAUAAUUAAUUUUCCUUUUUCUUUUUGACUUCUAUGGAGUGUAUGGGUCAUUAAUGAUUCCCCCGAUAAUCCCUCUCGCAUUUGCAAAUUAAAUUAAAACCUUUCCUUUAGUAAUUGGGAUUAUUUGGGUAAUUAAAAAUUUUUCAUUAUGUACAAUAUCUUUGAUUGGGAUUCUUCAACUGUGGAGUAGUGGAUGCAACAAUGUGUGUGUGUAUGUGUAUAUAUAUAUAUAUAUAUGUACUUUUGGGUUUAAAUUAAUUUUCAUAGUUAUCCAUUGUCGUUGCUAUCCUUAAACCAUUUUUUUUCUUUUUCAUAAAUGAUAAUGUUGAUCAACACAACACAAAUUACAAAGUGAUUUAUAGACUAUUAAUUAAUUAAUUUAAUAUACUUUCAACGGUUGAGAUUUCAUCAUCGUAUCAAAUUUACUCUCAACCAUUCAUAAUUUAUGUAGAAGACCCUAUAUAAGUGCAUUACCAAGCUGCCCAUUCACACUUUGGGACCAAACCUUCUGAAGAAGCUGCACGUCCAUGACUUUCCAAUUCUUGAAUCACAUUACAUUUUUUUUUAUUUUUUAUUUUUUUUUUGGGGCUAUGGAUUUAAAAUGGUAAGUGCCAUAUUUAUUUUUAUAAUUUAUUAAGGAUGUAUAAAAUUGAUUCGGUUAUUAAAUGUUUAUAGACGUAUAUCUAAAUUGGUACUUUGUUUUUCAAUGACCCAACAUUGGGUGGUUCAUUGUAGCAUAAAGGAUGAUGCAUGUGACCUAAUCAAAUACGCGAUUGAAUGGAGAAGGACCAAUCAAAUGUGGCCAAUUGGAAAAAAAAAUUUCAAAGCAAAAGUUACCACUCUACUCAGAAUUCUAAAAGAAUAUAUUGAACAUUGGAAUUUGAACCCAUAAAUAUAGGAUUAUAUUUAUUUUUAAUUUCAUAUGGAAACAAAUAAUUAACCAAAUAUAAAAUAAUUCUCUUAAUGUAAAGUUAAAAUAACCAUAUGAAUUCAUAUAUAAAGCAAAAUGUUGCCAUUUCUAUUUUUUUUUUUUUUUAUAUAUUGAAUAUGUUGUGAUAUGACAAAUUAAAUAUUUGGGCUCAGAAUUAGCCGAACUAAUGUACAUGGGAGAGUCUCAAAAUCAUACCUACACUAGUGAAAAAGCGGGGUGAUUUACCAAUGAAAGUUCAGAUUUCAUGCCUAAUAGCUAGUGCUUUAAUUGUCAGCAAUGGCAAUUAUGGCAUAGGUCCAAGAGUUGCAGAUAAUUUUUGUUGACUGAAGAGAGAUGGACAAAAGAAAUACGUAAGAAAUUUUGGCACUACUUAAAGUCCUUUGAGCACAACAAUUUCUAAUAAAUAAGGCACUCCAUUCCAAGUCUCAAAAUCAUAUAGUUUUGACUAAUGUAUAAGAAGAAAAAGAAGAAGAAGAGAAAGAAAGAAAGAAACGUGGGUAUUCAACUAAUAAAGACAUUACCAUAUUGAAGAAAUUACGAGUCAACAAUAUGUUCUGGCUUCUGGGUUCUCUUUUUUUUUUUUUCAUUUUUUUUUUGUAAUUAAAUGAGAAUUUAAAGAAUAAUGUGAACAGGGUUUUUCUAUUUUUUUGGGUUCUGGGUCGUUUUAAUUUCCAAUUUUCUACAUACGGAUAGUCAUGGCCCUAGAAAUGUUGCUUUUAUCAUGGCGAUGUGGCUCUUGUUGGCACAAUUUCUGGUAAUAUGAAAAGAAAAUUAAAAUUAUUUUGGAAAAAACAAACAUGGAAGGCUGUAAUUAUGUAUGAAUACAGCUAUGAGAUCCUCUGAAUUUCUUAAUGACAAGAUCAUCUUUCUUUAUAAUCCAUAGAAAGCUUAUCUUAAAGACAUGAUUUUAUCUUUGAUCAACCUUCUAUAACAGUCUCCUUAUCUCAUAGGCUUGUUACAAUUUUUUAUUUUUUUUUUAAAUAUGCUUGUUACAAGUUACAACAAAGAAAUUGCUACUUACCCACUUAAUAUUUUGUAUUCUUACCACUUAUAUUCCCUAAUAAUUUUCAUAAUACUAGUUAUCUCUUUAACGUCAAUAUUUUCAUAGAAAAAACCUUCACAAAUUUGCCAUCUUAGGCCCGUAGCCAUAAAAUAAAUAUUUAUUGACAUCCUAGGAAUGGGAGCAACGUAACAUUAUAGGGUUAUUAUUCUUUCACUAACCUAAUUUUAUUGAAGUAACAAAUUAUUAUAAGAAUUAUUUAAGGAUAAUAGUUUAUACGUAAACUAUGAAAAAAAUAAGUGAUUUAUUAAUUACUAUUUUUCUGUUUCUUUCUGUUAAUUGACUUAUAAAAUAUCAAACCCAAUUUUGUAUCUAAAAUUUUGAAAGUGUGACAGAACAGCCUUGAAUAUAGUUACCAUAUGUUAUAAAAAUUUUACACUUUAACAAAUCACCCCCAAAAAUUCUAAUCCUUAAAUCUUUUUGUCUCGCUGUAACUCCCUCCUCUUCUUCAUCAGAUUGAAGUACUCCAAAUCAUUGUGGGAUUUGCUGUUAAUGGGUUUGAUUUGGGUAAUAUUUAAUUUUUAGUUUUGUUAAAAUGAUUAAAAUUUUAUGGUAUAAUUCAAAUUUGGGAUAUUUUAAUGUAAAGUCAAAUUUGUCAUCGUGACAUCAUCUUUUUGGACUUACGGAAAUAACAGAAAAAAAAAGAGUAAAAUAUUAUUUUUAUAGUCAACAGUUUUUAUAGUAAUUUAUUAUUUUGAUGUAGUUACGAGUAAUGAAAGAAUAAUGACCCCAUAAUAUAAAAACUGUCAUGUUAAAAGUCGUAAAAACAGUAAGAUUUAGGGGUUGCUAUCAUCUUUUGACUUAUGGAAGUAACAGACAAAAGAGUAAAAUGCUUUUAUUUAUAGUUAAUAAUUUUUAUAGUAAUUUAUUAUUUUGAUAUAGUUAAGAGUAAUGAGAGAAUAACAACACCAUAUUAUUAAAACUGUCAGGAAAAAAGAGGUAAAAACAGUAAGACUGGGCAGAAUAAUAUUGGUUAAUACUAUAUGAUUCCACCUUAAGCUCACCAACGGGAUCCGUGGCGCAAUGGUAGCGCGUCUGACUCCAGAUCAGAAGGUUGCGUGUUCGAUUCACGUCGGGUUCAAUUCCCCGAAUAUUAGGAUCCAACCCCUUUUUCUUUUUUGAAGAGCAAAAUUGACUUUAACCAACGUUGAAACGAAAGUACGACAUGAUUCUCAAAAUAUGGCAUCUCAAUAGUUUUGCCUGGAUAUAAAAUGCUCCAUUUCCAGUCAAUCAUAUAAGAUGCUCCAUUUCCAGUCAAUCCUAUUGCCAUUUCAAAUGGGAGGUCAGUUUUCUUAUGACAAAUGAAAAGCAUACCAACUACUGUUGUGUCCUACCAAUUUAAGAGUUACAAAUAUUUUACAUAACCGCCCCAUUUCACCUCCCUCUCAGUUCUUUUCUCUUUUGCUCUUUUGCUCUUUUGCACCGGGGCAUAUCGUUACAACAACAACUGCUAGAAAGAACAGAAAAUUCUACAUCCUAAUUGAUGGCUUCCCCCACCCCCAUCCCCGCAAAAAGCAAGCAGCAAUACACUGGAAGUUACUGCUGAACUGUUGAGUCAUAGGAGGAUCUGUAUUCCAACAUCUCAGACUUGUAUCGUUCCUUGUCCUUCAACCCUUUCUCCUGGUAAACCUGCAUCACAGUAAGAGUGAACUGGUGAGGGGUGACCCAAUUUACAAAAUAAAAUCUUCCAUUGUAAAAGUCGGCCGGACUAAUUUAAACGGUUUCAUUUAUGUCCCCACGCUCAAGCCUGUACUGUAUUCAUUUCAUAUGCCCCAAAUAUGGAUUCAGAGACAAUGACGUAGAGCAAUCACAGCUAGAUUAAUUAAAUGCAAAUAAGUUGUAAGUGGAUCAGCUCAAGUAUCCCAGUUGCUAGAGUCAUCUUGCUUCUAAUACCAAUAAAAAAUUUAAUUUAUUAACAAGUCCUACUAGAAUAUAAACAUCUAAAUUACUCUCUGUGUCACUGCCUACUGGAUACAAGUUUUGAUAUACGAACAACUGUCCUUGAGUAGCAUACCACCAAAAGCAAAUAGCAGAAAUAACUAAAAAGUUCAAUAAUCAACUUAGAAAUAAGGGCUAAACUUUCAGAGCAAUAUGCAGCAUCCAUUGAAAUUAUUUUUGUUGAAAACCAUUCAUAUCCAAUCAUUAAAUGCAACCGUGUGUACUUAUCUACAUGCUGUUAAAGAAAAGCACUUGAGAAACAUCAGGAUAUGGAGACAUGAUACCAGAGAAGAAUUGAAAGUAAAUAUCUGGUAUACCUGUUUUUCAGCUUCUGUGAGAUUGCUCCAAAGGACCCCUAUCUUCUUGCUGAUGGCUUUCUCUUGUCCAUAGUAGUGUGGCUUUAGUCGGGCAUAGUGCUCAGCAAAGAAGAAAUUGUAACCACUCCUGUUUGACUUGGGCCGAGAGGGAUCUCGUAAAGCCAACCGAGAUCUCUUACGGCGUCGGUGAGUAGGCGCAGCUGAAUUAUUAGAACUCUGAGACACAUUAUGCGCAUGAGGAAUAUGAUAUAAGACACCUUUAAGUUGUUCAGAACCCAAGUUCACAGUGACCAGAUAUCCAUUAUCAAAUUUCCCAUCAAUGACUCCAGAAACUGAACAGCCAAUCUGCAAUUUUGAACUCCCUGCACAUCAAAUAUACAACAGCAAUAGUUAUAUCAGCCAACAACCACUUAACAGAUCAAAAAAAUUUAAAAGAGGAAAAAGUAGGUACCAUGUGAAGAAAAUACUGAUGGAAAAUUAAGAACUACCAUAAUUCAAACUUUUUGAAACAAGUAGAUAAUCAUAUAAAACCAAUUUAUCUUUAUGUAAAAAGUGAGUAAUAACACAAAUCAUUCUGAAUUACAAGUAGAAGAACUAAUCAUAAAUAGACACCAAAUAAUCAAGGAUGAAUAUAUAAAAUGUCACGGAUGAAACAUACCCUGACUGCCCAACUGGUUAAUUGUGGAACCUUCCUCUGGGGAUGCUGAUCCAUUGUCAAGGCUGCUCCCGCUUACAGCAUCUGUAGAAGUAGAAUAGCAAAUUAUAUAAUGAAAUCUAAACAAAAGUUCUAACAGAAAAUUCAAAUCCAUAUUUCCAAGUACCAGGCAUUGACGAUGAAGGAGCUUCUCUGCGGAAGUAGUAGACUUGCUCGAAGUGGUAAAGUAAUGAGAGAUAAUACUUCCGUAAUACAAAUGAUGCACUGGUAAUCGUUGUGGGAAAGUUGAAGACCACAACCACUUCCUUCCAUCUACGAUCUCUAAUUACCUAAAACCAUUUCAAGACAAUUAGGGGGGAGAAAAAUGGAAAAAUACAAAAAAGAGCUCCUCAGUUGUGAGGAGAAAAUGGAAAUUAAUCUAUGGAAGAUGCCCCAACAAUCAUCCCAGUUGCAAUCAUUAUCAAAUCGUGGACUAGAUGAAACAUAACCAAGACAAACCAUGUCAUCGGAAAAUGCAGGAAAAAUGUUAAAGUCAUGCCUCAAAAAUUAGCUGUGACAAUAUCAUUGGAAGUUUGUUAAAAGAUCAAGAUAGUGCAGGUCAUAGGAGAAAAAAAUACUUGACAUGAUCCUUUAAUCAUCUCCGGGGAAUAUGAGACUGUCACCAUUAUCGUUAGGCUAGGUUUUGUAACAGAUUUACGAGUGGAAUGUUGCACACACCAUUCUCCUCAUUUAAAACAAGGCAAUAGCUUGUACCUUUCCAAGACCACCACGAGAUGUCACCUCCACAAAAAGGCGAUGCAGAUCGAGCGCCUUUCCUCCUACAGUAGGAACCCUAUUCAAAGGAAAAAGAAAUUGAAGGAAUGUCAAUCGUACUCGUUUUUCUUAUUCUAAGUUUUAUUAAGAAGGUCAGCUCUAUUGGUGGACUAGCAGCAGAAAAGGAUAAUGAAAGGAGUUCAUGUAAAGGCAUUCAAUCACCUAGAGGGAAAGAAGGAAAAAGGAACAAAGGGAAUUAUGAAAGGGUCGAUUGAAAUAAAAGCAAGCAAGAAACAUAAUGACCUCAAAAGUAAAUGUAUAUAAUACUUCUAUGCUCCACGUCACACCGGAUGAAGUUUUAGCCAAAUAAAGAGAAGGCAGACAGGUCUCAUAGUUUGCAACUUUGGAUAAUGGUGUUUAAAUACAAAGAACCAAAACAUUGAAACCUUAAUAAGACCAGCAAGUCACUUAAUAUCGGCAGGCCAAUCAUGCAGUUACAUUGAACAAGCUUAUCAAACCAGAUUCCAACUAAUCUAACAGGAUGUUCAUUCUUGUCUCCAACUGUCAACUAGUUUGAAGAAACUGUCGAGCUGUAAUUAUAUCAAUUAGUUACACGGUAUCAAAGCAUUGAGAUCUGAACCACUGCCAUAUCAGUGAGCCAUAAGUCAAAUGGCAAUCCCCGUUGUGCAUCCAUGGCAAGCAUAAAAAAAGUUAAUGGUGCCUAACAUAAAUAAAUUAAGAACAGACCACCAAUCAUCCAACAUUACUUAGAAAAGGUAAAAAAAAAUUACUAAAAACAUAAAGCUCUCAGUGUCAAAGCUCAAAAUUUGUUCAGCAGACAUGAGCCAAAAAUCAUAAAGGAACAAAAUUUACGGAGGGGGAAAAAGAAAACAUGAAGAAAAGCAAAAGUCACAAACUUGAACUUGUCACCAAAAGACUUGUGAAAUGCUUCGAGAGUAGCCCAGAAAAGAUCAGAACUCUGAGCAAUAUCCUCGUACUUGGCUGUUGGUGGAGGGUAGUAACUGGAUGCCUUGUUGUUGUUGUUGUUGUUGUUGCUGUUACUGUUGCUGUUGCUAGUAGUGGCGGAUGAUUUUUGGCCAUUUAACAUAUGGGACGACAUGUUUUGUGCGAGAGAUAAAGAUUAGAUAGUAAGGAAGAAGAAGAAGAAGAAGAUUAAUUUUUUUCUUUUUUCUUUUUUUUUUUUUUUGGCAAAGUAAUUAGCCAAAAAUAAUAAAUAAAAUGAGGAUUAGAUGGUUGACAAAAAGAUGAUACGAAAAUAAAAACUAUAUGAUAAAAUAAAAUAUAUUUAGAAUAAUAGUAGAAUCAAAGUUAAUUCUUGCUACUAACACAAGCAGAGGAGGGGAGAUAGAAGAAGAGGAAUGAGAAGAUGAGGUUAGGUCAUCGGAUUAAGACGAAGGGUAAAGGCAAAGCAAGACACUGGUGACUCCUUUUAUUUUAUUCUUUAUUAUAUUAAAUAAAGAUUAGAGGCGCACCCAGGCUAAUAAUUAUUAUUUUUAUUUUAUUAAAAAAAUUAUAUUUAAACUACAAAAAGACAUCAUUAACGACAUCACGAAUGUUGCCAUUUUGUGUGUCGGAAUGAUAAUGUAAUACGAACAACAAUUUCAUUUCCAUGUAUUUUUUUUAUAUUUAAUUAUCAGUGCUCUUAUUUAUUUAUUUAUUUAUUUAUUUAUUAUUAUUAUUAUUAUUAUUUAACUUUUUUUUAGAAAUUAUAAUGUGAGUAUUGCGAAUGGAGUAGAAUAUAUAGCCGGUGACUAAUGCAUAUUCUUUUGAGAAGAAAUUAUUAUAUAAAAAUUUAGUGACAUAUCUAUAUUAUUUUUGGUUGAAUGAAAAUGCUUGCAAUUAAUCAAAAUAAAAUAAUGACUUUAUCCACAAGAGUCAACAUAAUUGAUUCUCUUACCACAUAGGUCUUAGAAAUCUGGCCGUUCUAUCAUGGUGAGCUACAAUUACCAUGAUGAACGUGUUAAAUUAACUUCACUGGUACAUGGUGGAACUUAAUUAACCAGUCCGCAAUUUAUUUGAUGAUUCAUUUAAAGGAUGAUGAUAAUUUAGGGGGGGAAAAGAAAUAGUGUUAACAAUUUCUAGGUUUUUUUUUUUUAAUUAAAAGCUGACUAAUUGAUGGUUUUAGUUCAAGGAAAGUCAAGUCUUCCGAAACGUCUAUUAAUUAAUUUUAAUAAAUUGAAUCAGAAGAAAUUAGAAAGAAAAAAAAAGAAACAGGAUCUCCUUCUUCUAAUCUGAGUUUCAUUGAACUUUUAAAGACUUUGUGUACGGAUAAAAUUUAAUUUUUUUUAUUAAUUAAUAACUAAUCAUAUAGUUAUUUGCUCAGAUUAAUCCGGAAAAAAAAUUGCUGCAAAUUACUGACACAGAGGCCAGAGUCAGAUUAAAGCCACCACUAGAGAGCUGAGAUCUCAAGAAUCCAUAUUUGAGUCAACAUUUGUUGCGAAUCAUUUGUUUUCAGUUUCUGUUUUUUUUUCUGCAAGCUGUGACAUACGGAACAAAGAGAAAAAAACAUGCACGUUAAAAAUGUGAAAAAUGCAAAGAUUACAUCAUCGGUCUCAUCCAUUAAAUGCUAGGAAAUUUAUUAACUAUACAAAGCGCAACACUUGAGAAAUUAAGAAACUAAAAGAGACAAAAGAGAGACAGUACAAAUAACAAAAUCAACCAAAGAACUUGGGAUCAUAGCCGUUGCUGGAGGUGGCCAAGAUGUAGUAAGCGACAAUAUGGCCAAUGGAACCCCAAGCGAGAACAUCAACAAUGUUAAAGCCAACUGGGUCGUUGGAUUUGAGGAGGCUAACAUAUUCCUUGGCACGAACAUCACCGGCUUCAAAGUGGGUGACUCCAUUCUGCUCGGGCAAGCCUUGUUUGGCCACGUUCUCUCUUUGGAAGUUGAAGAAGACGAACCUGCCCAAGAACAAGGAGAGGCCAGUGCUGAGGCUGAUGACAAGUGGUGUGUUCAGCUCAGCUUUAAUGCCGCCGAAGCUGUUUCUUUUGGCGGAGGUGGCGAGCUUGGGGAGGGGGGUUUUGGCCCUGGUGUUGAGGGGUCUUAGGCCUUGGAAUGAGAUGCUGGAGGGUGAAAUUUGGUGUUUUCGGACGGUGAUGGUGGAGGGUGUGAACAAGGAGGAUGAGGCUGCCAUUUUUCUUUUUUUCCCCUCUUUUUCCUUCUUUUUUGUGUUCUGGUUGAUGCCUUGAUGGAUGAUGGAGUUUUUGAGUUCCUGGAUUAUGAUAAAUUUUUGCAAGAAAUAGAACAGGCUUAGCGGCGAUAGAAACACAGAUAUGGAUCACGUAUUCUCGUGAUCCAUACAAGUAUUGGUUAAGAAAAAAUCACACUGGGAUAUGAGAGGAUGGGAAUGAGUGAUGAAAGAUUUUUGCUAAGGUUACUUGGCCUUGUCUCAUUGGCUCUCUUGUGGAUCAGAGAUUUCUGGUUCCAGAUUCCAGGUGUCAGCAGAAGAGCUCUCCACUCUUGAUUAUAGUUUAAUAUAUAAAUUUUAUUUUCCCUAGAUCCAUACAACUAGGAUCCGUGGCGCAAUGGUAGCGCGUCUGACUCCAGAUCAGAAGGUUGCGUGUUCGAUUCACGUCGGGUUCAAUCCCCCUAAGUUAGGAUCUCUUUAUUUUUUAUUUUGAGUAAACCCCAGGUUAGUUUCAUUAAUUGCAGUAUACACGUGUUACUAUUUGAUUUCUGACACUGUUUUUUCCAUUACACUUUCAAAAAUUCUCUAUAACAUUUCUAACGAAACUAAGACCUAAUAUCAUUGAUGCGUGGUGUAUGAUUUCAUAUUUAAGUGCAACCAGUAACUUGAUAGGCGUCACAAGAAACACUUGCAACCCGUACACUUUCAAACCAUUAUAACAUGAUGCAACAUUGCAAGUCUGACCCUCCACCAUGGGCCUACGACAUCGGUAAGAAAGCGAGAGACUGGAAAAGAGAAUCGAACAACAUUAACAUAAAUCAAGGGCAGGAUUCACUCAUGAAAUUGUACUGUUCAUCAGGAAGACAUAGUUGUCAUUUUCCUUUUAUGUAGUUCACAUGAAAUAGCUGGUUUCUUCCAGCCUCUGUACAUCGAUUCCUGCAUUUUCACACAUCUUCUGACGACCUCCACCACAGGAAGUGGAAUCACAAUUGAUUGAACCACAAUAACCUAAAUUGCACGUCACGGCACAUUUACACCUAGACUCUCCUACCGGCAUGAAACUAGGUUUCUCAACUGAACCAAGUAAGCCCCAUCAACACACUUAUUUGCAAAUUGCACAUCCAACUCAAAUUAAGGAGUCGAGAUAUGAGUAAUUCCGGCAGCGACCAUAUUCAAGGAGGCUGCCAUAUGUCCGAUCCCAAACUCCAAUGAAGAGAGACUCUGUGUCGGGACUGAAUGAAAUGCCAGAUAUUUCACCAAAAAAGUCAAUUUCCUGCUCCUUCUCAUACCCACUCUUAACGUCAUAGACAUGCACAAAGUCAGCAGGCUCGGCUGUCGCCAUGUACCGACCAUCAGAUGUAUAGCGGAUCGACCUAAUGGCUCCAAGAUUGCCCUUCAGAACAGCCACCGACUCAGAUAGGUUUCGUAGAUCCCAAAUUCUGCAUGUUUUGUCCUGGUUUCCAGUGGCGAAAGUGACACCAUUGGGGUGCCAUGCAGAUGCAAAUGAGAAAUCCAAGUGCCCGCACAAUGAGGCAAUGGUCUGCAGAGAUCACAAACUCAAGUUAGAGCAUGCUUUGAUUUCAGGCUCUAGAUGUCAAUUUAUCACUAAUUCAUGAUAUCAAAUAACUUCCAAAGAAUUAAUUUGAGAACACAUAUGUCCAUUUAAAUUGAAAAGAGAAGAGGAGCCUACCUUUCCCGUCAUGGAAUCCACUAAUAAACCAUCUGGGUUGUCUCCAACGAUUAUUAGAAGUUUACCAUCAGGACUUUGUGAAGAAUGCUGCAAACACAACAAACAGAUGAUUACCUUUUCAGUCAUAAAAUUCAAUAAUCUACAUAACAGGAUUAUACAAUAUGAGGAACUUACAUUCACAGGCCAAGGGAAACGGAAAUGCUUAGAGAGUUGAUACUUCCCCAUAUCAAAGUCUCUCACUCCGCAGUCAUUGUUUGAGGCAGUAAAGUGGACUGCACCACUGAGAAUUAAGUGAACAAGAUUAAUUAGGUUCAGCUUGGAAGUCCGUAGUUUAAUUACGGGCAUAAGAAAGAAGAAAUACCUGGGACUGCCGUAGAUCUCAACAGCAUUGGUGAUUGCAUUAUCAUCAUAAGUAGUACGAGAACAAAAGCUCACUCCAGGUCGAUCUAAAUGCUGUAUGUCAAUGAAAAUAACACCUCAAUCACAAAACCAACUAUAUAAUUCUUUCAAAGCCAAAAGUGGUAAGAUGAAAGCUAUUAUCAUAGCUUAGCAAAAACAUUAACAUGAUUCAUAUAUCAAAACUAAUGUACCCCGCCGUUAUUCAAUUAAGGAUCCCUUAAAAGCUAAAAGCCCUACAACCUAAGGCAAGGAAAUCACAUCUUACGAAAAAGCAACCACCAUUUAUGCAAAUGGGCCUGCCACUGCUACAGCAAGGCUUAUUUAUUCUCCAAUAUCUCCUUAUUCUACUCCAGAAAAGACUUAAAGAGGACGUGCUACAACUUACCUUGCAAAUAAGCUCUCCCUGAAACCCUCCAGCAACUAGCAACUUGUCUUUCACAGCAAGCGUACUAACUUGAGUCUGCGUAAAUCCUUCCAACAGACUGCCAGGAUGUUUCUAUAUAAAAGUAAUUAAAAAAAACAAAAAAAAAAACCGUAUUCAAAUCUUAAGGAAAUCAUGAUUCAAGAUGAUAAAAUUUGGAAAGGCAAAAGGAUAGAAAAAGCAAGGGUUUUUCAGCACAAAAUUUGUAAAAAUACUAACCUCGGAUGGUGCCACAUGGCCUGAAACAUUGAGAACUUGAGACCUGCUGGAAGUUAAUGAAGACCAAUGGAUGACUGAAAAAUGUGACAUAAGGUAGACAUCGUGCUUUGACGUUGCCCAAACCAAGUUCCUCAGCUACAACACAAAAACAAAGGUGUCAGAGAAACACAUAUCAUCUUUCGUGAGUCAAUCGCAGGUCAGAAAUAGCCACGUAUGUCUGCACGUAUCCAUAAGCCAUGUUCAUACCAGAGUCAUAUUGCUGCACACUGACAAAUAAAUGAUGCAUACUAUUGUCCAUUUAUGCAAUGAAGAACCAUGACACUAAGGACCAUAAAUUGAGUAAUUCACUCUAGUUAAGAGUGAUAAUCAGAGUACAUUGAAGGGCGAUAGAAAAGGAAAUGUGAGUUAUAUGUAACUACAAUUAUACUUCAAUUAGCCUACCUGAAAAUGAAGAAUAGUGGAUUUCACAGAUCUUGAAUUUCUUCUGAAUUCAUAAUAUGAAGCCCCUUUCUUAGUAACUUUGCAAUCCUGCAUAUAAUAAUGGCAGAUGGAAGGUAAAACAGUGAUUUCUAUUGAAUUACAGUAUAAACAUUGAACAUGGUGUGAAAGGUAAAGGUAGAAAAACAGAAAGUAAAAAUGUUCCACCUUCCCUGAGCCCUCUCCGGAAUUAGGAAUGUUUUCAUAGUUCUUGUACUGUUCUAGCCGAGUUUGCCGGUAUUUUUCCCUGGUUAUGCUAAGCCUCUCCCAUGGUAUACCCUGGAUAUCCUUCCCUCUUCUAGCUUGAGCAGCAGACGUAUCGGCUAUUUUAUUAUUCUGCACCAGUCACAUCAAACCUCUUAUAAACUACAAUGCUCAAACAAAAACUAAAGAAAGAUCAAACAUGUAAAAGCAACAUCCAGAUCAGCUCAAAUAACAAUGUUAGAUAAUGCUUAAAACUUUCUAAAUAGGCAAAGUGAAACACAUCACAAACCGAGUAAUCAUAUUCAUCGACAUCAGAGUCUGAGCCACCCAUAUCUCUGCCACGAAAUUCUUCGUCCAUAUCAUCAUCUAUAUCUUCCAUGUCAUAUUCAUCUGCCAUAUACUCCGCAUCAUCCGCGUGGUAAUGGGACAUAUUCUGCCAAUUAAAUGCACAAGUGCACCAGAAUGAAUUAAAGCAAAUUCAUCAGAGAACAACAGGGUAAUACUUCAAUGUAAAUGUAAAACAAAGAUAAGUCAAUAUACAAUACUACAUGAAGCACUCAAAAUACUCUUGUCAAAAUGGGGUUGGAAGUAGAUAUGGGUAAAACACUCAGAAAAUUCCAGAAAACAAUAGGAUAACACUUCAAUCUAAAAGUAAAACAAAGUUUAAGUCAAUAUAUAAUACUACAUGAAGCACUUGAAAUGCUCUUGUGAAAAUGUGGGUGGAGGUAGAUGAGGUAAAACACUCAGAAAGUACCGGCUAGGUGAAACCAAGAGAGCACCCGUGCAGGCAUUUGAGAGAGAAGCAGUGAUACAAACAGAAAGGUUACGAAAUACAAGUCACCAUACAAGAAAAUUGACAUCAACUGAAGGUAGAGAUAUCGAGACAUAAUGCCCCCCCAGUUGCAAAAGCCACAAGAACAGCCAGAACAAUUUCAUCACACAUAAUAGCCUCAUCAAUGGAUUACCUUAACCUGAGCUCAUAAAGGAAAAUCUGAGGGCUGUACUUGUUCUUAAGGAAACUAAAAGUCCAAUUUCGUUAUAAUCAUUAGACAUAACUUUAAAAAUUCAAGGAAAUGCAAGUCAACUGGAAAAACUACAUCUAUCAAGAUCAAUUCUGAAGGGAUUCAUGUAUAAUUUUCCCUACAGAGUAAAAGCACUUUCGAUAUAUAUUUUUUAUAAAAAAAACGAUUUUUAGAAGCUUUCCCAGUUCAAGGGAUUUUAACUUUUAGGCCAAAUCCCAUGUCAAAUUCUUCCAGUGAUAGCUCAACAAAACUAGCAGAAAAUAAUUCCAUUUAAGAAUCAAAAUUCCAUUUUUUACGCUCUAUUCCCAAAGGAACGUGAAUAAUCAACAUCUUGAAAAUUGUAAUAAUCCAUUAUAAAAAUUUAUAUAACACAAACUCUUAUCACGUUUAGACCAACCAACAAAAUUAAAAUCCCAAAAAACACAAAAGAAGAAACCAGAAAAACAAAAUAAAACCCUAACACAAUCAACGAAAGCGGGUUUUUAUAAAUAUGUAACAAAAUAAGAAAAUUAAUUUUACCUCUUUGGCGAGUUAGGGUUUACGGUUGGCUCCUCCGAUCUGAGGAAAAAAAAAUCGGAAACUGAAUCGCUCGCACGUUAGAAGACUGUAAUGAUAAUUGCUUGCGUAAUAAUUGAAUUGAAAAUAAAAUGUCCCUCCAAACUUUGCUUUGACGGUGAGUUGAAUUGAUCGCGAUAAAUUGGGAGAAAACGCGAGAAGAAACGAGAGUGAGUGAGACGUAUUUGCGUUUAUCCGGUUGUUCUGAUCUUCCACGAAUGAAAACGAGAAGCCUGAAAGAGACAGGUGCUGUUAUAUGGAGUCAUAUUACUAUUUUUAUUUUACUGGCCUGAACGAUAACUGCUUGCGUGUCUCCUAUCAAAAGAAAAUGUUUUAUUUUUUCCUUUCUAAUUUUGCAAUAAAAUAUGCACGCACAAAAAUUUUUAGGUUAUUUAUUUUAAUAUUAUGUAUUUUUCAUUUAUGAUAUAUUUAUUAUCGUAAUUUUUUUGUUGUUGGAAUUAUUGUAAUUACUUUAUCAAUUAAUGUAUAAUAAUAAAUUUUAUCUUACAAACUCAUAACCGACAGAAUGUGGGUGACAAAAGCACAUUUUCUACCAUCAUUCAAUUACCUUUCUAGAAGAAGUAUAUCUAUUUAUUUCUUUUUGAAGAAUAAUAGCCCCAAUGUUGUUUGUGAGAAGCUUUAUUUUAUUAAUAGUAAAUAAAGACUGUGAUUAAUCAUUCGAUGGAUAACAGAUCGGUUCGGUUUUGGACCAAAUGAAAAAUUUCGGUUCGAUUUAGUACUGAAUUUUAAAAAAUUAAUUAGAAUCGAACCAAAAUUGAACCAAAUAAAAAACGAGAUUUCUUUUUUCUUUUGAAUUUGGUUUAGUUCUUCGAAUUUUUAUAUUUUUUUUACAGAAUUCAAUAUUUUUUUUUAUUUUCUUAUGCCCACUUAAAAUGUGGCACUGUUUCAAUAAAAAAAAUUAAUAUUUCGUUCGGUUCAAAAUUUUAUAUUUAAUUUUUUAAAUAUUGAACCGAAAAUUUCAAAAAAAAAAUCAAACUGAACAAAUUCGAUUCUUCUCAUCCUUACCAACCAUAGUGAGAUAUUAUUAUUCUGAUAAUUAAUUUUCCAUGGUUUAUUUGAUGGCCCAACCACCUUUCAAUUCCUCUAAUGAAUACAAAAUGUUCCUUUUCAUAUGGAAAUUAACGCCCUCCCGUUUUUAUUAUCAUUAAUAUUGUUAAUACAAAGAGACCCUACCAUUGAACUUUGGCUUCAUUGAUGCUUGAACACCAUUAUGCAAACUUAACAUUCAGUUUCAUAGGUUUUAUUAUGCACGAACACCAUCAUGUUUCAAUAGAGAUUAUCUAAUUUUAAUAUUAAAAUUCUUAUCAUGUAUUAUUUAGUUCUUAUCCUCUUAUAUCAUUGAAAGAUAGAGUUGACUGCUCCUUUGGGAAAAAAAAAAUAAUAAUUCUCCCAACUUGUCUCAUAAGUUGUUUCUUUUCUUAUUUUAAAAUCUUCUACUAAGUAAAUGUUCCAUCUUAUAAUAAUGAUGAUGGGGUAGAAUUAAUCCCAUAACAACGAUGACAAGAAAAUAAUGAGAAGGGACAAAAAAGAACCUUCUUAUUACACUAAAAUAUCGAUAAAUUAUUAGUCAUGUUAUUAUGAAAAAAAUCUAUUAAUUUAGCGAAUGUUAAUGUAUCAAUAAAUUAAUAAUUAUCAAUUUAUAAAAUAGUAUCACUUUUAUAAUAAGAUUUUUCAUUAAGUAUAAAGGUAGUGUAAGUAGAGAAUUUAGUGUUUAUGUUAAGUUGUACGAGACAAUUCUGAUUUAUUCUUGAUCGAUUCAUUGAUCGAGUGAAUCAGUCACUUGAUAAUCCUUGGCUAUAUUGCAUGCCUGAAUCACGAUUUCAAUUAGAUUAAACUUCAAUCCACCUCUAUUUAGAAUGAUCAACUUCCAUUUACUCUUUAAAUACAAUUAUUUUUAAUAGUUGACUGAUGUUAACUUAAUAAAAUACGAGAAUGUCCCUAAUGCUAACUUACAAUUUUGUGAAGUUAAGAAGGAUAAUUUUAUUUUGCCGCUUGAGGCAUGCUGUAUUUUAAGUUAUAUGACAAAGAUAAUUUUGUUAAUAAAAAUCCCCUAAAACAAUAGUAAUAGACCUAUAAAAAAAUUAAAUUAAUUUUUACAUAUAUUUUAAUUCAUAAAAAAAAUAUAAUAAUUUAAAUUACAAUAUCACCACAAUGAAAAAAAAAAAAAAUUCACCCUUAUAUUGACGUUAGCCAUCGAAUAUAACUAUUUUUUAAAAAUAUAAAUCAUUAAUCAAUUAAUUAAUCUUUACCAUUCAAAACACCAUUUUACAUUCCAUUACUAUCUAUAAGGGUUACUGAUGUAAUUGAAUAGAUUGAAAAUUAAGAAUAUAUAUAUAUAACUUUGCAAAUUCAAAAAACCAAAACCUUACCUCUAAUCGUAAUCCCAAAAUUUUAUGUUUUCUUGGUUUUAUUAAUAUUUCAUUUGUUAUAAAUUUUAAUAUUACUAUUUUUUAAUUUUUUUAUAAUAAAUUCCUUUUUAUUAAAAGCCACUUUUUUGCAUUUUUCUUCCCAAACAUGAAGGUAAGGGUUAAAAUAUUAAAAUAAUUAAUAAUUUAUAAAUAUUUGAGUAUAUCUAACGUUUAUCAUUUUUCAUUGUUUAUCUUUAAAAAUCUUGAAAAAUAACCCCUUUAAUUUAUGAUUAAAAUAUGAAAAAAAUGAAAAGUUAAAAUAUUUUUAAAAUAAAAUUUUGAAAUGACUUAGUGGGCCACAAGAACUAAUUUUAUUCCUAAUUUGGGCUUUUGUACAUAAUAAUUUACCAACUAUGCCACUAUAAUUUGUUCUUAAUUUAAAUUUAAAAUUAUCAUUCAAUUUCUUUUCUUUUUUCCUUUAUACUUCAUACUUAUUUGGUACGGCUUUUAAAUAGACACAAAUACUUAUUUAAUCUCAUAAGCCUUCUUUUUUAAUUUUUUAUUAUUGUUUUUUUAUAUUUUCUUUUACUAGAGUUUUUAAAAAUUAAAUAAUUAUUUUAUCUCUACUAACAAAAAUUUUAAGUCUGUUCAGUGUUGUUUCUGAAUUAUAUAUUAUCUGAAAACAAAAAAUGAAUAAAAAUAGUGUUUUAUAGUAACUAUUUUUUGAAUUUAAACAUGAGUCUGAUAUUAUUUUCUGUAACAUAUAUUUUAAAAUUAAAAACAGUAAUAUAUGUUUGGUAAACAUAAUUGAGAAGGAUAAAAACAGUAAAUAUAUAUUUGGUAAUACAAUUUUUAAAAGUAGUUUUUACUUUAAGUCAUACUUAGAGUUAAAAAGUAAUUAUUUAACUAAUACAUACACAAACAUGCCAUAAAUAAUUUAAACAAAAUAAUUUUCAAAAAUUACAUGAUAAUUAUUUUUAGUGUUAGCAUUAACAAAUUCUACGAAUAUGAUUAAUUGGGUCUAAAAUAAACGCGAAGAACCACCAUCACAACUUACCCAGAUAGAAAAAUUGAGGAAUAAUACUAGCGAGUAGAGAUGAAGUAGAGACAAAGCAAAAAGCAGCAGCAGUAGUUGAGAGUUGAGACUGAGCAGAGAUGGAGCAACAAUAGCAGAGGCAGAGCAACAGUCAAUUUUGGGCACGGAAAGAGAGAGUUGCGACAGUGGAUUGUGGUUGACAAACGAGUAACAGUCACAAAGCGAAAGAGAGAGAGAGAGUUGUGAAAAGUUUAGGUGGCUUGUGGUUGAAGGAGAAGUAUCAACCACAAAGAAGAAAGAUGUGUGAAUAGAGAUAACGAGAGAGAUGGGAUAAGAUUUGAGACAGAGAAUGAUUGCUUUUGUAGUUUGUCUUGGGAUUUAUUUUUUUAAUUUAAUUUGCAAUUCAUUCGAGAAAUUCUUUGUUUAUAAUUAUUUUUUGGAUUCAACCCACCGAACAUGUAUUAUAUUUAUACUCGGAAAACAAAAAUGAAAACAAUACCAAAUAUGCUAUUAAAUUUUAGACUUUUAAAAGUAAAAGUUGUAUAGCUUUUUUAAAAUAUUAAAUAUCUAAAAUAUUCUUACUUAUUUGAUAUUUUUAUUUCAUUCUAUUCAUAAUUUAAUUUUUAAAAACUUAAUUUUUAUAACUUUUAAUAAAAACUCUCGUUAUCAACCAAACAACUUUUCUUUUUUCAAAAACUUUACUUAUAAAAACUCCACUUAAAUAAACUCUAAUUAAAAAACUCUACCAAACCAAUUAUCUUUUACUCUUUUUUAGUCCUUCUAUUUUUUUUUUCAUAUUUUGUCUUAUUUUCCUUUUCUUCUUCUUUUUUCGUCAUCUACUCUAUUUUUUGUUUUUUGUUUCAUCUUUGUUUCUUUAUCUUCUUCUUUGUUCUUCAGUUUCUUUCUUCUUCUCCUCUACCAUUGCUUCACAGCAGCAUUAGGCAACAGGCAACAGCGGUAACCAUUGGCAUAACUGUUAGGGCGGCACGCGCAGUGCGCGACACGAUCUGCUCCUAGAUUGUGACCCUACGUUGCUACCAAGUCGGCUGCCACUACUUUGAAUUGCCGCAUCUACUACGAUGGUUUGGCCGAAAAUUGAGUGACGACGGUUGUAUAUGGAUGCUUGAGGGGCGGUAAACACGAUGACAGUGGUGGUGAGAAAGCAUGCGAGCUGAACGGUGUAAGUUAAAGAAGAGGUAGCAGCGUGUUCAUCUUGUUGUUGAAAAGGAUUCUGGUGAUGCUUUAGUGGCGAUGAUGACAUGGAUAAGGCUGCUGGCAUGUGGGUAAUCUGUUAGUUUUAUUGAAUGGCGUUGAUGAUGGUUAAAUGGUGGUUGAUUUGAGUGUGGAGCUCUCGAGUUUUCAGUUGCUUGUGUGAUGGUUUUAGGCGAUGGUAACGACAGCCGAUGAUUGGGCUAUGGUUGUCUGAUUAUGGGGAUUCUAGUGGGAUGAUUAAACAAGCAUAAAAUGAAAUAAAAUUUAUUAUUUUAGAUUUGGAGAUGUUGCAGUGAAAUUUAGGGUAAAUGGUUGUUUACAUCUGUUUAGUUCUUAUACUUUAAGACAUCUUUUUUGUUUAAAUAGAUCACACUUCUGUCCUUAUUUUUUUCUUUACUUUUAUAUUAUAACCCUUACUACAAUUGUAAAAUAACAUUCAAUACCUUACAAUAAUCUUGUUAAUAAACUAUUUAUAAAAAAAAAUAAUUUAUCAAAUUAAUCCUAAAAUUAAAAUAAUAAACAAAAAUUUUACAUUAUAUUUAUUUUACUUUUAAGGUUAAUUUGUUAAUUAAUUAUUUUUAUAGAUAAAUAAAUCAAUAUUACUAAGAAUAUUAUUUUAAGGGUAUUAUUAUAAAAGCAAAGAAAAAUACGAGCAUGAUGUCACAUAUUCAGGUAUUUUUAAAAAAUAGAAGGAUUAGUCGGACGUUUAACCUAAAACAUAUGGAUUAAAUGAGCAUUUAAAGUAAAAUUUACAUUUGGGGGAUUUAGGGUUUUAUUUGACAAAAAUAGAUCGAAGAAUUUAGGGAUUUAGGACGUUAAUAUAUUUAUUGAUAUUUCAAUGGGUAAUUUUUAAAAACCUCCCCUGAGGUUUGGGCUUGUUGCAAGUAGAUGGCGAGAAUUGAUUUAUUUGUAAAAAACCCCCUACCGUCAGUUAAGUUUAAUAUUGACCGUUAGUUGAUCGUGCAAAGACAAUAUUACCCUUAACAAUAGUUUAUAAACGAAAAUAACUAAAAAAAAAACCAAAAUUAUUGGUGCAAAAAGCACAAACCCUAUUUUUUGACAAUUUUAUCCUUGUCAAUUCUAAAAAUUUACAAUAUCAUAGGUAAAGAUUAUGACUAUUUCAUUUUUAAAUUUUUAAUUUUAUCUUUCUUGUAGGAAUUUUAAGGAAAUAUCAAUAAUUUAAAGAGGAUUUUUUAAUUUUUUAAUUUUAAUUUUUUAUAAGAACUUUAAUAAAAUAUCAAUAAUUUAAAAAGUGUAAAAUAGCUAAUAAUUUUGGUUUUUUUUUAGUUAUUUUCGUUUAUAAACUAUUGUUAAGGGUAAUAUUGUCUUUGCACGGUCAACUAACGGUCAAUGUUAAACUUAACUGACGGUAGGGGGUUUUUUAUAAAUAAAUCAAUUCUCGCCAUCUACUUGCAACAAACCCAAACCUCAGGGGAGGUUUUUAAAAAUUACCCAUAUUUCAAUAUUAUAAGGGAAUUGCUGACAUUUUAUUUUAUUUUUUUAAAAUGCGUUGAAGGAGGUCCUGUGCCCGUGGAAAUUGGAAUGUCUAUUUUCUAAUUGAAAUAUUCAUAAUCAUAGUACAUUUUUUAUAAUUUUCAUAAAAAAAACUAAAAUAGGAAAUAUAAAUUUUAUUUGUAAUAAAAUAAAAAAAACUAAAAAGAAAGUAGUGUUAUCCCAAAAAUUAGGGGUACAGUGGUCAUCCUCUUGGUCAAAGAUAGUCAACAAACAUUUUUUUUACAGAAAAUUUAACAUUUAGGGUGAAAAUGUCAUUUCACUAUAUCAAGGGGGGUGAAUAUGCCUUUUAGUUACAUUUUGGGGGAGUAUGUGUCUUUUAACCUUAAACCUAUAAUUUUAUCUGUCAAAAAUUAUAAAACCGAUGGCAAAUAUGGUCCAUUCAUUACAACUAAGGUAUACAUAUAAUAUAAAUUACCCAAAAAACAUUAAUUAAAAAUAUAAAUUAGUAAUUUGAAAGCAAAGUGAAAUUUAUUAAAAUAUUUAGGUGCGUGUAAUAAUUUAUUAAAACAUUUAGGUGUAGUAGAAAUAAAAAAUAGUUUUGACCUUUUGAUUAGAUAACUAACGGUAAAAGAACGUAUAAAAAUAAUUUGUUAAAAUUAAGUAAUAAUAAUGGCAUUGGGGCGAUAAAUUGAAGUUUUUAUAUAUUAAAGUUUGUCAUUUUAAGUAAAGUUCUUCCACUUUAAUAUUACAAAAAAGUUAGAUGAGAUUCAAGAAAAAAUCAAUUUUAAGAAGAAACAAAAAACAUUAAAAACUAAUUUUAUAAAUGCCUCAUAUACAUCAUAUGUAUUUAGUUUGAAAAUAAGUUAAUUAUUAAUUCAUGUAUUAAUUGGGUUAUUAUCAAAAAAUAAGAUUUUAUAAAAAAAUUUAUUAAAUUAUUAAUUUAUUACGUUGACCUCAAGUUGGGACUAAUAAAAAUUAUUCAAACGAGAGAUUAAUUUAUCCAAUCAUUUAGCGUGGUUCAAUUGUAUUUGUUAUUGUCGUAUUUAUGGAAAAGUUAACGAUAUAAGGCCAGUUUCACAAUUUUUAAAAUCAAUUGGAAUUUUUUAAUAUUAGAUAAAAAUUGAGGGAUAUCGAUGAUCUUUACCCAAGAAUUUCGAUAAGGCUUUGCACUCAUACGAAGGUUCAGGUCUUUUGCAAGCAACUGAGUACUGACAGUUUUCUAGCGGACCCCACUUAAAGCCACACGAGUCCCACGUGGCAAAUCACAAUAAAAAAGGUGGACAAGUUAAAGAAUCUCCAAAAAAACUUAAUAAAAAAGGUUAAAGAAUCUGUAUUGCAACUGUUACCACGUGUAACCACUAUAAUUAUCCCACGUCACGCUCCCUCCCGUCAACCUUAACGUCGCCACUCAUCUUCGAGUCAAAACAAGAUCAGUUUAGUUUCCUCAGAAAGAAAACAGAACAAUUAUCCUGGAAAAUUCAAAACCGAUGAGCUGAAAGUGAAAGAUGGCGAUGUUGUUGAGAAGAGUAUGGGAAACGAUGUCGUCUCGGACUUGUUCGACCGGCGACUCGUCCGCUCGGCCUAGUUGUACGACUGAGUCGUCAUCUUUAGGUGCAUUUGAUCAGAUACCGUGGGAUGUACUUAUUCAAAUUGUGAAAUUGAUUGGUCCAAAGGAGGCGGCGAAGCUCUGUGUUGUCAGCAAGUCGUGGCGCGCGCUUGUAUCUGAUAAUCGUCUGUGGAUUUUCUUUCUACAGCAUCAGCAAGAGCCGUGGGACUCCAUUUUCUUCGGUGAAACAACUCUCGGAUCGGGAUAUCCUUACCAGUGAGUGAAUUACUGUGGAAAUUCUGUUUGGUUGCUUAGAAAAUGGAUGAAAGUGAAAAUUGUGAAAUUUUCACUGUUUGAGGUGCUAUUGGGUGAAAUAGUGUACUCAGCUAAGGGAUAAAUUUCAAUUCAUCCCUCAGAUAGAAUGAGAAUUUUUAAUUCAUCUCCUGUGAAAGUCUUAAUUUAUCUAUUUUUGUUCAGAAGACGAGGGCAAAUAAGGGCACGUUGAUGGAUUUCUUUUUUGUCUUUCUAGUCGUAAUUGGGGAUAAAUUGAUGUUUUGACACUUUUUGAGGGAUUAAUUGAAGAUUGUCAUUCUAAGUAGGGGUUAAAUUGAAGUUUAUGGAAGUAGUAAUAUUGAUUUGAUUGGAUCAUAUUAGGUAGAAUUUUUUGGGUUAAUGACGAAUUUUGAUUAGGAAAAAAGAAUAUGAUCUUUUAUUAGUUAAGGUUCUGAAUUGGUUUUAGAUUUUUUAUUCAUCAAUAGUGCAAAGGUAGGUAUUUUGGUGCUUGAUGAUAGGGAAAAACCUUAAAUUUUGGAUUUUAAUCAAUGAGUAUUCAAUUUCUAAUGCUUGAUUAUUGAUAUGUAUACACUGGACAGACAGGACUUUAAUAUGGGGUAGAUUAUCAUUAUAAUUAUUGAUGGUUGCUUAAAUUGAAUCUUAUGGAAGUUAGUUGACUGUUGAAGACUGGACAUUUGAUGACUGAGCUUUUGUGGUCUGUUGUGAAAAGUGAGUAAUAGGAUAUUUUUGUGCAUAAAGUAGUCAUAUUCAUACCUUCUUUUUUUUUUUUGGCGGGGGGGGGGGNNNGGGGGGUGGGGAAUAACUGAUAAGAGUUGUUAAUUUAGUUGUGCUAACCUAAUGUCCUUGUCAAAAUGAUUUUUAUUGCAGAACUUUGGCGACUGGCUUAUCAUUCAUGCAUAUUUAUGGCCAACGGGCCCAAGUUCCUGGUUCUGUUAUCAUUGAUGGUGAGUACUUCGAAAUCUCUUGUCAAUUUUUGUUCUUCAUUGCGGUGUGGUGGGUAAUUGGGUAUACUGUUGUUCCAAUUUAAGGGCAUUGUAUGAAUUAUUCUUUGAAUCAUUGUAGUCGUCUCUUUCCUAUUUCUUGAGUUUGUCUGCGUCAUUUGUUUUAAAACUGUCCUUCUUGAAAUUUGUAUUGUGUUUCCUCUUGAUCGUUUCUGUAGGUGGUUCAGGUUAUUGCAAGUUUGGUUGGAGCAAGUAUGAUUGUCCUUCUGGGCGAACAGCAACAUUUUUGGUGAGGUUUCCACUGAACUAGCAGUUCGGUUAAAAGUUUCUUUGAAACAAAUGUUACUUAAAUGUGAAAUAUCAUUUAGUCAUGAAAUGAUUUUCCAGCUAUGCUUAUUGUUUCAUAGAUGAAUUUCACAACAUUUUUCUCCAUUCUAAACCCAUGUGAUGCAUAGGAAUUUGGCAAUAUUGAGUCUCCGAUGUACUCAAGACUUCGACAUUUUUUUGCAACUAUAUACAGCAGGUUUGUUUUUCCUAUUUUAUGUCUAUUUUGCUGUUGACUAUUCCAGGUUUCUUUUUUUUUAAAAUAAAAAAGAAAAAACACAAAAAAUUUCUCUUUCUCGCAUUCAUUUACCAACACACAUGAACAAGGAUGAGGGGUCAUUUAACUGUUAUCGUACAUAUUUUGCAGCAUUAGAUAUAUGGGUGCGAAGUCGAUUGUUAAUUUCUGUAAUUAUAUCUUUGGACAUGGAUAAAUCUAAUGACUAAUGUUUAAUAAAGUUCUAUUUUAUUAAGAUAUGCUGGGGAUUAAUUAUAUAACAUGUGCUGUACAAGAUUGAGCUUGCUGAUCCUUCUGUGUUUUGACGCAAUUUUUGGUCUUAGUAUGCUAACCCUUGUUGUUACAGGAUGCAGGUGAAACCAUCCACGCAGCCAAUUGUGGUGUCUAUUCCAAUCUGCCAUUAUGACGGUUAGUUACAUUCAACUCAGCUCUAAGACCAUACCACUUUUUCCUGCUAUUAUUUGUUUGAGUUUAAAUUUUUGGAAUUUAUGCUCUCUCUGUCUGAACAAGAUGCUAUUGAAAAUUAGGCCAUUUCUUAUGGAGUCUACUAAUUGCUUUCUUUCUUGGGACAAUCAUUUUGGUUCUUGGUGAUUUGGUAAUAGAGGAUGGCUCUGCAGCUAUUAAAUUUGUGGUAAUGAGCUUCUUGCUUAUACAUAAUUGUUAAGAUAAGGUUCUCCACAUUGCAUGGCAGCUCAUUCGUCAAUUUAGAAAUGACCCCUACGUAUGCCCAUGAAUGAAUAAUUUUUAUGAACUUCUGAUGCAUGUUUUGUCAUGCACUUGCUUUCUGCUGGUUGUCAAUCUGACACUGUAUGUUUUUAUUAUACAUUCAUUUUUACUCUUUUUUUAAAAGAAAGAGAAGCUUUGUCAUGGUGCUGAAAUCCUUGAUCUCCUAAAGUUUAAAAUAAAAAAUAGGUGCUAUUUUGGCCAGAUGUGAAAAAUAUUGGCUAAUUAUGGGAGUUUAUUUAAUACUUACAAGUCCUUUCAGUUUACUAUCAUCCAUAUCACUUGUUUUCUUUAUCUUAUAUUCCAGAUACUGAAAAUGCAAAAGCAUCAAGACGGCAGCUUAAGGAUUGCUUCCAACAAGUCCUGUUUGACCUAAAUGUUCCAGCUGUCUGUGCCGUCAAUCAGGUAGGUCUUACCAAACAAAUAUAGCGUGUUGGCCACUACCCCCCCCACCCCCCCUNNNNNNNNNNNNNNNNNNNNNNACCCCCCCUCCCCCAAAAAAAAAAAUGUAAAAAACUACUAAGAAGCUAAUGGUGGCAUAAUUAUAGUUCUCAUUUCUGUGGUGUGCUUCGGCUUAUGAGGGACAUAACUUGAACAAGUUUGUGCCACAGAGGCUUUUAUUUAUAUCCUUUUAGUUUUGAACGGUCAAAUUGAAGUUCUUUAUCCUUUUUGGAAAAGGGAGUUCUUCAGCUUAGUUACAGAGAGAUAAUCCCUCCUUUCUCUUGUUAAUCCCACUGACUGCUCAAGUAUAUAUAAAUAUACAGGCAACUUUGGCUUUAUAUGCAGCAAAACGAACUUCAGGAAUUGUUGUUAAUAUUGGUUUCCAGGUCACUUCUGUUGUUCCAAGUGAGCUUUUCUUCUUCUUUAGUUUAUUUUGAAUCAACUGCAAAGUGUUGAAAAGCGGCCAUUAACUCUCACAUAUGGCUCACUGUGUGCAAGAUGUAUAAAAUAAGGGUGCUUUGUUUAUGUCCACAGCUUUUAAUGAUGUAUCAAAAUUUUGUUUUUUCUUUCUUUGGUUUUCCAAAUGUUAGUUUAACUGAGCUCAUCCUUCAUUCCUUUCUAUCGACUUCUUUCACUCAAAAUCAUCGGAUAUUGGAUUCAUAAGGGAUUGCGGUUUGGUUUUGUAGUUUUACAUGGUAAAGUAAUGCGCAAGGUGGGUGUGGAAGUAAUGGGACUGGGAGCAUUAAAACUCACAGGAUAUCUUAGGUUGCUGAUGCAACAGAAUAACAUAAAUUUUGGAUCGCUGUACACUGUUCGCACACUGAAAGAGGUACUCCUAUCCUCCUCUCAAGUGAAAUCUUGGUUGCUAUAUUGUAAUUUUUGUUGAUGGGAACCUUAUGUCGUAUCUUUUAAAGUAGGGAAGUAGGGAUUUGAUUGUUACCUUCUACGUGCAUGCUUGGUGAUUGUGAUUUCUAAAACAUAACUUUUCAUCAUUUUUAUAUUUAAUAUUAGUGAAGUCGUCUAAUGCUCCGUGCUUUUCCUUUGUAUCUGAUUAAAGAUUAUACAUAUCUUGUAUAUUUGAUGAAAUUGAUUGCUUUUCUGCAUUGUCCCUGUUUUUUUUGGAAUUCUUAAUCCACAUGUGCUGUCUUUCAAUAUGGAAAUGCUUCCUGUUCAAGUUGUCUGAUCCCUCAUUUGGCAACAUGGAAUUACAGAAACUAUGUUAUGUUGCUGCUGAUUAUAAAGCUGAGUUAUCAAAAGAUACACAAGCAUCAUUGGAAAUUGCUGGAGAAGGAUGGUUUACCCUCUCGAAAGAACGCUUUCAAACUGGGGAAAUCUUAUUUCAGCCGCGUAUGGCAGAUGUGUAAGUUCUAUUCUUGAAUGAUUCUGUUAUUUAUCUCUUUUUUGUUAUGACUUCCCCCUUUUUUUAAGUUCAUUUCUUUCAUGUCUUCUGCCAAAUAUUUGACAUAUUCAUCAUAUCUAGUAUUCCGUUGAUUAACAGUUUGAGAUUGCUUUUCGAAUAAAGAAAUCGUUUAUGAUAUAAGUAAUAAUCAUAGAUAUAUUUACCAAUUGGGUUUUUCUAAACAGAGCCUAGCUAUGUCAUUUUAUUGGUUGAGCCAAGCCGACCAUAAAAUUGAUUUAUUGCUAAUAUUAAUCUGGAUACUUCCUCAUGAAAUAGAUCUAAUUGCACUUCAUUGCAUUUCACGCUACAAAUUUUAAGUAAAUGCCGCUGAAGGACUUUCAUGGAGAUGUUUUCCUUGGAUGAGCCUUGAAGACCAAUAUAAACUUUUGAACAGCAAGCCUAUUCUCAAGCUCUAAAGACUGUUUAAGAAACCUUUUUUAAUUUAUUUAAAAGAGAAAGAAAGUCAUAUUUCCCUCAGAUGUUGAAUAUCAGUGAUCCUAUUUAGUUAAAUUGAGGCGUUUGUUCUUAAGAAUUAGUCCGUGAGGACCCUGGCGCAGGAACGUGGUCCUUAUUUUAAUUGCACUAUUUGUAGUUCAUUAUUUAGGAUGUCUAAUACCAUAAGUUGCAACUCCCUUAACUUGUUGAGUAAACAAUUGUGUUCCCUUGUCUCAGGCGCACUAUGGGUUUAGACCAGGCAGUAGCACUUUGUAUGGACCAUUGCCAUUACGCAGAAUUGUCAGGUGAUGAUGCUUGGUUCAAGACUGUGAUUUUGACUGGGGGAUCUGCGUGUUUGCCUGGCCUUGCAGGUAUAAGAAACAGCUUCAAUAAGCAAUAAUUUCUUAACCCUGAUAAAUUUUUGUAGUUGCAAUGAGGAUCCCUUUCUUUUUGGUGCCCUCUAAACGUUAAACAAGAUGAAGAUAGAUAUAUUAGAGUGAAAUAUAUUUGAAUAAAUCAGCUUAUGAAGCUUUGUCUCUGAGCUUUACCCAGAAAGGCUAGAGAAAGAACUACGUGGACUUCUCCCCUCAUCCAUCUCCAAUGGAAUUAGAGUCAUUCCUCCUCCUUAUGGUGCAGACACUGCAUGGUUCGGGGCAAAACUUGUAGGCAACGUAAGCUCCUUCACUACAUCAGUGAAAUGUUCCUACAUGCCUAUUUGCAUGUGUUUCCUUCCAUUUCAGAUGCUUAAUGUAGGGUUCCAUAUAUAUUAUGACAUGGGCUUACUUUAUGUAGUCUGUAGCUGUAUUCUCCCAUGUUGAGUAUUGGUUUCUAUCAAUUGACAUAAUACUAUAGCAUUAUCGGAUAUUUUUUGAUUUAUGCUCAUUAAACUCUUUUCUAAUCAAUCUGUGUGCUGUGGUUAUGCAGUUAAGCACCUUUCCUGGGGCCUGGUGUGCAACAAAGAAGCAGUUCCGGCAGAAGAGUAGAUUCAACAUCAUGUGGUAAAUUUAGCUUCCUAUGGCAUUGAGAACCUUAGUGAGUUCCUAAACUAUAUUAAAGAAGCCCACCAUAUUCAAUACUCAGAUUUCCUACGAGGAGAUACAUUAGUUUUUUUUCCCACACUGCCUUAGAAAUCUUUGGGUCAUUUACUGGAUUAUGAAACAAUAAUGUUAAUUCUUUCACAGGAGGAGUUCUUUACCGUAUCUUGAAGAUGAUGCACAUUAGGUUUCAUUUACUGUAAUGAAAUAAUGAUGUAAAAUUGCCAAUGCUGGCUAACAGAUGAAAUCAAAUGACUUGCAACAGUGCUGUAUUAUUAUUAUUUAUUAUUAUUUUACUGGAAUUCAGAACCAACAUUGUUUAUUUAUGAAAGUAAAUGCCGGCUUCCUUCAUCCAGUUCAUGGCAUCAACUGUUAAUUGUCUGACAAUGCACUCGUUUUGACUUCAAAAGAACCUUUCAAAGACAAAGAUGUUAGGUGCAGUUUGCUGAUAUUAAGCCACCAACUGGGCAACUCUCAACUAAUAUUGCAUCAACGCAAAAUCAUAGAGAUUCAUAUUGAAAAUGACAAUUACAUGAUGAUGGAUUCAAAUGUUUUGAAUAGUUGAAUCGAAACAGCUCUUUUGUCAACAAAUGCAGUUGACAGUACAUACUAACUUCGUCUUCUCAGUGAAAUGGAAGAAUUAAGCAGAAACAAACGCAUAAAUAAAAUUUCUGUACGAUGGUGAUUUGCCUUUAUCACAGUUCUGAAAAUACAGAGGGGUGUGAUCAAGUAAUCGGAUGUAUAGAAACUGAAAUUUGAGAACUCAUAAUAACUGGAAUACCAAAAUAAGAAAGGCGGCUGUGAACAUUAGCAGUGGGGAUGAAUUACACGUGAUCUGACUCCUACUUGCAUUUGCCGACUGAGUUGGUGCUGAUGCAGGACAUUCAAGACCUCGCUUCCCUUCCUGACACUCACUGGCAAAAAGACCAGGAGGGUAUUUCCCAUACAGGUUAAUGUAGCUGAACAUGGUUGUAGCGCAGUCUGUCGUCAAGUCAUUAAUCUGAUCCGCAUAAGGACAAGCAAAUUCCUUAAAAGCACUACAGCAUUUGUCAGGUGGAAACUGGGGUCCUUUGCAUUUGCUUGUGAUGAUUGUGUAGUUCAGAAACUCGAAAUUCACGGGGCAUGCUGCAGAUAAGGCAAGCCAAUGUAUCAUUAUUCAAAUGUGCUCAAUCAACUAAGAGAGCGACAUACAUUAAUUAACUAUGUUCUCCAUAAUAAAAGGGAACGAAAAAGAUCACAUAAAUGAAAGACAAGCAAGCAGUCAUUGGAUUAGGACCAUAUUUUCUUUCUUUCUCAUAACAGUGUCCUUGAUCAGAAGGAUUCAGGAACAAUGCAAAUUAUAGCUAAUCAGAGCAGGCAAAAGGUGUGCAAAAUAAGUGCUUCACUUGGGCUAAAAUUUUAAACUCACCUUAGGCAUACCUUUCACCUUUUCUUCCCUAUAAUCAAUACAAUCAUUUUAUGUUAUUCUCAUCUUUGCUCUUUCUUUCUCCUUAUAUGCUUCAUAGGAUUACAUGUGUAUGCAUGUAGCUAAGGAAGUCUCCAGAACAGAACUAAUCGAUAAUUGCAAUGACAACCAGCGAAGAUAUUGAAAAUCAAGUCCAAAGGUUGUGUGAACAAUGGUUUUGCUUAAAAUUUGCAUCAGUAUAGCGUUUAGCUUAUGACUCACUAUUACCUUUAGGAGACUGUUAAGUUAUUUCAUCCUUUCAUCUUAGGUCAAUCAAAUUAUUGACAAAGAAUUCCAAAAGUACUUUCUAGUAUAUUACUACUUGCUGUAAAGCAGUUGAUAUAUUCAGAUAAGCCGCAAAGUAAUGUGCCAGUGUUAUCUUUAGAAUUGAGUCAACCUUGUGGUUCACUCAAAAUCUAACAAUCGGGUUAUUCUAAACAGCUGAAGCAAUUUCAUCCAUACGGGCAAUAUCAACAUGUCAAUUUUCAAAGUCAUUCACUUGCUUAAAUUGGCAUGUUUUUAUAACCAAGAACAAUGAGACAUAUAUGUUUAUCACUCUGUUAUUAUCGUAAUGCAGUUGUAUUUAGAAGUUCAACUGUAUGCAAAAUCCAUGACGCCAACACAGAUGUAACUCUUACAAGUAGUUGUGGGACUGAUUAAGCAAGAUUAAAAACUAAGACGGAAGGAAAUCCCAAUAAUAACAGAGAAUUUUGCUUCUUCCAGCACUCUAUUUAAUAUCUUGUUUCUGUUUUUGCCAUGGUUUUCACUAAAACUCCUAUCUUCCUCCAUAACAGAAUUAAUUGAAUGAAAAAAAAAAAGACCAUUUGGGCAAAUGACAGAAAAUAGAAACUUAGAGAUCUUAGAUCUCACAUAAAUAUGCAUCACAAAAUUAUGGCAAAAAGCUAAUCAAAAGAAGAACAAUUAAUUAGGAUAUAUGAAAUCAACAAAAAUCAAACCUUUCUUAGCCUGGAGAAGAUUUCUGCCAGUAAAAGCGUGCGAUUCAAAGAUACCAUCUGCAUCCAACUCAAGAACAUAUAUUUCACUACCAAACAAAAUCCCAAGUAGCAUAAAUAUAACUUUAAGAAUAGAAAAACCUUAAAUUACCUGAAAUGAAAGUUGCAGAAGACAAACCCAUCAAAAUAAACAAAAGAAAAAUAGAUAGAAACACUCUGUUGAACUCCACCAUUUCUCUCACAGCACCAGAAAAGAUCCAAUUUUUUUUGUGCUCCCACCUAUUCUCUUCAAAAAAGAUAGAAGCUUUUUACACGCUUGUACAAAACCAGUAUGCAACAGACAGCGACGGAGCAGAUUUGAAUGAGUUUAAAGAUUUAUAACAUGUCGUGAUGAUUUUGUAAUAAAAAGACAAGGAGCUGUCGUCUUAGUAGUAGUUGCUGGCUCUUGGAUUACAACCCAUAAAAACGCGGAAACCGGGAUUUUUUUUUAAUUUAAUUUUUAUUUUUCUUUUGAGUUUUUGUUACUGUCAUUAAUUUUUAUUUUUUGGUUUUUGGCUACAGAAACUGUUGUGACUGGUGACUAUUACUGUUACUUUAACCAUGUUAUCAGUUACCGUUGUGUAUUGCAGUCUGCAAAGCAAAGACCCGACAGUUUACCGUUAAUAUCGGUUUCAACCGCUCCAAUUUUCAUCCGAGAUAUUUUUCUGUUGUUAAUUUUAUUUUGAUUCCUCGUUAAAGGUUCUAUCAGAUAAAUUUGGGCUAAUGUUUCAAAAAAAAAAAGUAAAAAAGAAAAAAGAAAAAAAUGGGCUGCCUUCUCGAGUGUGGUUGAAAAUUGUACACAAUUUGUUUUUUCUUUGAGAAAAAAAAUAAUAAUAUUACAAUCUAUUGACAAAUUGUAACAUUAGUGCCAGACAUAUUAUAACACUCCAAAUCUAACAUGUGCGGAGCACAUGAAGAAGAAGGUUAUUUAUAAAUCGUAAUCUUUACUCAUAAAUUUCAAAUUGAAAUAUCUCAAAUUCUUAUUCAAAUAAAUCCACAAAUUCAUAUAUUUAACACUAAAUAAUCUCUCCCAAAACAAAACAUAAAUUUCAAGUUCAUAACAGAAAUAAAAUAAAAAGAACAUGUGUCUAUUCCUCCUUUUAUUCAAAUAGCAAAUGAAAACAAAAUCUCUAACUCCAAAGCGAAGCACACAUUUCAAAAGGAACUUAAUUUGCAAAAAAGUAAUGACAAGGGGUGAGCCGUCAACUCGGUAAGUAAAACAAUUCCUAACACACUAGGCCUAUUGAUACUAAAAAUAUUACAAGCCUUCUUUUAUUUAAAAACACAUAUCAUAAUCCAUAAAUUUUAUAAAACGAUAUAUCACGAUAAAAUAACAUAAAUUCAUUGUAUCUCAAAAUAUCAAAAGCAUAGUUAUUUACGAAAGCAAAUCAUAUAUCACAUUCACAAAAAAAUAAAAGGUUAGCUCAUGUCACAUAGUGUCACCUAUAGUCUCGGUGACUCGGCCAGAAACAAAAUCAGAAUAUCGUGUGCACACUCAGAACAGAAACCUAGUACUGAUCUAGAACAGACAUAUAUCAUAUUAUACGAUCAGAAUAAAAAACAGAAUAACUACGGACAAUAAGCCAAAACACAAUGACUUAUACGUGACACUUUGCACUAUAUGUGGCACUUUGCGACGCUUUGACCUUCAAGAGGUGUCCCCCAUACAGUCCCAAGAGGUGGCCCACGUACAAUCAUAAAUAAUUAAAAUCAUACAUAGGCACAAAACAUUCUUAUCGGAUUCAUAAAAGUUCAUAACAAUAAUUUAGGCUUGCAAAUUAUUUUAUAGAUAAAAUCAUAAAAGGUAGUCACAUCAUAAAAUAAUUUACAUAUUAAAAAACAUUUAUAAAAAUACUUUGUUAAAAAGAAUUUAGGUUUGAAAAUAUUUACAUAAAACUAAUUUUGUUAUCAAAAUCAAUUAAUCAUUUAAGUAGUAUAAAAACAUUUAUACUUAUAAUAAUAAUAUCAAAAUACUUAUACAUAUCCAGUAUACUAGGAAUGAAGUUACUUAUCUCGACAAAAUAAUUUGAAUUAACAAACCUCUAUGCCUCCAAGAGUCUCAAUCACCUCCAACACCUUAAACAAAUACAAGGCAUGACAAUUAAUAACUUAUUCUAAGAACAUAAUUUUUCUAAUUCAUAUCUGUACAGGUCUGAUGCUCAGAAUUUUAACUCUUAAUCUAAAACUAAGAAUGACAUAAUAUUCUACAAGGCUAUUCUGGACAUCCAUAGGCACCUCAUGUAAUAUUUCCACUCAUAAGCAAUUCUAAUCAAAUUAUCCCAAAUCUCCUAAGGGUAUUUAAGUCUUUUUAGAUUUUAGUAAUCCUUUUUACCCUAGUAUAAAUAGAAUGAGAUGUCUUUCCCCAUCAUAAGAGAGAGGGAAAGAGAAAUGGUUGAGGAAAAAAAAAGAACGACAAAAUAAAGAGAGAGAGAGAGAGAGAUGGAGAGAAAAGAAAAGAAAAAGAGAAGAAGAAAGUCUUCUUCUUCUUAGUUUUGCCAUAUGGAACACAUGAGAUCAAAUUGUUAUUGUUGGGAGAAGUUUUGAAGGUAAGUUUUAAUUAUUGGUUUCUAUUAAAUUGUUGUGGAGAAGCAUGAUUGUAAUAGAAGUAAAAAUCUCAAAUUUUACUGACCAUAUGCUGACACAUUGAAAAUUCAUUGAUAAAAAUUUCAUAGCAUAAUUCCUUCAAAAACUAUUGAAAAUAAUUGACGUUUCAGACAUCAUCAAUACUGUCAAAUAAUUUUUUGUUUUGAACACAAUUGUUUUAAAAAUACAAAACAAUUUAUUGCUUUAUCAUAAAAUCAUGAAAAUUAACAGAAUCAUACUAGACAUAUAUAAAAAUCAUUGAUCCAAAUUUCAUAAUUUUCGAAGAAGUCUAGCUAUGGUAAAAAUAAUUUCGUAAUUCACGUUAUUCAUUAAAAUCAUAAAUUUCUAGGUUUUCAGACUUGAUUUUGAAAGAUCAUAAUUAAUUGAAAUCUUAUCCGAUUAACUUGAAACAAGUUUCAAAACGUUCUAAACGAUAUCUAGUUUAACAUACCCAAAAAUAAGAAUAAAAAAUCAAUUUGUAUAAAUUAUUAUAAUUUUCGUAAUAAUUUACUAUCAGCAUAUUUCUACAAAAUCUUAGGUUUCUACUUCUAUUGCAAUCAUGCUUCUGCACAACAAUUUAAUAGAAACCAAUAAUUAAAACUUAUCUCCAAAACUUCUCCCAACAAUAACAACUUGAUCCCAUGUGUUGCCUAUGACAGAACUAAGAAAAAGAAGAAGAAGAUUUUCUUCUUCUUUUUUUCUUUUCUCUCUUUUCUCUCUAUCUUUCUCUCUCUCUCUCUCUUUUUUCUCUGUCGUUCUUUUUUUUUUUCCUCAACCGAUUUCUCUUGCUCUCUCCCUUAUGAUGGGGAAAGACAUCUUAUUACACAUAUCCCAUGGAUCUCACUCACUGUUUGUGUCCGUAUGGUAAAAAAAUUGCUCACAAUUAAUAAUCAGUUUCAAUCUUUCCUUAAAAUGUAAUGGCUUGUGCAAGAGAUUCUUUCUUGUACUGGUAUGUUAUUGGUUUGACAGCUAGGAUUUGCCUGUCAAAGAAAUUGAAGACGGGAGGCUACUGUUGUCCGAUUGAUGAAGUCCAUUAAUAAAUGUAACUUGAUCAUUACAAGAACAAUAUUUUAUUUGUUAUAAAGCAAAUCUCAUUACGAGAUUGUAUGUUUAGAUAAAUACAAAAACGUCAAAAAAAUUUUAAAUUCUUAAUUGGGUUUUUUUAACGUGUGAUCUGCAUUUGCCGACUGAGUUGGUGCCGAUGCAGGACAUUCAAGACCUCGCUUCCCUUUCAGACACUCGCUGGCAAAAAGACCAGGAGGGUAUUUCCCAUACAGGUUAAUGUAGCUGAACAUGGUUGUAGCGCAGUCUGUCGUCAAGUCAUUAAUCUGAUCCGCAUAAGGACAAGCAAAUUCCUUAAAAGCACUACAGCAUUUGUCAGGUGGAAACUGGGGUCCUUUGCAUUUGCUUGUGAUGAUUGUGUAGUUCAGAAACUCGAAAUUCACGGGGCAUGCUGCAGAUAAGGCAAGCCAAUAUAUCAUUAUUCAAAUGUGCUCACUCAACUAAGAGAGCGACAUACAUUAAUUAACUAUGUUCUCCAUAAUAAAAGGGAACGAAAAAGAUCACAUAAAUGAAAGACAAGCAAGCAUUCAUCGGAUUAGGACCAUAUUUUCCUUCUUUCUCAUAACAGAGUCCUUGAUCUGAAGGAUUCAGGAACAAUGCAAAUUAUAGCUAAUCAGAGCAGGCAAAAGGUGUGCAAAACAAGUGCUUCACUUUGGCUAAAAUUUUAAACUCACCUUAGGCAUACCUUUCACCUUUUCUUCCCUAUAAUCAAUACAAUCAUUUUAUGUUAUUCUCAUCUUUGCUCUUUCUUUCUCCUUAUAUGCUUCAUAGGAUUACAUGUGUAUGCAUGUAGCUAAGGAAGUCUCCAGAACAGAACUAAUCGAUAAUUGCAAUGACAACCAGCGAAGAUAUUGAAAAUCAAGUCCAAAGGUUGUGUGAACAAUGGUUUUGCUUAAAAUUUGCAUCAGUAUAGCGUUUAGCUUAUGACUCACUAUUACCUUUAGGAGACUGUUAAGUUAUUUCAUCCUUUCAUCUUAGGUCAAUCAAAUUAUUGACAAAGAAUUCCAAAAGUACUUUCUAGUAUAUUACUACUUGCUGUAAAGCAGUUGAUAUAUUCAGAUAAGCCGCAAAGUAAUGUGCCAGUGUUAUCUUUAGAAUUGAGUCAACCUUGUGGUUCACUCAAAAUCUAACAAUCGGGUUAUUCUAAACAGCUGAAGCAAUUUCAUCCAUACGGGCAAUAUCAACAUGUCAAUUUUCAAAGUCAUUCACUUGCUUAAAUUGGCAUGUUUUUAUAACCAAGAACAAUGAGACAUAUAUGUUUAUCACUCUGUUAUUAUCGUAAUGCAGUUGUAUUUAGAAGUUCAACUGUAUGCAAAAUCCAUGACGCCAACAAAGAUGUAACUCUUACAAGUAGUUGUGGGACUGAUUAAGCAAGAUUAAAAACUAAGACGGAAGGAAAUCCCAAUAAUAACAGAGAAUUUUGCUUCUUCCAGCACUCUAUUUAAUAUCUUGUUUCUGUUUUUGCCAUGGUUUUCACUAAAACUCCUAUCUUCCUCCAUAACAGAAUUAAUUGAAUGAAAAAAAAAAAGACCAUUUGGGCAAAUGACAGAAAAUAGAAACUUAGAGAUCUUAGAUCUCACAUAAAUAUGCAUCACAAAAUUAUGGCAAAAAGCUAAUCAAAAGAAGAACAAUUAAUUAGGAUAUAUGAAAUCAACAAAAAUCAAACCUUUCUUAGCCUGGAGAAGAUUUCUGCCAGUAAAAGCGUGCGAUUCAAAGAUACCAUCUGCAUCCAACUCAAGAACAUAUAUUUCACUACCAAACAAAAUCCCAAGUAGCAUAAAUAUAACUUUAAGAAUAGAAAAACCUUAAAUUACCUGAAAUGAAAGUUGCAGAAGACAAACCCAUCAAAAUAAACAAAAGAAAAAUAGAUAGAAACACUCUGUUGAACUCCACCAUUUCUCUCACAGCACCAGAAAAGAUCCAAUUUUUUUUGUGCUCCCAC